Molecule: long non-coding RNA, 167640 nt
Filed under: Malus domestica (apple)
Lineage: Eukaryota; Viridiplantae; Streptophyta; Magnoliopsida; Rosales; Rosaceae
Description: long non-coding RNA (MDOM_LNC009890)
Source: RNAcentral
AGUUAUGCCGGGAAGAAAUUUUCAUCAUGGGUUGGAGGUCAUUUGUUCUCUAAUAUGGGGCUUGUGCGCUUAGAGGAAUGUAACAAUUGUUUGUCGUUGCCACCUCUCGGACAAUUGCCUCAACUCAAAGAACUUUAUAUUAGGAGGAAUGAAUGCAGUGGAAAGGGUUGGUGCUGAGUUUUAUGGAGAGCGUAACUUGCCUUUUCGGGUAUUAGAGACUCUUGAUUUUGUGGAAUUGCAGCAUUGGAAGGAAUGGCUUCCUUUCUUACUGGAUCACGAAAGUGGUGCUUUCCCUUGCCUGAAAAGGAUGUCAAUAACAAAAUGUUCUAAACUGGAGGGUAAGCUGCCAGAGAACCUCAAUUCUUUAGCGAAGCUUGAAAUUGUUAAAUGUGAAGAAUUAGUGGUUUCAAUUGCCAACUACAAACAACUUCGUCAGUUAAACAUUGACGGUUGUAAAGUGUUGGUGCAUACAGCUGGUAAGGUUGAGUUUGAGUUAUUAGAGUCCUUGUGGCUUUCAAACAUUUCGGAGGUGAUGUCUCUGGAAACAGGGGAAUUGUUCAAGAAGGGAUUAACCAAGGUUAGUGAUUUGAUGAUUAAUGGAUGUGAGGAGGUGACGUCUUCAUUGAAGAAUGAGGGUAGAUUAUUGCAGCAGUUGACUUCUCUUAAUAGUUUGGAAAUUGAAGACAACUAUCGUCUAGUUGAAGAAUUGGGAAAAGAAGCAGAGGAGUUGCAAAUAUUGGAGUGCAGGCUUGAAUAUCUAAAGUUUAAAAAGUGCGAAAAUCUUUUGAAGCUACCAAAAGGAUUAAAUCAGCUGUCGUCUCUUCAAGAGCUUCGCAUACACGAAUGUUCACGUCUAGUUUCUUUCCCAGAUGUAGGUCUGCCACCUUCUCUUGAAAACGUCGAGAUUAGAGAGUGCCAUUCGUUGAUAUAUUUUGCAAAAUUCCAGAUUCCCCAAAAUCUCAAAAGAAUAGAGAUAAGAAAGUGCAAAAGUUUGAAAUCACUAGUGGAUGAGGAGGCUGUUGGUUCUUCUUGGUCGUCUUCUUCUCAUAUUUGUCUUGAGUACUUGAAGAUCGAAGGAUGUGAAUCUCUGACGUCGUUAUCAUUGAGUGGCCAGCUUCUCAGGACACUUAAACACCUUGAGAUACUUGGUUGUGAACAACUGGAGCUAAUCGCAGAGGACGGGUUCUUCCACGACAACACUAAUUAUUGUCUUGAAUACCUUAAUCUCUGGAAGUGCCAAAAUCUGAAAUCCUUACCGGAUGGCUUAUGCCACCUCAGCAAUCUGAGAAAGCUAUAUAUUCAAGAUUGUGGAAGUCUUGUUUCUUUCCCGAGACUGAGCGGGGGGAGACUACCCUCCAACCUGAGAGAGAUCCAGAUCACCAGUUGCGAGAAAUUGGAGGCGUUGCCUGAAGACAUGCACAAUCUCAACUCUCUUGAGGAAUUGAGGAUCGAGUACCGUGAAGGUUUGACUUUUCCUUCCAACCUCACGUUUCUUGAAAUUUGGAAGGUAAGGAGCUGUAAGUCAUUUUGGGAGUUGGAAUGGGGGUUGCACAGACUCACCUCUCUUAGAUACUUGUGGAUCGGAGGUGAAGACCCGGAUACGGUGUCGUUUCCACCCGACAUGGUCCGGAUGGAGACGCUCAUUCCCAUAUCUCUUACUCACCUCACAAUAAAAGGCUUCCCGAAUCUGAAGAAACUGAGCAGUAAAGGCUUUCAACUCCUCACCUCCCUUCAAUCUCUGCAUCUCUGGAAUUGUCCAAAGCUAGCAUCCAUUCCAGAGGAGGGUCUGCCUCCUUCACUAGAGCGACUUACCAUCUCUGAGUGCCCAAUGCUAAAAGAGAGAUGCCAACCAGGAAAAGGACGCUACUGGCAAAAUAUCCCACAUCCCUAAAAUACAGAUCGAUUGACAGCCGAUUUGAAGCUGAUAGUUGAUUCGAUCCCAUUCUCUAGGUCCAGGUAUCAUCUUCUCAAGGAAUGUUUUGUUAUUAUUAUUAUUAUCCACAAUAUUUGUUUUUUAUUUUUUUUAAAUUUAUGUCCUUCAUGUGGCUGAAGAUUUUCGGGGUUUCAUGAGUGGCUGCUUUGGGAGACCUUCAUUUGGCUCACACAGUAGAGCUGGUUCUGUCUUGCUUUGAGGGCGAUUCUUUGACGACAACAACCAUGGCUAUUUCUGGGCCAAGGUUUCUUCUCUCGCGUUCCUCGCAACACUAGUUUAUUUGGAGCCCAUGGGAUCUCAGAUCGAGUUGAGUGAGCAGGAUAGUUUUGUUGAAUUUGAAUAUGAUUUCCUGGCGUGGGGGGCAGAGGACUGGAAAAACUGGGAAUCUGGUGUGGUGGGAAAAAAAAAUGCAUGAAAUCGUUUGAUCUUGAAGGGACCAUUUGGAUCUCCACAUGGCCAAUCCUUGGAUUUGAUUGGUUCUGAUGAUACAAAAGCCUGAGCUUGACGGGUUCGUUAUGCAAACAGAUGAUGAACCAACUAGCAUUGCUGGAAAGGGAAAUAGCUUUGACGAGUGAGGAUAGUCAUAGUUGCUCGAGAAAGAAACUUUAUGAUAUUGGUCAGGCGUUUUAUGGAAGGUCAAGAGGGUGUGGAUAUGAGGACCAUAUAAGUUGCAUAAUUUUCCACAUCUCUACCAGUCUCUUCCAACUGGGCUUCUAGAGGGUGUGGAUAUGAGGACCAUGAAUGGUGCUGUCAAGCAAUUAGAGGAUGGUCUGAAACUUGAGCGGUCAAGAAUGGAGCAGGAGAAUAUGAAGCAGUUGGAGCUGCAGAAAAUGGAAAGAAGAAGAGAGGAAGAAAAAAGAGGCUGAUAUGGCAUCAAAGAAGAGACAAAGGGAAUAGGAAGAAAGGAAGGAGAAGGAAAGAAAAAGAAUGCGUGUUGAAGCUCGUAGACAGCGGAGAGAACAUGAAGACAAGUUACCUGCUGAAAAACUAGAGAAAGAAAUGAAAAACCACUCCACUGUAUGAUUCUUUAUGCUCUGCCUCAUUUCAUAUAUAUUUUGCAAUGUUAGAUUUCACAUUCUAUAUUGGGCUUUCUUGUAUAGGAUGGAAGAAGCCCUGGCGGUAAGAAAUUUAAAAUGGACAAAGAAAGGGGAUUUGACAAUUCCAGAAAUAUUUUGGAGACUGAGCCUAGUACUUCCAGGAUUUCAAUAAGCAAUGCCAGAAGAAAAUAUUAUCCACGAAAAGUUCCAUGAGGCCUCGAGUAGUUAUGGAUAUAAAGCAGAGGUAAAUGCUAAUGACUUUUUAACAAUCGAUACCCGCCAUAUCUUAGGAUCUAGUUGCAUAUGUUGAGUGCUUUUACUUGCAUAGGCAGGAGCAGAGUGAUAAACUGUGAGCAUAGCAUGAAUUAUAAUCCUCUGUUGUUGAAGUUUGCAUACGACCUCUAAAUUUGUUGGGUUGAACCUAUUUUGAGGCCUUCUUUAUACCAGGAAAUAGGGCUACACUCGCCUAAGUGCAAGAGUUCUCUUCUUUUAAAACUCCUAAUAGCUUAUUGUAAACUCAAGUCUGAACCACCUUUAGAAAGUUUUUCAAGUCUGAACCACCUUUAGAAAGUUUUCUUAUUCAUGAAUAGCUGCAUGCUGUUGUGCACUUUUACCUUGUCUGUAAAGCCUCUCGCUGAUACUUCCUGUGAUAUUUAAGGUACCUAGCAAUUUAGACAGAGAAAUGGAGAAUUCACUUGGCAUUACAAGUCAAGUGCAGUAUUAUGACAUCUCUGCAUACAAAGAAUCUGAUGAUGAAAACGACGAUGACGAUAAUGUCAUACCAAAUAGUAAAUUUAUUCCUUCAUGGUUAAGGUAUGUUUUUCAAUUGUUAUAUAUGAAAUAUGAUCUUCAAGUUAAAGAGCGUCACAAUCAUCUUGGUGAUAUGUAUCUUUAGCGAAAGGCAUAGAUUGUGUACCCUUUGAAAGUGUCAACUCAGCUGCGCUAUAAAAUAUCUGUUGUUUGGUUCUUGUUUUGUGCAGUAAAAACUGCCUGGCUUUUGCCGUUUCUAGCCAGAAUAGAGCAGAUCCAAAGACGAUAUUCGCCCCCCCCCCCCCCCCCCCCCCCCCCCCCCCCCCCCCCAGAAAGCUUUUGCUGCAUCUCUGAAGGUACUUUUAUGGUUUAAAGUCCCGAUCUUCGUAGCUAUUGCAUUGGCAUUUUGGCUGGUCAAUUUUUAGAUACUGCUGGACUAAGUUCCAAUAUGCUCAUUUGCAGUCCUCUUGCCCGAAAAGCAUCAAUUAAACAACAGCGGAAUGUGCUAAACUCUAUUCAGUAUAUUCCUCAGUAAUAAGAGCUUUUGAUCAUGAAGAGGUAAUGUUUACCUUUAUUGAUUAUUCUCAUUUUUCCUCUCCAUGCUCUAAACUACAUUUACGCUGCCAGUUUGGUUGUUAAAGGAGCAAUUUUCCUUCUGCGAAAUGUAAAAUGCCUUUAGUUACUGCCUAUCAAACCAAAAUACUUGUAGUAAUUGGUUUUUAUUUCUCGUUGCAGAUUUUCAAAGUCUAUUUGUGAACAGUUUCUUGAGCAGGCAACACCCUUCCAAGCCGAAAUGUAGCUGAAACGUGUAGAACUUUUUUUUUUAAUUUUUUUAUUUUUAUAUAUAGGAGUCUGUUGUAACUUAUCUCAGAUAAUUUGCAGUGUGAUUGUAGUUAAGAAGAGUAACAAGUUCCAUUGGCAGAAGGGCAAUUGCAUGAGCUAUUGAGUAAUUUGGUCAGCAUCUCCUGCUGCCUUGUUUUUUCUUUGGCACCGCCACUUUGGUCGGCAUUGGUUUCAGUUUUACUUUUAGCCCUCCUGAAGGAUGAUAAGAGAAGGCUAGAAAAAGUAUGUAUUUUGCAUGUUGAGUGCUUUUACUUGCAUAGUCUGGAGCAGAGUGAUAAACUGUGAGCGUAGCAUGAAUUAUAAUCCUCUGUUGAUGUAGUUUGCAUGGGACCUUUAAGCUUGUUGGGUUUUAACUCUUUUGUGGCCUUCCUUUUGCUAUCGUUACCACAAUAUAGGAAAGAAGGCUACAAUCGACUAAGUGCAAGAGUUUUCUUAUGUUAAAACUCCUAAUAGCUUAUUGUAAACUCAAAUCUGAACCACUGGUAGAAACUGCCGGGCUCCAAAAUAAUCUAUUGUUUGGUUCUUGUUUUGUACAGUAAAAACUGCCUGGCUUUUGCCGUUUCUUGCCAGAAUAGAGCAGACCCAGCGACGAUCUUCCCCCGAGAAAGCUUUUGCUGCAUCUCUGAAGGUACUUUUAUGGUUUAAAGCCAUGGUCUUAGUAGCUAUUGCUUUGGCAUUUUUGGCUAAUCAAUUUUUAGAUACUGCUGGACUAAGUUCCAAUAUGUGGGCACACGAGAAAGGAUAAGAUUAGGAAUGAGGAUAUCCGGGGUAAAGUAGGAGUAGCCGAAAUUGAAGGAAAGAUGAGAGAAAAUCGGUUACGGUGGUUUGGACAUGUGCAAAGAAGGCCUACUGACGCUCCGAUUAGAAGAUGCGACUAUGGGACACAGGUUCAGGGCCGAAGGGGUAGAGGAAGACCUAGGAAAACUUUGGAAGAGACUCUAAGAAAAGACUUAGAGUACUUGGAUCUAACGAAGGACAUGACACAGGACCGAGCACAAUGGCGUUCUAAGAUUCAUAUAGCCGAUCCCACUCAGUGACUUGGAUUUUCCAAGUCUCCAACCGAGAAGUUUUCCUCAUUCGGGAAAUUAAGGGAACACUACCUCAACCUACAUGCUCCACUCACAAAGCUUCAACAUACAAGCUUCAAUAAAAGAAAAUUCAAAGAACUUAGCGAAGAAGGCUUUGGUGUAUUUAACACAAACGUUGAAAUGAAGGAAAGCUUAUUUAUUGAUAUUCCCGAUAAGAUACAAAUAUGUACAUAUACAUAAGUCAAAAUAAACAAACAAGAGGGAGUCUUCACAAAGGUUGCUUAGGAGAAGUCUCAGCAGUCGGUAGCCCCAGAAAGAGAAGGCACCGGAGGGGGAUCAUUCAGAGCCUCAGUACUGGACAGAAUCCUAGAAGGAGGAGGAAUCAGAGGUUGAUCAUUUGGAGCUUCAUUACGCGGUACAGCCCCAGAAGAUGAAGGCAAUAAAUGCUUUUGGAUUAAACCCACAAAUCUUUGAUGAUCAAGUAAAACCUGACCAUCAGAUUCCUUCAUCUGGUCAAGCUUCCUCUUCAUGUUUGUAGCAUAGUCAUGGGCGAGCUGGUGCAACUGUUUAUUCUCAUGCUUAAGCCCUCUAAUCUCCUGUUUGAGACUCAUCUUUUCAGCCGCCAAUGAUUCAACUUGGCAGGUUCGAGCAAAUAGGCGUUGGGCCAUAUUAGACACAGAACCUGCACACUGAACACUGAGAACUGGCGAAUCCUUAACAGCUAACUCAUCAGACCGUUUGGAAAGUAGUCUGUUAUCUUUGGGAGUGAGAAGGUUCCUGGCCACCACCGCAGCGGUCAUAUCAUUCUUCAUUACGGAAUCCCCAACGGUAAGAGGACCAGUAGGGGAGACGAAGGAUGGGCGCCAUAUGUUGUCUGGAGAAGGCGGGGCUGCCUCUUCAACAAGGUUCAAGUCAAAACGACGGUCGGAAGGGCCAGACAUUUUCAAAGGUGUUGAAGAGAGAAGAGGUCGGACAAAUCAAGAUCUUAGAAGUGCAAGAAUGGAGCUUCUACUGGUGGAUUUCAAGUGUGCUUUAGAACUUAAUGCCAGCCCUUAUAAAAAUCUGCACUCGACGGAGCUUUAGAAAUCGAAGAGGCGUUUGCUUUCUCAAAAGCUGGGCUGCUCAGAGACCACGAGGGUUGAUCUCAGAAAUCGAAGAGGCGUUUGCUUUCUCAAAAGCUGGGCUGCUCAAAGACCACGAAGGCCAAUCUCAGAAAUCGAAGAGGCGCUCGCUUUCUCAAAAGCUGGGCUACUCAGAGACCACGAGGGCCGAUCUCAGAAAUCGAAGAGGCACCUACUUUUCCAGCCUUGUCAGCACCUGUCACACGCACACUCAACUUUGCGGAAAUUAUGGGCAUUCUGUCGAAGACUUCUGGUAAAGUAGAAAACACAUGAACCUUACUGCUCAAUCACCCACUUCCCACACGCAACAAUAGCUCAUGGGUACCACAGAUAACUUUGCCAAAGUUCUCUGCCAAAGUUGAGCACGUGAAGCUUGCAGCUCCUACUACAUCGCUCUAACCAAGAAGGGUAAAAGAAUAGUAAAGAAACAGCACUAACAAAGUUUAGACACAUAAAUUUUGAAGGCCUAGCUACCAUAUUAUUACCCACAAGGGUAAAGGAACAGUACCACUGCUGGAUAAUUGGAAAGUCCCUGUGUGUCAACCUCUGUGCUUCGUGGCAAGGUAGACUAGCAAACAUGCCCAACAUUUACUCACAUUCGAGAAAACUCCCAACAAGAUUGCUUGCUCCAAAAUCGAAGAGGCACCGUCCUCCGAAUCUCGGGAGCCAGACUCCCAACAUGACUACUGUCUCAAAAAUCGAAGAGAGGGUAAGGGAACAGUACCAUUGCUGGAUAAUUGGAAAGUCCCUGUGUGUCAACCUCUGUGCUUCGUGGCAAGGUAGACUAGCAAACAUGCACAACCUUUACUCACAUUCGAGAAAACACUCCCAACAAGAUUGCUUGCUCCAAAAUCGAAGAGGCACCGCCCUCCGAAUCUCGAGAACCAGACUCCCAACAUGAUUACUUUCUCAAAAAUCGAAGAGACACCGCUCUCCGAAUCUCGAGAGCCACACCCCCAGCGCGAUUACUUUCUCAAAAAUCGAAGAGGCAUUGUUCUCCGAAUCAAUCGAAGAGGUGCUCGCUUUCUCAAAAGCUGGGCUGCUCAGAGACCACGAGGGCCGAUCUCAGAAAUCGAAGAGGCACCUACUUUUCCAGCCUUGUCAGCACCUAUCACACGCACACUCAACUUUGCGGAAAUUAUGGGCAUUCUGUCGAAGACUUCUGGUGAAGUAGAAAGCACAUGAAUCUUACUGUUCAAUCACCCACUUCCCACACACAACAAUAGCUCAUGGGUACCACAGAUAACUUUGCCAAAGUUCUCUGCCAAAGUUGAGCACGUGAAGCUUGCAGCUCCCACUACAUCGCUCUGACCAAGAAGGGUAAAAGAAUAGCAAAGAAACAGCACUAACAAAGUUUAGACACAUAAAUUUUGAAGGUCUAGCUACCAUAUUAUUACCCACAAGGGUAAAGGAACAGUACCACUGCUGGAUAAUUGGAAAGUCCCCGUGUGUCCACCUCAGUGCUUCGUGGCAAGGUAGACUAGUAAACAUGCCCAACCUUUACUCACUUUCGAGAAAACACUCCCAACCAGAUUGCUUGCUCCAAAAUCCACCGUCCUCCGCAUCUCGAGGGCCAGACUCCCAACAUGACUACUUUCUCAAAAAUCGAAGAUGGUAAAGGAACAGUACCAUUGCUGGAUAAUUGGAAAGUCCCUGUGUGUCAACCUCUGUGCUUCGUGGCAAGGUAGACUAGCAAACAUGCCCAACCUUUACUCACAUUCGAGAAAACACUCCCAACAAGAUUGCUUGCUCCAAAAUCGAAGAGGCACCGCCCUCCAAAUCUCGAGAGCCAGACUCCCAACAUGAUUACUUUCUCAAAAAUCGAAGAGACACUGCUCCCCGAAUCUUCGAGAGCCAGACCCCCAGCAUGAUUGCUUUCUCAAAAAUCGAUGAGGCAUCGUUCUCCGAAUCAAUCGAAGAGGCGCUCGCUUUCUCAAAAGCUGGGCUGCUCAGAGACCACGAGGGCCGAUCUCAGAAAUCGAAGAGGCACCUACUUUUCUAGCCUUGUCAGCACCUGUCACACGCACACUCAGCUUUGCAGAAAUUAUGGGCAUUCUGUCGAAGACUUCUGGUGAAGUAGAAAGCACAUGAAUCUUACUGUUCAAUCACCCACUUCCCACACACAACAAUAGCUCAUGGGUACCACAGAUAACUUUGCCAAAGUUCUCUGCCAAAGUUGAGCACGUGAAGCUUGCAGCUCCCACUACAUCGCUCUGACCAAGAAGGGUAAAAGAAUAGCAAAGAAAUAGCACUAACAAAGUUUAGACACAUAAAUUUUGAAGGUCUAGCUACCAUAUUAUUACCCACAAGGGUAAAGGAACAGUACCACUGCUGGAUAAUUGGAAAGUCCCCGUGUGUCCACCUCAGUGCUUCGUGGCAAGGUAGACUAGUAAACAUGCCCAACCUUUACUCACUUUCGAGAAAACACUCCCAACCAGAUUGCUUGCUCCAAAAUCCACCGUCCUCCGCAUCUCGAGGGCCAGACUCCCAACAUGACUACUUUCUCAAAAAUCGAAGAGGGUAAAGGAACAGUACCAUUGCUGGAUAAUUGGAAAGUCCCUGUGUGUCAACCUCUGUGCUUCGUGGCAAGGUAGACUAGCAAACAUGCCCAACCUUUACUCACAUUCGAGAAAACACUCCCAACAAGAUUGCUUGCUCCAAAAUCGAAGAGGCACCGCCUUCCGAAUCUCGAGAGCCAGACUCCCAACAUGAUUACUGUUUCAAAAAUCGAAGAGACACCGCUCUCCGAAUCUCGAGAGCCAGACCCCCGCAUGAUUGCUUUCUCAAAAAUCGAAGAGGCAUCGUUCUCCGAAUCUCGAGAGCCAGAUCCUCGAUAGGAUUGCUUGUUCGAAAAUCGAAGAGGCACCACUUUCCCAACUUCAAGAGCCGGAUCUCCUUGGAUAAAGCUUGUCUGUAAUCUUCACACGCAACAUCAGCUUUCUAGAUACCACAGACCACUUUUUCAAAGUGCUCUGACAGAGUUAAAACAUGUGAAGCUGGCAGCUCCCACUACCGUGCUAUGACCAAGCAGGGUAAAGGAAUAGCAUUACUACUUGUUGUUAGGGAAACUCCUAUAUAUGUCGACCUUCAUCCCUAACGGACAGGCAGACCUGCAAAAAUGCUCAACCCUUCCUUAUAUCUGAGAGGGCACUCCCAACGAAGCCUUUCGAAAUAUUCAGCUUUCUUCCCCCCGAUAAUACCUCUGCAAACAAGCUAUACUAGAGCAAGAAUAUCUCAUAUCAUCAGGGUUAAAAGCAAGAGUAUCCCAUAUCAUGCUUUUUCCCUGUCUUUUCCUUUGGCCUUGUUCUUACCUGCAAGACAAGGAGAAAGAGAGCAAUCAGUCAGCACUUGGAAUCAAGCUUCCAGCCAGGAACUGACUGCCUGGAACCCCUUACCUGAUUACUUACCUGGCAUUGCUCUUGAGUACUCAUCUUCAACAUCUUAUGCUCCCAGGGAAGAUACCGCAUAUGCCUGAGGAACAGAUAGGGCAAGUGAGAAGGAUACAAGGAAGCAUAUGGAGACAAGCGUAACAGCACACGUGCCGAUACAUCCAUUACUCUGUCAAAAGCAAAAGUAUCCCAUAUCAGCAAGGUCGAACAUACUCUAGAUUUGAUGGACUUGUUUUGACCCUCAAAUUCUUCAGUCGGCCUUAUACACUGGAGGAAACCAGAAAACCCUCCAGCUCAGUUCAAGAAUAAGCCUGUGGAAAGUUACUUCUUCAAAAGCAAAAGUAUCCCAUAUCAUCUCUUCUCAUUUUUCUUCUCUUUAUCCUUCAUGCUGCCUGCAAGAUAAGGAGAAUGUGAACAAUCAGCCGGAGCUCUGAUUGCUUACCUUGUCUGUCACCUCUUUCAGCAGAUCCCCUAGCUCGGCGACUUGGGGACUCCUACUACAUGGUUUGUAUCGCGCUUGACCAAGCUUGAAACUACAAGUAAGCUUCAAGUGAAAUUGAUACAUUACCUUGUGCAUCUCCACCAGUUACAGAUACCACCCCUGGAUGGAGGAAGAGUACUUCCAGAGAAGAUGCCACAUCUACCUAUGAGACAGAUAAGGCAAGUCAAGACGAUACCACACUCCGGUACUUAGAAGUUUCGUGGUUACGAGAUCAUUCUCCCACAAUAUUUCCUAAUGUCAUUUGUACUAAAUCAUUCACUUGUACUCACUAAAGGAGAGCUUGAACCUACGUACUUGUGUAAACCCUUCACAAUUAAUGAGAACUCCUCUAUUCCGUGGACGUAGCCAAUCUGGGUGAACCACGUGCAUCUUGUGUUUGCUUUCCUAUCUCUAUCCAUUUAUAUACUUAUCAACACUAAUGACCGGAGCAAUCUAGCGAAGAUCACAAAAAGUGACCGUUUUCGCUACCUAGGAUCUAUCUUGCAGGAGAACGGAGAAUUAGAUGGAGAUCUCAACCAUAGAAUACAAGCUGGAUGGAUGAAGUGUAAGAGUGCAUCCGGCGUGUUGUGUGACCGUCGUAGGCCACUGAAGCUCAAGGGAAAAUUUUAUAGGACGGCAAUAAGGCCAACGAUGUUGUAUGGCACAGAAUGUUGGGCGGUGAAGCAUCAACACGUACACAAAAUGGGUGUAGCGGAGAUGAGGAUGCUUCGUGGGAUGUAUGGGCACACGAGAAAGGAUAAGAUUGGGAAUGAGGAUAUCUGAGGUAAAGUAGGAGUAGCCAAAAUUGAAGGAAAUAUGAGAAAAAAUCGGUUCCGGUGGUUUGGACAUGUGCAAAGAAAGCAUAUUGACGCUCCGGUUCGAAAAUGUGACUACGGGACAGAGGUUCAGGGCCGAAGGGGUAGAGGAAGACCUAGGAAAACUUUGGAAGAGACCCUAAGAAAAGACUUGAGUACUUGGAUCUAACGGAGGACAUGACACAAAACCGAGCGCAAUGGAGUUCUAGGAUUCAUAUAGCCGACCCCACUUAGUGGGAAAAGGCUUUGUUGUUGUUGUUGUUGUUUGACUAGAGCAGUGUACUUACUUUUUUGCACCCAAGUUGAAUUUAGUAUAAAUUAUUCUAUGGUUUGGAAAUGGAAAUAAAAAAAAUAAAAAAAGUCAAUUCAUGAAUAAUUCAAUGUAACGGAGUGUUUAAACGCAAAACUUGAGCGAGACAUUAGCGGAAUGAUAGUUUCAAUCCCGACCACAAAUUUGCUACACCAACUAGUAUAGGGCCUCGUAUCGGAUGGAAGAUGUCGAAGAGGACGCUUUCUGAAAAAAAACAGCAUACAUCACAGCCAUGAUGCGUAGUCUGAAAACUUUCUGACACAAAUCACCAAAUGGGCAAGCUCAAAGUUUACAAAUUUCCAAUUGGGUAAGUUCAAAGUUUACAAAUUUCCAAUUGGGUAAGCUCAAAGUUGACAAAUUCCCAAUUGGGUAAGCUCAAAGUUCACAAAUUGUCAAUUGAGUAAGCUCAUAUUACAAUAUUCACUUAACAGAGCAAUUUUUAAAAUGUGUGAUCAAAAGUAUAAUGAUUUGUCAAAACGUGCCUAUUGUGAUUAAUUAUCCUUGUAUUAUUAAAGCAAUGUCAUAUCAGAACGACAAUGUACUCACUUUAUGAAAAUUCUUCGCGUCCGUUACAUUUUAGAAUGUACACAUGGAAGUCAUUCAAAACAUAAUCACAGUUGCCAUGUGUUUUCCUGGUCCGCCAAAUGAUCAUUUUCUUGUCCUUUGUGUUUUGUUAAGUAGUUCCUGCAUUUUGGCCCCCAUUUUCUGAUUAAUAUAUGAAGGGCAUGAACCUUCGCAUAUAGAAUUGAUUAAACAGCAGUUUUAAAAAGUGAAAUCAAAAGUGCCACAAUUUGUCAAAAGUUGUCAAACUGUGAGUUUGUGACUAAUUGCCCUUGUAUUACUCGAGCAAUGUGAUACCACAUCAAUGGUAUGGUAUACUCGUUCUAUGGAAAGUCUUCAUGAUCUUUAUAAUUUAGAUAAGACAAAUGAAUGAAUCAUUCAAAACAUAAAGUUUUUUUAAUUUUAUUUUUAAUUUUUUAUGUUAAAUUUUUUUUCACGCAUUAUUGUGUUAUUUAUUUAAAAUAUUGACUAAAUGGCGAACUAGAUAAGUGAUUCUCGUGGAAAGAAUACAAGUUAGGGAUGGGCAAACAGGUAUAGGAACCACGGGUCGAGACGGGUUCAAAAAUUAUAAAUACAAAACGAGACGGAACAGAACAGGACGGGACGGGUAUAGGUAAAUAAUGGGGCGAGAUGGUUCUAGAAAUUGGAAAAAAAGGCCCCGGCCUGGACCGUUGAUUUCCCACCGUUGACUCUCUCUCUCUCUUUUUCUUGUCCGAGACUCCCAAGACCCCAUUCCAUUCUCAGACCUCCCCUCUCUAGGUCUCUCCUCCUUGAAUCUCAUUUGCUCUCUCGCCGCCACCAUCAUCAUCAGACCUUGAUUUCUCCUCCUGAUUCACUCUUGUCUUCCUCACUCGGUCCGCUGCCAUCAUUAUCAGGCCUCGUUCGCUUGAUCUUUGGCGACUCUUUGUGGUGCGCCGACGACAAGGUCGUUGAUGAGUUCCUGAUGGAGUAGCCAAUCCCGCCGUACCUGUUCGCGUUCGCCGUCAACAAAGGGUUUGGGUGGUUCUUUCCGGUGGUGGCUCUGGGAAUGCUGAGGUACAUGAUCGCCACAUCAAACAUCAUACAUGACUGCGACGAGGUCUUCAACUUUUGGGAGCCUCUCCAUCUCGAUUCUCUUUCUUUUUCCUCUCUGAAAAAUUGAAACUUUGUUCUUUUUAGGUGUUUUGUUUCUGGGUUUUGAUUGUUUGUUAUUUUCUGGGUUGUUUUUAUUUUGCUUGUUAUGAAAUUAUUUGUCUUUGUGGUUAUUUGAAGUUUAUUUGAUAUUAAAGAUGUUAAUAUAAUGCUAUGUUUGGUUAUAAUUUGUAGAGAACUAUUAAGCUCUGGAUUUAAUUUAUUGGGGAAGUUGGUUGUGUAAUUUCUCAAAAAAAAAAAAAGGAACAUAGGGCCCGUGUUCUCGGCCCAAACCGGCCCGUCCUGUUUCCUUUUUAAGUGGAUCAGGUCCGGUCCCUCCAAAUUUGAGUCUGGCCCGGCCCGGCCGGUGCCCAUCUCUAAAUUACAAGUUUCUAACUUUUCUUGUGCGCGUGGAUUGUCAUUUUGUGCUGUUGGUGGAAUACUGACACAAUUGCAAACCUAAUUCUUUUAAAAAAGGAAAACUAAUGAAAAAUGCUUGAAAACUUUGAGUUUUAAUGAUAAGGACAAAAUAAAGGGUAAAGUGAAUAGUACCAUGAUUGACUUUUUAGUGUAAAAAUGUGGUUUUUCGUUAAAGUGAACAGUACCGGGUGCUUUUAGUUAAAGUUCCCUUUAAAAAAUUUGUUUGUUUUGUAGCUUCUUAUCUUCAAAGUUUUGUUUUAGAGGCGUUUGGUCAUAUGUCAUUUUGUUUUGUCUAUUUUCGUUACAUUAGGUGUAACUUUUUUCUUUUCUUUUCAUUUUAAUAAAUGGGGGUAAGGCUAGCCGACAUUCACCUCUCACAGACCCUGCGUAAAGCGGAAGCCUUGUACACUGGGUACGACCUUUAAUAAAAUUUCCUUCUACCAUUGAGGUUCUACCAGAAGAAAAUGACAAAUGAAAAAUAAUCUACCCACAAUUCAUCUAAAUUAUGAAAACAAAGAAGAAUUUAGACCCAAAACACAAUGGUUUGAAUAGAAAAACCUUAUCCCAAGAUAACCCACAAUUUGUGAUAUUUCACUCCAUGAAAAUCCUGCUCAAUUUUCAUUCCUUAAACAUCUAUUCAGGAUAUGGCAAGUAAAGCGUGGAGAUUGGUUACAGCCCUUGUGACUAAACGUAAACGAUGGUAAAAGGAAUUAGCAUAGCAAAUUGAAUUAUUGCAGAGCUCUAAAUGUUGUGAACUGUAAUGGAGGAUCGCUCAGUAGAAGAAAUAAAUAAGUAGUGGUGAUGUAGGACUGUUUUGUAAGGGAUUUUGGGUUAAAGUGUAAGGGUUUUUGUAAUCGGGUUCAAUUGUAAUCACCUAAGUCUUUAGUGGAGCCUAGUUAAUUUGUUAGUGGUGUCCAGCUGGCACACAUGUAGUGGGGAAAAUAACACUGGCGCGUGGUUAAAUGGUGGCCAGAGGAAAUUGUAAGGGCAUGAUGAAAUUAAUGAGCAGAAUAUCCUUCUCUCUUUUCUCUCUACUCUGUCCCUUCAUCACUGUCGCCACAGCUGCCAUUGCAGGUUGAGGCCAUAGCAGGUCUGGGUCUUAUCACUAAAGUCUUUUGUGGUCUGGAAUCUGGAUGCGUUGACUUUCAUAAGCGAUCAGAUGAGUUCGAUGGAAACAAGUCCCUUCAUCUUCAUGAUCAUCUGAAAACUUCAAUUGAUGCAGUAAGUUCUUCUUCCAACAAUAUCUAUAUGGGAAAGCCAUUAUUUAUUCGUUAUUUAUUUCAUUUUCUUCAUCUUAAUUGCAGCUAAAUAUAUAUAUGGUUUCAUGUUCAACACUUUGUUAAUUGCACUAAAGUUUUCAAAUUCAACUGAAAUCUGAUUGAGCCCCUGUGUAGCCGAUUGAACAUAAAGAUUUUAACAUGUAAAAAGCAUAUGGUUUUUAACAUAUAUACCCGAUUGAGCCCCUGUGUAGCCGGUUGGACGGUUAUGGAAUUGCAUAAAUUUGUAUACAAUAAUUAGUUUCAUCUGUUUUAAUUGUGCAGCUGUGACUACUUGUGAGUCUUGAUUGGUAUUGCUUAACGGAUCAAACUUCCAAUUCAAGAAACUAUGGCGGCAGAAAAUUUUCUUGUGGCAUUCCUCCAAGUGCUGGUUGACAAGUUGGCGCAACGCGAGGUCUUCAAGUACUUUGGACUCGUAAAGGGCAUCGAUCAGAUACUGAAGAAGUGGAGUGCCACCUUGUCUGCAAUUGGAGCGGUGCUGAAUGACGCGGAGGAAAGGCAACUGACUGCUGAGAGCAACGCACUGAAGCUCUGGCUCGAUGAUCUCAGGGACUUGGCUUUUGAUGCGGAAGACGUGUUGGAUAAAUAUCAUACUAAAAUGUUGAAACGUCAGAUACAACAUGCUCAUUCCAGCACAACAAGCAAAGCAUGGAAAUCAAUUCCUAAUCGUCUUUUCAACUUCAAAAUGAAUUUGGAAAUACAGAAGAUUACUGAGCGAUUACAAGAGAUAUCUGAAAGAAAAGACCAGCUUAGUUUGAAAAUUGAUACUGGGAUGUUGACUACAAGGGCACAUCAACACAUAUCGCCUAGUUCUAGUCUACCGGAUGGACCUGUGAUUGGAAGGGAGGAGGACAAAAGGAAGAUUGUUGAGCUGCUGUCAAAGCAAGAGCAUCGUGCUGUCAAUUUCGAUGUAGUUGCAAUUGUUGGUAUGGCUGGAGUUGGAAAGACAACACUUGCUGGACAAGUACUCAAAGAUAUUGUUGCAACCCAAAUGUUUCAACCAGCCAUUUGGGUGUGUGUAUCUGACGACUUCAACCUUCAAAGAGUGACAAAGCAAAUUCUUGAAUCAAUCACAUCUCGACAAUGUACCACAGAAGAUCACAAUAAGGUUCAAGAUGAUCUGCAUAAGGAGUUAGCAGGGAAGAAGUUUUUAAUUGUUUUAGAUGAUGUUUGGAAAACGUGUAGCUACAGAGAAUGGAUGAAGCUGCAGUCCCCUUUUCGUGAUGGAGCACAAGGAAGCAAGAUAGUUGUGACAACACGUGAUACAGAUGUUUCAAAAAUGAUGGGAGCUGCCACGCUGGUUCACAACUUGGUGCCUAUGGAAAAUCAUUUUUGUUUGCAAGUAUUUGAGCAGCAUGCAUUCUUAAAUUUUAACGACAAACCGCCAAAUUAUGAGUUACUUCAGGAGAAAAUUGUUGCAAAGUGUAGGGGAUUGCCUUUGGCUGCGAGUACCCUCGGUGGUGUUCUACUUCGUAAAGAAAUAGACAAAUGGGAAGAAAUAUUGAACAACAAGUUGUGGAGUGUCUCAAAUGAGCAUGACAUACUUCCUGUGUUGAGACUAAGUUACUUUUAUCUUCCUUCACAUUUGAAAAGAUGCUUUGCCUAUUGCUCAAUACUUCCAAAUGACUAUGAAUUCGGGGAUAUGCAAAUGAUCCUUCUGUGGAUGGCCGAGGGUUUGAUUCUUUCUCGACCAGAAGAUAAUAAGCAAAUUGAAGAUUUAGGCGCUGAUUAUUUCCGGGAGCUCGUAUCUAGGUCAUUGUUUCAAAAGUCAACCAAAAAUACUUCAAAAUAUGUGAUGCAUGACCUCAUUGGUGAUUUAGCAAGAUGGGCAGCUGGAGAUAUUUGUUUUAGAUUGGAGGAUAAGCAAAAUGAUGAUGGUGUACAACUUAGAUGUUUUCCAAAGGCACGCCAUUCGUCUUACUUUAUGGGUCACUAUGAUGGGGCUAAAAGAUUUAAGGCAUUUUCUAAAGUGAAAUGUCUGCGAACCUUCUUGCCACUAAGAAAGGGUUCUGGCUACAAUUACUUAAGCCAUCAGGUUACUUCUGAUUUAUUGCCAAAAUUGCAGUACUUGCGGGUGCUCUCUUUUAAUGGCUAUAGAAUAACUGAGCUGCCAAACUCAAUUGGUGAUUUGAGAUAUCUACGAUAUCUUGACCUUUCCUACACAGCUAUAACUAGUUUGCCUAAAUCAAUCAGUACUCUUUACAACUUGCAAACAUUGUUAUUGGAACGCUGUUCCUAUUUGAAGUCAUUGCCUGCAGACAUAAGUAAUCUAAUUAAUUUGCGCCAUCUCAACAACUCAGAUGUAUCUUGGGUGGAAGGAAUGCCUCCAAAACUAGGUAGAUUGGUGAACCUCCAAUCUUUGCCUAAUUUUGUGGUCAGUGGUAGAAGUGAUCAAUCAGGAAUAAGAGAGAUAGGGCCUCUAUCGCAUCUCCGAGGGACAUUGUGCAUAUCAGGAUUGGAGAAUGUGACUGAUGUCAAGGAUGCUCAGAGGGCCAAUUUAAAAUACAAGGCGAGGCUUGAUUCGUUGGUCCUAAAAUGGUCUUAUUCAAGCGACACAAGAGAAAUGGAAUCUGCUGUGCUUGACAUGUUAGAGCCUCAUAGAAAGAUCAAGGAGCUCACCAUCAAGAGUUAUGCCGGAAAGGAAUUUUCAUCAUGGGUUGGAGGUCAUUUGUUCUCUAAUAUGGUGCUUGUGCGCUUAGAGGAAUGUAACAAUUGUUUAUCUUUGCCACCUCUUGGACAAUUGCCUCAACUCAAAGAACUUUAUAUUAGAGGAAUGAAUGCAGUGGAAAGUGUUGGUGCUGAGUUUUAUGGAGAGCGUUACUUGCCUUUUCAGGUAUUAGAGACUCUUGAGUUUGUGGAAAUGCAGCAUUGGAAAGAAUGGCUUCCUUUCCAACUGGAUCACGAAAGUGGUGUUUUCCCUUACCUGAAAACACUCAUAGUAAAAAAAUGUUCUAAACUGGAGGGUAAGCUGCCAGAGAACCUCAAUUCUUUAGGUAAGCUUGAAAUUGUUGAAUGUGAAGAAUUAGUGGUUUCGACUGCCAACUACAAACAACUUCGUCAAUUAAACAUUGACGGUUGUGAAGUGUUGGUGCAUACAGCUGCUAAGGUUGAGUUUGAGUUAUUAGAGUCCUUGUGGCUUUCAAGCAUUUCAGAGGUGAUGUCUCUACAAACAGGAGAAUUGUUCAACAAGGGAUUAAGCAAGGUUAAAGAUUUGAAGAUUAAUGGAUGUGAGGAGGUGACGUCUUCAUUCAGGAAUGAGGCUAGAUUAUUGCAGCAGUUGACUUCUCUUGGCUGUUUGGAAAUUGAAGGCAACUCUCUUCUAGUUGAAGAAUUGGGAAAGGAAGCAGAGGAGUUGCAAACAUUGGAGUGCAGGAUUGAAUGUCUGGAGUUAAACAAGUGCGAAAAUCUUAUGAAGCUACCAAAAGGGUUAAAUCAAUUGUCGUUUCUUCAAAAGCUUGGCAUACACGAAUGUUCACGUCUAGUUUCUUUCCCAGAUGUUGGUCUGCCACCUUCUCUUAAAGACAUCGAGAUUACAUCGUGUGAUUCGUUGAUAUAUUUUGCAAAAUUCCAGAUUCCCCAAAAUCUCAGAAGAAUAGAGAUAAGAGAGUGCAAAAGUUUGAAAUCACUAGUAGAGGAUGAGGCUUUUGGUUCUUCCUGGUCGUCUUCUUCUCAUAGUUGUCUUGAGUACUUGUUUAUCGAUGGAUGUAAAACUCUGACGUCGUUAUCAUUGAGUGGCCAGCUUCUCAGGACACUUAAACACUUUCAGACAUACAGAUGUGAACAACUGGAGUUAAUUGCACAAGAUGGGUUCUUCUACGACAACACUAAUUACUGUCUUGAAUAUUUUAGGAUAUGGAAGUGUGAAAAUCUGAAAUCCUUACCGGAUGGUUUAUGCCACCUCAGCAAUCUUCAAAAGCUACAUAUUCAAGAAUGUGGAAGUCUUGUUUCCAUCCCGAGACUGAGUGGGGGGAAAAGACCCUCCAACCUGAGGGAGAUCGAGAUCAGAAAUUGCGAGAAAUUGGAGGCGUUGCCCGAAGACAUGCACAAUCUCAACUCUCUUGAGGAUUUGAGAAUCGACUACCGUGAAGGUUUGACUUUUCCUCCCAACCUCACAUCACUUACAAUUUGGAAAGUCAAGAGCUGUAAGUCAUUGUGGGUGUUGGAGCGGGGGUUGCACAGACUCACCUCUCUUAGCAAGUUGGGGAUCUAUGGUGAUAACCCGGAUACGGUGUCGUUUCCACCAGACAUGGUCCGCAUGGAGUUGCUCCUCCCUAGAUCUCUCACUCAACUCCAUAUUUGUGGCUUCCCGAAUCUGAAGAAACUGAGCAGCAAGGGCUUUCAAUUCCUCACCUCCCUUCAAUCGCUUACACUAUGGAAUUGUCCAAAGCUAGCAUCCAUUCCAGAGGAGGGUCUGCCUCCUUCACUUACGAAACUUUGGAUCUUUGGGUGUCCUGUGCUAAAAGAGAGAUGCCAACCAGGAAAAGGACGCUACUGGCACAAAAUAUCCCACAUUCCUUCCAUGCAGAUAUAGAUUUUAAGAUGAUUUGAAGCUGAUGGUCGAUUCGAUCCCAUUCUCUAGGUUCAGGUAUCAUCUUCUCAAGGAAUGUUUAAUGCCAUGGUCUUCCCCCCAGAAAGCUUUUGCUGCAUAUCUGAAGGUACUUUUAUGGUUUAAAGCCAUGGUCUUAGUAGCUAUUGCUUUGGCAUUUUUGGCUAGUCAAUUUUUAGAUACUGCUGGACUAAGUUCCAAUAUGCUCAUUUGCAGUCCUCUUGCCCAGAAACCAUCAAUUAAACAACAGCAGAAUGCGAUAAACUCUAUUCAGUAUACUCUUCAGUAAUAAGAGCUUUUGAUCAAGAAGAGGUAAUGUUUACCUUUAUUCUCAUUUUUCCUUUCCUUGCUCUAAACUACUUUUGUGCUGGCAGUUUGGUUGUUAAAGGAGCAAUUUUCCUUCUGCAAAAUGUAAAAUGCCUGUAGUUACUGCCUAUUGAAACCAAGAUACUUGUAAUAAUUGGUUUUUGUUUCUCGUUGCAGAUUUUCAAAGUCUAUUUGUGGACAGUUUCUUGAGCAGGCGACACCCUUUCAAGCCGAAAUGUAAUUGUUAUCUCAGAUAAUUGGCAGACUGAUUGUAGUUUAGAAGAGUAACAAGUUCCAUUGGCAGAAGGCCAAUUGCCUAAGCUAUUGAGUAAUUUGGUCAGCAUCUCCUGCUGCUUUCUUGUUUCUUUGGCACCGCCACUUCGACUGCCACUGGUUAGUAUAGGGCUUCAUAUCGGAUGGAAGAUGUCUAAGAGGACGCUUUCUCCAAAUAAAAAAAAAAAAGCAUAUCUGAAAACUUUCUGAUACAAAUCACCAACUGGGUAAGCUGAAAGUUUAGAAAUUUCCAAUUGAUUAAGCUCAAAGGUGACAAAUUUCCAAUUGGGUAAGCUCAAAGUUAAAAAAUUGUCAAUUGAGUAAGCUCAUAUUUCACCCCCUUUCCAAUUAAUGAAGGACACUAUAUAACUUCUUACGGAUACAAUUUAUCAAAACGUACCUAUUGUGAUUAAUUACCCUUGUAUUAUUCAAAUGUGAUAUCAAAAUGAUAGCGUACUUACCCUAAAAAAAUUAUUUAUGGCCGUUACACUUUUAGACUAUACACAUGAAUUAGUCAUUCAAAACAUAGGAACAAUUGCCAUGCGUUUUCCUAGUCUGCCAAAUGAUCAACUUUGUCUUCUUGUCCUUUGUGUUGUGUUAAGGUAGUUGUUGUAUUUUUGCCCCCUUUUAUAGAUAAAUGAAGGGCACUACGAACCUUCACAUAUAUAUUAUAAAAUUGAUUAAAAAAAGCAGUUUUAAAAAGCGAAAUUAUAAGUGCCACCAUUUGUCAAAAGAUGUUCACAAUAAGUUUGUGACUAAUUUUCUUUAUAUUAUUCUAAUUUUCUUUAUAUUAUUCAAGAAAUAUAAUAUCAUGAUAACUGUAUAUUGUUUUAGUACCGUUACACUUAAAACUAGGCACAUGAAUCAAUUCUUCAAAACAUAAAAGUUUUUCUAAUUAUUUUUCUUUGAUGCUAAGUUAUUCAUCGCGCAUUAUUGUGUUAUAUUUGAAAUAUUGACUCAAUGAUAAAGUAGAUAAGUGAUACUCGAAAGAAUAUAACUUAUUAACUUUUGUUGUACGUGGAUUGCCAUGAGGAUAGUGGAACUGCAACUUUUCUAGCAUGUGGAAUUCUGACACAAUCGCAAACCUAAUCCUUUUAAAAAUUGUUUGUUUUGUAGCUUUCUUAUCUUUUAUAUUUUGUUUUAGAGAGAUUUUGUCUUUUAUUUUUUUAUCUAUGUAUUUUUUUUUACAAAGAGUAAGGUUUAUGUUUUUUUUUAUAUCAAAAAAAUUCCUUGUACCAUUGAGAUAUUACCAAAAUAAAAUGACAAAAGAUAAAUAAUCUAUAUUAAAUUCAUCUAAAUUAUGGGAAGAACUAGGAUUUAAACCCAAAAUACUGGGGCAAUCCACUUGUAAUAACUUCACUCCAUCAUGAAUCUUACUCAAUUUUCAUUUCUUAAACAUCUAUUCAAGGGAUAGGCUUUUUAGCCAAAAUAGUUUCUGAGAUUUACAUAACUCAUCAUUUUGUUUCUGAGAUUUGAAAUCAAUAUAAGUGGUCUAUAAGAUUGUCUACCAUCAAUCAUUUUGAUUAUUCCGUGAAACAUUAUGUUAAAUAAGGAUCAAAAUGAUAAAAUACAUUUAAUUUAAUAAACAAUAGGCCAAAAUGAUCUGACAAAAAUUAAGAAUAUUUUUGUCAUUUUAUUCUUAUUUAAUGAAUAUUUUUCAUAGAAUAACCAUUAAUGUGGACAAUUUCAAGAAUCAAUUCUAUUAAUUUCAAAUCUUAAAAACCAAAAUAAUGAAUUAUACAAAUUUAAAGAACUAUUUUAACUAAAAAAUCUUCGGGACAUGGUAAGUAUAAGUGUGGAGUUACUGCUCUUGUGACUAAACGAUGGAAAAGCCGAAUCAGGACUCAUGGCGGCGACUUCGGUAAAAUCUAGUGUCGGUAGGGUUAAGAGCUCUUGGGGUGUUUGCCAAUUUCCAAUGCUUUUUCGUGAUCUGCCAAAUCAUCAACUUUGCUUUCUUGUCCUUCCAACUGUGUGGCUCACGAUAAAAGUUGCAUUUUUACUCCUCAUCUUAAAUUAGGAUGUACUUUCAUCAUAUAUUUUAAAAGAAAAACUAAUGAAAAGGUUUUGAAAACUUUGAGUUUUAAUGAUAAGGAUAAAAUAAAGGGUAAAGUAAAUAGUACCAGGAUUGACUUUUUAAUGUAAAAAUAUGAUUUUUCGUUAAAGUGAACAUUACAGAGUGCUUUUCGUUAAAGUUCCCUAUUUUAAAUUCUGUUAUGUAUUUUUAAUUUAACUCUGAUUAAUUUUUAUAUUAAACAUUUUUUUUAAUUUACAAAUUUAAUCAUCUUAACAUUAUUUUUUUUAUUUUUUUAUAACAAAAAUUUAUGACCCAAGGAUAGUAAAGAGGGGAUAACAAAAAUUUUUGCCACAAAGGAUAUAUCAUGGUAAAUUGAAUUAUUGAAGAGCUCUAAAGUCUUUUGCCAUAUGGAAUCUAGAAUUGUUGAUUUUCAUAAGCGAUCAGAUCGAUGGAAACGCGUCCCUUCAUCUUCUUGAUCAUCCGAGAACUUCAAUUAAUUUAGUAAGUUCUUCUUCCAGCUAUAUCUAUAUGGGAAAUCCAUUAUUUAUUCAUUAAAUAUUUCAUUUUCUUCAUCUUAAUUGCAGCUAUAUAUAUAUGGUUUAAUGUUCAACACUUUGUGCAGUCUUAAGCUCGAGAGAUCAAGCUUCCAGGGAACUACUUAAAUCUUAAUUGCACUAAAGUUUUCAACUGAUCCUCGGAAGCAAGUGUCCUCGUGAUCCGACGACUUCCAUGUAAGUUCUUGCUACACAUCCGGUUUUAUAUUCAUUCGAGUUUCGAGUUAUGUAACUUGUCGUGUCCUAAAUUAAUAGUGGUAGUUUAAAAUGUAAACAAUAUAUAAUUUUUGACAUAUCUGAUUGAGCUUCUGUGUACCCAUAUAAUUAGUUUCAUCUGCUUAAAUUGUGCAUUUGUGACUACCAUGUGCUGCUUCUUGUGCUUUGUGCUGUGCGCUCAGGACAAUAGUUUUUUAUUACACAGAGGAAACAGGAGAAGACAAAAUUAUGCCCUGCGACAAUGAAGAGAUAGAGAAAAGAAAGAGGAGGAUUUAUCAUAGCAAAUUGAACUAUUGAAAGCUCUGAAGUCUUUGUCGUCUGGAAUCUGGAUUCUUCGACUCCAAUACGAGAUCAGAUCAGAUCAGAUGCAAUCAAGUCUCUUCGUCUUCAUGAUCAUCUGAAAACUUCAAUUUAAUGCAGUAAGUUCUUCCAAUUAUAUUUAUAUGGGAAAUCCAUUAUUUUUAUUUAAUUAUUUCAUUUUCUUCAUCUUAAUUACAGCUAUAAAUAAUAUAUAUAUUUAUGUGGUUUAAUGGUCAACAGUUUGUGCAGUUUUAAGCUCGAGAGCUCAAGCUUUCAGGGAACUACUCAGUCUUAACUGCGCUAAAGUUUUCAACUUCAACAAAAACUUGAUCCCUGGAAACAAGUGUUCUCUUGAUCUGACGACCUGACGACUUUCACGUAAGUUAUUGCUACGCAUCUGGUCCUCUUACUAGUGUAACGUGUUUCAAGUUGUGUACCGUGUCGGAUUAUAAAUUAAUAAUGUUAUUUUAAAAUGUAACAAAGAUAUGAUUUUGUAGUCUCGAAUUUAUCUUUUGUGCUUUGUCUGUCAAAUUAAGCAAUUUUGAGUAAAACGUAAUUGAACUUAUCAUGUAAUUGAACUAUUUGACAGUAAAACGUAACGUGACUCACAUACCCGAUGGAGCCCGUGUACCCAAAUAAUUAGUUUCAUCUGUUUAAAUUGUGCAGAUGUGACUACUUGUGGGUCUUGAUUGGUAUUUUUUCAACGGAUCAAACUUCCAAUUCAAGAAACUAUGGCGGCAGAGGCUUUUCUUGUGUCAUUCCUCCACUUGCUGGUUGACAAGUUGGCGCGUCGCGACGUCUUGAAGUACUUUGGACUCGUAAAAGGCGUCGAUAAGAAACUGACGGAAUGGAUUGCCACCUUGUCUGCAAUUGGAGCUGUGCUGAUUGACGCGGAGAAAAGGCAACUGGCGGAUGAGAGCAACAUACUGAAGCUCUGGCUCGAUGAUCUCAGGGACUUGGCUUUUGAUGCGGAAGACGUGUUGGAUAAAUAUCAUACUGAAAUGUUGAAACGUCAGAUACAUCAUGCUCAUUCCAGCGCAACAAGCAAAGCAUGGAAAUCAAUUCCUAAUGGUGUUUUCAACUUCAAGAUGAACUCAGACAUACAGAAGAUUACUGAGCGUUUACAAAAGAUAUCUGUACGAAAAGACCAGCUCGGUUUGAAAAUUGAUACUGGGACGUUGACUACAAGGGCACGCCAACACAUACCGCCUAGUUCUAGCCUACCAGAUGGACCUGUGAUUGGAAGGGAGGAGGACAAAAGGAAGAUUGUUGAGCUGCUGUCAAAACAAGAGCAUCGUGCUGUCAAUUUCGAUGUAGUUGCAAUUGUCGGUAUGGCUGGAGUCGGAAAGACAACACUUGCUGGACAAGUACUCAAAGAUAUGGUUGCAACCCAAAUGUUUCAACCAGCCGUUUGGGUGUGCGUAUCUGACAACUUCAACCUUGAAAGAGUGACAAAGCAAAUUCUUCAAUCAAUCACAUCUCGGCAAUAUACCACAGAAGAUUACGAGAAGGUUCAAAAUGAUCUGCAUAAGGAGUUAGCGGGGAAGAAGUUUUUAAUUGUUUUAGACGAUGUUUGGAAAACGUGUAGCUAUGGUGAAUGGAUGAAGCUGCAGUCCCCUUUUCGUGAUGGAGCACAAGGAAGCAAGAUAGUUGUGACAACACGUGAUACAGAUGUUUCAAAAAUGAUGGGAGCUGCCACGCUGGUUCACAAUUUGGUGCCUAUGGAAAAUGAUGUUUGUUUGCAAGUAUUUGAGCAGCAUGCAUUUUUGAAUGCUAACAACAAUAGACCACCAAACUACGAGUUACUUAAGGAGAAAAUUGUUGCAAAGUGUAGGGGAUUGCCUUUGGCCGCGAGGACCCUCGGUGGUGUUCUACUUCGUAAAGAAAUAGACGAAUGGGAAGAAAUAUUGGACAACAAAUUGUGGAGUCUCUCGAAUGAGCAUGACAUACUUCCCGUGUUGAGACUAAGUUACUUUUAUCUUCCUUCACAUUUGAAAAGAUGCUUUGCCUAUUGCUCAAUACUUCCAAAUGACUAUGAAUUCGGGGAGAUGCAAAUGAUCCUUUUGUGGAUGGCCGAGGGUUUGAUUCAUCCUCGACCAGAAGAUAAUAAGCAAAUUGAAGAUUUAGGUGCUGAUUAUUUUCGGGAGCUUGUAUCUAGGUCAUUGUUUCAAAAAUCAACUGCAAAUAUUUCAAGAUAUAUGAUGCAUGACCUCAUUGGUGAUUUAGCACGAUGGGCAGCUGGAGAUAUUUGUUUUAGAUUGGAGGAUAAGCAAAAUGAUGAUGGUGUACAACUUAAUCCGAAGGCACGCCAUUCGUCUUACCUUUUGGGUCAUUGUGAUGGGGUUAAAAGAUUUGAGGCAUUUUCUGAAGUGAAAUGUUUGCGAACCUUCUUGCCACUAAGAAAGGGUUCUACCUACUUUUUUAAGUCGUCUGGUUACCUUUGAUUUAUUGCCAAAAUUGCAGUACUUGCGGGUGCUCUCUUUUAAUGGCUAUCGUAUAACUGAGCUGCCAAACUCAAUCGGUGAUUUGAGACAUCUACGGUAUCUUGACCUUUCCUACACAGCUAUAACUAGUUUGCCUAAAUCGAUAAGUACUCUUUACAACUUGCAGACAUUGAUAUUGGAAGGCUGUAAUGAUUUGAAGUCAUUGCCUGCAGACAUGAGUAAUCUAGUUAAUUUGCGCCAUCUCAACAACUCAAAUGUAUCUUCGUUGGAAGGAAUGCCUCCAAAACUAGGUAGAUUGGAGAAUCUCCAAUCUUUGCCCAAUUUUGUGGUGUGUGGUGGAAGUGAUGAAUCAGGGAUAAGAGAGAUAGGGCCCCUAUCGCAUCUCCGAGGGACAUUGUGCAUCUCAAGAUUGGAGAAUGUGACUGAUUUCGAGGAUGCUCAGAAGGCUGACUUAAAAUGCAAGGAGUGGCUUGAUUCUUUGGUUCUAGAAUGGUCUCAUUCAAGCGACACAAGAGAAACUGAAUCCGCUUUGCUUGACAUGUUACAGCCUCAUAGAAAGAUCAAGGAGCUCACCAUCAAGAGUUAUGCCGGAAAGGAAUUUUCAUCAUGGGUUGGAGGUCAUUUGUUCUCUAAUAUGGUGCUUGUGCGCUUAGAGGAAUGUAACAAUUGUUUAUCGUUGCCUCCUCUCGGACAAUUGCCUCAUCUCAGAGAACUUUAUAUUAUUGGAAUGAAUGCAGUGGAAAGUGUUGGUGCUGAGUUUUGUGGAGAGCGUAUGUUGCCUUUUCGGGUAUUAGAGACUCUUGAGUUUGUGGAAAUGCAGCAUUGGAAGGAAUGGCUUCCUUUCCAAGCCGAUCACGAAGGUGGUGCUUUCCCUUGCCUGAAAACACUCUUAGUAAAAAAAUGUUCUAAACUGGAGGGUAAACUGCCAGAGAACCUCAAUUCUUUAGCUAAGCUUGAAAUUGUUGAAUGUGAAGAAUUAGUGGUUUCAAUUGCCAACUGUAAACAACUUCGUCAGUUAAACAUUGACGGUUGUAAAGUGUUGGUGCACACAGCUGCUAAGGUUGAGUUUGAGUACUUAGAGUCCUUGUGCUUUUCAAACAUUUCGAAGGUGAUGUCUCUGCAAACAGGGGAAUUGUUGAAGAAGGGAUUAAGCAAGGUUAGAGAUUUGAAGAUCAGUGGAUGUGAGGAGGUGACGUCUUCACUGAAGAAUGAGGAGGGUAGAUUAUUGCAACAGUUGACUUCUCUUGGCAGUUUGAAAAUUGAAGACAACUCUCGUCUAGUUGAAGAAUUGGGAAAAGAAGCAGAGGAGUUGCAAAUAUCGGAAUGCAAGCUUGAAUUUCUGGAGUUAAAAAAGUGCGAAAAUCUUUUGAAGCUACCAAAAGGAUUAAAUCAGCUGUCGUCUCUUCAAGAGCUUCGCAUACACAAAUGUUCAAGUCUAGUUUCUUUCCCAGAUGUUGGUCCGCCACCUUCUCUUAAAGACAUCGAGAUUAGAGAGUGCGAUUCGUUGAUAUAUUUUGCAAAAUUCCAGAUUCCCCAAAAUCUCCGAAGAAUAAAGAUAACAUGGUGCAAAAGCUUGAAAUCACUAGUAGAUGAGGAGACUGUUGGUUCUUCUUGGUCGUCUUCUACUCAUACUUGUCUUGAGUACUUGAGUAUCAAAGGAUGUGAAUCUCUGACGUCGUUAUCAUUGAGUGGCCAGCUUCCCAGGACACUUAAACACCUUGAGAUAGAGAAUUGUGAACGACUGGGUUUAAUAGCACCGAACGGGUUCUUCAGCGACAACACCAAUCACUGCCUUGAAUAUAUUACCAUCUGGAAUUGCCAAAAUCUGAAAUCCUUACCGGAUGGCUUAUGCCACCUCAGCAAUCUUCAAACUCUAGGUAUUCGAAAAUGUGGAGGUCUUGUUUCCAUCCCGAGACUGAGUGAGGGGAGAAGACCCUCCAACCUGAGAAAUAUCGAGAUCACCGAUUGCGACAAAUUGGAGGCGUUGCCCGAAGACAUGCUCAAUCUCAACUCUCUUGAGUACUUGAGCAUCGACUACCGUGAAGGUUUGACUUUUCCUCCCAACCUAACAUCACUUAUAAUAUGGAAGGUCAAGAGUUGUAAGUCAUUGUGGGAGUUGGAGUGGGGGUUGCACAGACUCACCUCUCUUAGAGAAUUAUGGAUCAUCGGUGAAGACCCAGAUACGGUGUCGUUUCCACCCGACAUGGUCCGGAUAGAGACACCCCUCCCCAAAUCUCUCACUCUUCUCAAAAUAGAAGGCUUCCCGAAUCUGAAGAAACUGAGCAGCAAGGGCUUUCAAUUCCUCACCUCCCUUCAAUAUCUGGGACUUUGGAAUUGUCCAAAGCUAGCAUCCAUUCCAGAGGAGGGUCUGCCUCCUUCACUAGAGCAUCUUAACAUCCAUAAGUGUCCAGUGCUAAAAGAGAGAUGCCAACCAGGAAAAGGACGCUACUGGCACAAAAUAUCCCACAUCCCUGCCGUACAUCUGUUUUGAGAUGAUUUGAAGCUGAUGGUCCAAGUAUCAUCUCUCGAGGAAUGUUUUAAUAUUAUUAGUAUGGUUUUGGGGGUUGAGGAGUGGCUGCUUUGGGAGGCCUUCAAUUGGCGACAACCGGGAUAUUUCUCGGCCAACGUUUCUUCUUCCGGAUUCCUAUGUUUGCUUGCUCCCCUUUCACUUAUCUCUACUUAUUAAUGCAACCCCCUUUAUCAAUCAAAAGAGGGUAAAAAGAUAAUUUAAUCUUUUAUCACACACAAAAAAAAUGAUGGACAAUAAUGUAAUUUUAUAGGUCUAAAUUUUACUGUUUUUUAUUAAAGUUUCAUCCACAAGUGAUAUUAAAAUACCUUCAACAUUAAAAAACAAAAAUAAACAAAACAAAAAAAAACAAAAACAAAAAUCUCCCACUCCCCUCACGUUCUCUCUCUCUCUCCCUCUCUCCUUCUCAUUUUCUAAAAAAAUAUGUUCAUACACACAAAAGUGUGUAGGCAAAUGCUAGUUUGUAUUAUAAGUGUGCUACUCCUUCUCCUAACUUUAUGCCAACUAUGCCCCUUAAGUAUACUUAAUUCUUUAAUUUUCUUGGGUUAGAGUCAAGGUUAACAUGUUUUUGCACAAAACUAACUAAGAAAACACUCUAGUUACAUUAUAUUGUCAAAUUAUCGAAUUUGAUACUAAAGAAUUAUACAUAAUUAUAUUUAACCGUUCUUAAUUGAGAUUAACAGUGUAAUAAUAUAAAUUUAUCAUCCUUCAUGAUAAAAGAAAGCUUUCUUUAAUGAUAAACUGGUGUUAAAUAAUUGAUAACCGUUAAUGAAUAACGAGUCAUGACUUGCAAUAAACCUCACACACACCAUCAAAAAAGUUUGCAGUCGUGAAUAGACUUGGCAUACGGGUCUUAUUUGUCUCAUCCCGUUAUAUCUUCAUGGAUCUUAUCGUGUCAAACUAUUAUUUUAACAUGUUCUUAACAGGUGACCCUAUAACGACCUAAUUCGUUAACGAAUCAUGUCAUUUCUUGUCAAGAUAACGGAUCAUGCAAGAAAUUGAUAUAUCUAAUGUCUAGAUCAUGCAAGAAAUUGACAAAAUGCAUAAUUGAGAGUGAGACCCACUCCUCCAUGUUAUUAUAUUGACAAUAUGUUCCCUAACCUGGAAUUGGAUCCUCGCCGGAUCUAAUUGCUGGGGAUCCUAGGGAUCAACCCACGUGGGCCGUUGAUCAAAAAUCGUGCGGUCACAAUUAAAUGUUUUAAAAGUAAAACAGUCUCGUUUUGAUUGAAAAAUAUAAAAAAGAAAAAAAUUGUGGCCGCACAAUUUUUUAUCAACGGCCCACAUGGAUUGAUCCCUAGGAUCCCCAUGAAUUAGAUCCGGCGAGGAUCCAAUUCCCCCUAACCGCACAAUUUAUUAUAUCCAAUGUCCAGAUCUAGCAAAAGAUGUCUUAUCGAGUUUUUAAUGGGUGACACCUAAUGACCCGAUUCGUUAACGGGCUCUUAAUGGAUGACCUGAUUCGUUAACGAGUUGAUCAAAAACAUGUUAUUUUUUGUGUCAUUGCGUGUUAGAUUAAUAGUUGAUGCAAGAAAUUGACAAAAUGCAUAAUUGAGAGGGAGACCCACUCCUCCAUGUUAUUAUAUUGACUAUGUUCCCUAACCUGACCAAAAUCCACCAUGAAAUUCCAUAGCAUUGAAACAUGACGCCCCCAGCUCCCUAAUACGCUGUCGUUUUGAGAUUCCCCCACCCCGAAAAGUCCCUCAUAACCGUUGCUAACCCUCUCUCAGAACCCACGCGCCCAUUCUCCAACCGUUUAAACCCCACUCACUCCCACUCUCUCUCUCUCUCUCUCUCUCUCUCUCUCUCUCACUCACUCUAUACAUGUUCUCAGUCAAAAUCUCCAAGUCCUCUGCUUUGGCAACGAAAAUCGAAAACCCAUUUGUUUCCAUCCAUCAGAACUCGAAAUCUCCAUAUUCAUGUCUCCAAGAAAGCUUCUUGUUUUCUGGGUCGACGUCUUCUUCCUCAUAACUCUCUUCCUCCGCCGUGGCUCGGCCGAGAACGUCAACUUCUACUUCCCAUCUUUGAACUUCCGAAACCUCACCUUCCUCGGCGACUCCCACAUCCGAAACGGUGUCUUGGGGCUCACCGCGAGCUCACCGUCCCCUCCUCCAGCGCCGGUGCCGUCAUCUACAACAACCCAAUUCGGUUCUUCGACCCGGAGUCCAACAUCACUGCUUCUUUCUCCACAAAGUUCGCUUUCUCCAUCGCCAACGUCAAUCCGAGCUCCUACGGCGACGGCAUAUCGUUUUUCCUCUCGCAGGAGAACUGGACGCUGGGCAGCCCUGGUGGAUAUCUGGGUCUCGUCAAUUCCUCGCAAUUGACCAAGAACAAGUUCGUAGCCGUCGAAUUUGACACGAAGCUCGAUCUUCACUUCGACGAUCCGAACGACAAUCAGGUCGGAUUGGACAUUGAGAGCCUCAAUUCGAUCAAGACCGCUGAUCCGAUUUCACAGGGUGUCGAUUUCAAGGGCGGAAUUCGAUCACUGCUUGGAUUGAUUACAAGAACGACCAAUAAAAGCUUAAAGUGUAUCUGAGCUACUCGAAUUUCAAGCCUGAAAAGCCGGUUUUGAGCGUGGACAUCGAUCUCUCCGAGCAUCUGAAGGAGGUUAUGUUCGUGGGUUUUUCAGCCUCAACGGAGGGGAGCACGGAUAUUCAUCUGGUUGAGAAUUGGAGCUUUCAUACCUUCGGGUUUGUUGCGAAAAUGCCGAGGUUGUAGCCACACAAUGUGUCCGAUACUUAGGUGGCGGUGAGUCCGAGGAUUCCCGUGUCCGGUUCAGGGGAUAAGCAUCACCGGCGGCUCGGUUUGGGACCUGGGAUUGCUGGGCCAGCGUUCUUUUGCGUGGCGCUGGUGGUUUUCAGUUAUGUUUCCGUGAUGAAAUGGAUGGAGGUGAGAAAACAGAAGAGCUUCAAAGCAGAGCUGGUGGCAGGGCCAAGAGAGUUUAGUUACAAGGAGCUGAAAUCUGCCACAGGAGUGUUUCAUCCCAGUAGGUUGGGACUGUUUACAAGGCGUUUUUUGUGUCUUCAGGCACCAUUUCUGCGGUGAAAAGAUCCAAGCAUUCCCAUGAAGGUAAAACCGAAUUCCUCUCUGAGUUGUCGAUUAUUGCUUGCUUGCGUUACAAGAAUUUAGUUCACCUUCAAGGCUGGUGCGUUGAGAAGGGUGAAUUGCUUCUUGUUUACGAUUUCAUGCCUAAUGGGAACCUCGAAAAGGCGCUGUACCAAGAAUCUGUACAACGAACUUUGUUAGAUUGGUCUCGGAGACUGAAUAUUGCGGUCGGAUUGGCGUCUGUUUUGGCAUAUCUGCACCAGGAAUGUGAGCAGCAGGUCAUCCACAGAGACAUAAAGACUGGAAAUGUGUUGCUUUACGGGAAUUUAAACGCAAGGCUCAGUGAUUUCGGGCUUGCAAAGCUCAUGGAUCACGAUAAAAGCCCUGUUUCCACACUGACAGCGGCAACAAUGGGGUACCUUGCGCCUGAGUAUCUUCAAUAUGGAAAGCCACCGAAAAGACUGAUGGUUUUAGCUAUGGUGUGGUGAUCCUUGAAGUGGCGUGUGGAAGGAGGCCAAUAGAAAAAGAGCCGGGAAGUGAGAAGGCGGUGAAUUUGGUUGAUUGGGUUUGGGGGCUGCAUUCAGAAGGGAUGAUUAUCGAGGCGGCUGACAAGCUGCUGAAUGGGGAGUUUAAUGUGAAAGAAAUGAGAAAUCUGUUGCUUGUCGGAUUAAGUUGUGCUAACCCUGAUAGUGCGGAGAGGCCUACGAUGAGGAGGGUUCUGCAGAUUCUGAGCAAUGAGGCAGAAGUUCAAGCCGUCCCAAGGGUGAAGCCGAGUCUGAGUUUGUCUAGCAGAUUGCCUUUGUCCCUUGAUGACAUUGUUUCGGAUUGUGAGGAGGAUUCCAAUAGCCCUACAAGCUCGAUGUGUGAGAUCGUCAUUCACUGAAAAAUAUAUGCAGAUUUGAAGAGUUUAUAGAUAGUUGGAUUCUUCCAUUCUUUUAACUUUACCACUGCUUUUUUUUUUUUUUUAUCUAUCCUGUAGUUUGAAGAUUAGAGACUGUAUAGUCCACUGGCCUGAGUUCAAAGCUUUCUGUUGAACUGUGUGGUCUCUACUUUGUCCAGGACAAAAAAAGCUUCUUGCUUGAAUAUUUCAACUGUAAUGGAAGACUAAUUUCUGACUGGUUUACAAGUUGAAUGUUACACACGAACGAUUUCUAUACUAUUCGAUCUUACUGUUCUUAUACCGUUCUGUUUCUUGGGUAGUUUGAUUUGGUCUUUCCUAAUGGUACGAUACUGAGCAGUGGGUGAUCUGUAGAGUGAUUCUGUUUGCACCCGUAAAUCUGUUCGACACACACCCUCUCCCUCUCUCAGGCUAAAGUAGCCAUGGCAAAGGGAGGAGAACUAGGAAGGUUUUUGAGAGAUAGAGAGAGAGAGAGAGUGUGUGUGUGUGUGUGUGUGUGUGUGUGUGUGUGUGUGUGUGUGUGUGUGUUCUUUGGGUGUGAGAGUAAGAAGAUGCAGAAAGUAGAUAUAGCGAUGACAUUCAUAGAACUUACAGAUUCUGAACUUUUUUAAUCUCCCUCUAUGCCAGAAGAGAAUUUGAACUAUCUGCUUUGCAGAACUUGAGAAUUUUUCGGAUUGCAUCGCUAUCAGGAGAAAUUCUCAAGUUUUGGUAGUGAAGUAUUCAAGAAUAGUACACUGCAAUCCUUCUGUUUCAUAAUUGACCUCCUUUAUACACGCAGAUUUGAAGCUUUUCGCCAUCGGGAUAAAUUCUCAAGUUUGGUACUGAAGUGUAUUAAGCAGAUAAGUACGUGCAAUCAGUUAUGGAAGAAUUCGACCUGCUAUGCACAAACAGAACUAAGAAAGUGGACGAGUUCUUAUGAGCACAAGAUUUUGAAAUUUACCGGAUCCUUGCGUCUAAUUACCAUUGACAUUAUUCCAGUUCAACUCCUUUUUGAUGUACAGAUAAAAACUGUGUACCAGGCAAAGCCAAACCAGAACGUUCUGCAAGUAAGAACUCCGUGCUGGUCAAGUAAUCUGCCAGGCCCAGACUCAAGGCAGCAAGCUUGGAGAAAUGCUGAACCAGAAUAUGCAACAUCGUUCUUCUCCCCUGAAAUCGAAUUGUGCACAACAUCAGUGAAUUCUCGAUGGCCCUUUUUGUGGUCUCCCUCUCCGAUCCUGGUUUCGGAUCUUUGUUUUGCGAAAUAGGUCUUUACUGUUCCUUUCACGUCGACGAUGAGCCAGGAGUAUGGAACUUAAGAAGUAUCCCUCAUGACAAAGCAGAUAACCGUAUCAAUCACUAAGCGGUUUACAACAUCAAGUUUCCGAAGAACAUUUCAAUGCUGUACAAGACCUGCAAAUUAGCAGCAAACUGCCGUAGCUUAUCAAUUGUGACAGAAAUAAGUUAAACUAACCUUGUAUAUUUGAUCAAGAGCUUCAAAAUAAUUCAUAAGAUCUAAUAUUAAAAAAAAUGUAAAAGCAAAUACACUGAAAGAAAACACUUAUGGUGAAAAUAUUUUUGGAACCAAUUAUUUGUGAAAAUACAAGUAAAUCCUCGAAAGCACUUAAAAAAAUACAUUUCUAAAAGAAACAUUUCAAUCAUUUUGAAAAGCACUUCAACUUCUUCUCAUCAUUCUUACAAAAUAAGAAUUUGUACAAAACUGACAUAUACUUGCUUCAACUGAUUAUUCUGCUCCAAGAAUCAUCUGCAUAAUAUAAAUACAAAAUCCACGAGGAAAAUAGAGUUUCGCGGUUUACAUAGGAAUUAAACAAUAAUGUACACACAUACACAAUAUCCACAAAUUAAGUGAUUUCCCGAUUCACCAUAUAGAAUGUUGAGCUUGUUGCGAGUUAUACAUUAGUUAAAGUAUAAAUAGUAGUUUAUUGUCCCAUAUUAGUGAAGUACAUAUGUAAUAUCAAUUGUAACUUUUAUAUAUACUCCACUUUGGAGAUUAAUGAAUAUAUAAGAAAUUCACAAAUAUUAUCAUAUAUAUUUUUGGUAUUUACCAUGUUGAGUUUAAUAUUGCUAUUUACCAUGUUUAGUUUAAUAUGGUAUCAGAGCAAUUCGCUCUUGGUGACCAGUGUGCUUUAAUUUUGUGCCCACAUUUUUCGUGAUCUCCUAUGUGAAAAAAAAAAUUAGUGAAUAGUGUCGCGCUACAAUACAACGUUUGCUACAGUGCAUGAAUAGUGGUCCUCUACAUUGCCGUGCACAGUGAUUGCUACAGUGCCGUGAAUAUUCUCUGCUACAGUGCUGUGAACAAUGAUUGCUACAGGUUCUGGUAAAUUGUUUUCAUUCUGCUGCGUAUCUUUUGUGCCUUUAUUGUUCGUGAUUUUGUUCAAUGACUCAAUAUAAUCAUAGUAUUGUUAUGCAUCUUGGUGGAACAAUAAAUGGAUAAUUGAUACUGGGGCUACUGAUCAUGUGACUAGUGACCCUAGAGUGUUUGAUGAGUUAUGUGACUAUGUUUGUGAUCCGUAUAUUACUAGUGCAAAUGGAGCACUUUCCCCUGUGAAGGGUGAAUACACUAUCUCUCUAACUCCAACCUUAUCACUGGUCUGUGUUUUACUUGUUCCUGAUGUUAAGUGCAAUCUUUUGUCGGUAUGAAAACUUCUUGAUACCUUAUAUUGUUCUGCUUACUUCUAUCCUACGUAUUGUUAUUUUCAAAACAUUCAAACUCAGAAGAUAAUUGGUCAUGAUAAAAAAAUAGGGGGUUUGUACAUCUUGACUAUGGAGGAUACUGUUGUUUCCGGUUCAAAUAAUCAUCAAGUUUUAAGUGCUAAUGUCACAUCCCGACCCAUGGUCCACCACAUCCCGGGCUCGCUCCACCACCGUAACACGAUAUUGUCCGUUUUAGGCCCCGACCACGCCCUCACGAUUUUGUUUCUGGGAACUCACAUGAGAACUUCCUAGUGGGUCACCCAUAAUGGGAGUGCUCUCGUGCGCUACUCACUUAACUUCCGAGUUCCGAUGAACUCCGAACCCAGUGAGCUCCCAAAAUGCCUUGUGCUAGGUAGGGAUGGGAAUAUACAUUUAAGGAUCACUCACCUAGGCAAUGUGGGAUCUUACAAUCCACCCCCCUUAGGGGCCUGACGUCCUCGUUGGCAUACCACAGCCAGGGUUAGGCUCUGAUACCAAAUUGUUACAUCCCGACCCGGGGUCCACCAUAUCCCGGGCCCGCUCCACCGCCAUAGCACGAUAUUGUCCGCUUUAGGCCCUGACCACACCCUCAUAUUUUUGUUUUUAGGAACUCACACAAGAACUUCCCGAUGGGUCACCCAUCAUGAGAGUGCUCUCGUGCGCAACUCGCUUAACUUCCGAGUUCCGAUGAACUCCGAAGCCAGUGAACUCCUAAAAGGCCUCGUGCUAGGUAGGGAUGAGAAUAUACAUUUAAGGAUCACUCACAUGGGCGAUGUGGGAUCUUAUAGCUAAAGUGGAUGACAGACAUCAAAUUUGGUUGUGACAUCGACGAUUGGGACAUCCAUCAUUCAGUUAUAUGAAGCAUCUAUUUCCUUCUUUGUUUCGCACUUGUAGUGAUUCAGAGUUUAAGUGUGAAACAUGUGUCAUGGCUAAGAGUCAUCGUGCUUCCUUUCCUGUAAGUGAUUCUAAAGCUACUUUGUCAUUUGAUUUGAUACAUUCUGAUGUGGGGUCCGGCGAAAGUUACUUCUAAUGGAUUCCGUUGGUUUGUUACUUUUAUUAAUGAUUAUACUCGGUUAACUUAGGUGUUCUUGAUGAAGAAUAAGAGUGAUGUUCCGUUACUUCUUCAAGAAUUUUGUACAAUGGUGUCUACUCAGUUUCAGACCAAAGUUAACGUCUUCAGGUCUGAUAACGGAUGAGAAUGUGUAAAUCACACUUUGACAUGUUUUUUUCUCGUGAUUAUGGUAUUAUUCACCAGACUACUCCAUUUACACCCCAAAAAAAUGGUGUGUCCGAACAGAAGAAUCGUCAAAUAAUGGAGGUUGCUCACUUUUUGAUGUUGGAUAAAUGUGUUCCUAAUCAUUUGUGGGGUCAUGCUGUUUUGGCUGCUAUGUUUUUGAUCAAUCGUGUUCCAAGUAGGGUUCUUCAUUUUCAGACACCGUUUGAUGUGCUACAAAAACAUGUUUCUCUUGUUUCUGUAUUAAAGCUUCUUCCGAAAGUGUUUGGGUAUAUUGCGUAUGUGCAUGUCUACUCUCAUCAGCGGAGUAAACUUGAUGCAUGUGCUCUCCGGUGUGUCUUUAUUGGGUAUGCUAACAAUCAAAAAGGCUAUAAGUGUUAUCAUCAUCCGACUCAAAAAACUUAUAUUACCAUGGAUGUUACCUUGCAUAAGAAAAUUUUGUAUUUUAUGAAGCUCUCUUCCGACUCUCCACUUCAGGCGGAGAGGGGGAGUGAAAUGCAUAUUCAAAUAAAUGGUAUGGAUGAUGUGUUACAGGCAGAGUUGGGAACAUAACCUAUUAUGUUGCGUGAUACUAAUCAGUUGGCUACAGAUAAUGAUCGAUCACCUGUCAUUCCCGGAACUAUUUCUACUGAUGACAGAUCAGAUGUGCCCAAUGAAUUGCCUAUUAGUAUGUCUAACGAAUUACAUUCUGAUGAUCGGUUGUCUGUUGCUAAUAUGUCUAAAGAGUUGCCUGAUGAUGGUUCGUCCAGUGAUGAUUCUUCUAACAGUUUGGUACACAUGAAGUAAAUUCUGACGAUUCUUCUAUUUAUCAGUUGCCUCCAUGAGCUAAUCGUGGAAAACAUAAAGUACAAUAUGAUCCUGAUAUGCAUGCCAAAGCCAAAUAUCCUAUCAACAAUUAUCUGUCUACUCAUCGUUUGUCCAAACCAUAUGCAUCUUACAUAUGUCAGCUAUCUAGUGUAUCAAUUCCAAUAAAAUUGCAAGAUGCUUUGUCUAACCCUAAGUGGGUUAAUGCCAUGAAAGUUAAGAUGGAAGCUUUGGAAAAGAAUUCUACUUAGGAUUUGGUUCCGUUACCAAACGGGAAGAAAGUCGUUUGAUGUAGAUGGUUGUUUACUAUUAAGCACAAAGCAUAUGGUUCUAUUGACUGGUAUAAAGCCAUAUUAGUUGCUAAGGGUUAUACUCAAACCUAUGGGGUGGACUAUCAGGAGACCUUUACUCCUGUUGCCACACUUAAUACUGUGCGUGUUCUUUUGUCCUUAGCAGUAAACCAGGAUUGGCCUCUGUUGCAGUUUGAUGUUAAGAAUGCUUUCCUUCAUGGUGAUCUUAAGGAAUAAGUGUAUAUGGAUCUCCCACCUGGUAUUGGAACAUCUCCUGGAAAAGGUGUUGUAUACAGGUUACAAAAGGCCUUAUAUGGUUUGAAACAAUCUCCUAGAGCGUGGUUUUUGAGGUUUACAAGUUCAAUGAAGAAGUUUGGGUAUAUCCACAGUCAUUCAGAUCAUACUUUGUUUCUAAAGCGACAAAAUGGUAAGCUAACUACAUUGAUUAUAUAUGUUGAUGACAUGAUAGUGACUGGUGAUGAUCAGAAUGAGGAGAUACAACGCCUUCAAAAGUACCUAGCUACUGAGUUUGAGAUGAAAGAAUUAUGUGAAUUGAAGUAUUUUUUUGGAAUCGAGGUUGCACGAUCUAAGCAUGGUAUUUUUCUGUCUCAACGAAAGUAUGUUCUUGAUUUGUUAGCUGAAACAUGUAUGUUAGAUUGCAAACCUGUUGAUACUCUGAUUGAGCAGAAUCAUCGUCUGGGCUUAUUUCCAGAUCAAGUUUCUACUCAUAAGGAACAAUAUCAGAGGCUUGUGGGGAGAUUAAUUUAUUUGUCUCACACUCGCCCUGACAUUGCUUAUGCAGUUAAUGUGGUAAGUCAGUUUAUGCACUCACCUAGUGAAGCUCAUAUGGAUGAAGUAACCCGUAUUUUGAGGUACUUGAAGAUGGCUCUUGGCAGAGGCUUGGUUUUCUCCAAGAAUGGUCAUUUGAAUAUCGAAGGGUAUACAGAUGCAGAUUGGGCAGGUUCUAUCACUAAUCGGCGAUUUACAUCUGGAUACUUUACGUUUGUAGGUGGUAAUUUAGUUACUUGGAGAAGCAAGAAACAAAAAGUGGUGGCUAGGUCAAGCACAGAAGCUGAGUUUCGUGAUAUGUCUCAUGGUGUAUGUGAGUUGUUGUGGUUGAAAAAAUUGUUGAGAGAUCUUGGGUCUAAACCCAAAGGUGCUAUGAAACUUCAUUGUGAUAACAAGGCUGCUAUUGAGAUUGCUCAUAAUCCAGUGCAACAUGAUCGAACAAAACAUGUGGAGAUUGAUCGACAUUUCAUUAAGGAAAAAUUGGAUGCUAGAAUUAUUAUGUUUCCGUUUGUGAGAUAUGAAGAUCAACUUAUUGAUGCUCUUACUAAGGCUGUGUCUAAUAGUGUGUUUUCCAACUCGCUUGACAAGUUGGACAUGCGUGACAUCUUUGCACCAACUUGAGGGGGAGUAUUGCGAGUUAUACAUUAGUUAAAGUGUAAAUAGUAGUUUAUUGUCCCAUAUUGGUGAAGUACAUAUGUAAUAUCAACUGUAACUCCUAUAUAUACUCCACUUUGAAGAUUAAUGAAUAUAUAAGAAAUUCUCAAAUAUUGUCAUAUAUAUUUUUGGUAUUUACUAUGUUGAGUUUAAUAUUGGUAUUUACCAUGUUUAGUUUAAUAGAGCUAUAUAUAUAUAUAUAUAUAUAUAUAUAUAUAUAUAUAUAUAUUAUAUAUAUAUAUAUAUAUAUUUGUAGAUAACAAUGUUCCUUAAUUUUGUGAGAGAAUAUCUUACUUUGAGGUUAGAUCGAAGUAGAUCAGACGACGGUGCUGACAGAUGGGAAUGUAAGAGAUGAUGACAGAAGAAGAGAAAGCACACUCCCAGCAACGGUAAAGACUCUCCUUAGCCGAUGGCGGGUUGUGCUCUCUCUCUUCUGUCAACAUAUAUGAACUCUAACCUCAUUCCCCAUCUCAUCUAUACACCCUUAAUGCCACAAAACUCAUGCAUUCAUCCCUGCAGAGCAAACCAUCAAUUAAUAGGGUGAGGUAACGCAUUCAGGCUCAUAUAAAUCUGAUAUAUUGUAUACAAUGCAUAUUAGCAUGUCUACUACCCCUUACAUACAUACAUACAUACAUAUACAUAUAUAUACAUAUAUAUAUAUAUAUAUAUAUAUAAGCAUAUCAUAUGUAUAGAUACUGGCGCAGUUGUAGAAGAGGUAUUUAAUGGCACAAACCCGGUUUAGUGCAACUUUCGGUCUCGAAGUCAGAUUUUGGCCCAUGAGUUGCGGGGGACAAACAGUUUGUGCCGUGAAACUCCUCUUCUACUCACACACCAUACUCUGCAUAGAUAUAUGAUUUUAAAUAUCCGUUAAUUCAUUAUUAUAAGCAUAAUUUUUGCUAACAGAUAAAUAAUUAAACAUAAGAACUUGCCUCUAUAUAUAGCCAAAAAUUAACCAUGAUCUGGGAUUUUUUUUUUCAUCAAGCCAAUAAAUAUGUACUGAUCAUGAAACAAACUGAUCAAUAUCAACAUCCAUCACCAUGAAGGGGUAAUUUGUGAGUGAAAUCAAUACUGAAUUUAUAAAAUUUAUAUGUAUAUAUAAUGUGUUCAGAUAUGUAUUUAUAUAUACCUAAUGUAUGCAUAUGCAUCAAAAAUCAGAUUAAAACAAUAUAUCUACUUAUCACAGGAACUACUUCAUACAAAUAAAUAUAAUUUAUCAUGACAGUUUAAUCAAAACACUGGCUAAAAAUUGAGAGAGAGAGAGAGAGAGAGAGAGAGAGAGAGGAGAGUGAGAAUUUUACUCUUAGGGUUCUUCAACUUUUGCUUAGCUGGUCAUCAGAUACGAUUUUCACUGCAGAAACUACUAGUUUCUCUUCACUUUCCAUGAAAGAUAAAGAGGAAAGAAGAAAUAAAGAAGUAGAUAAAAGCAGAGAACAAGUGUGGGAGUGAGAGAUACGUAUAAGCUACAAAUUCUAUACCUCAAUGUAUCAGUUGUUGAUGAAUAGUGUUCAUCUUAUAGGGACCUGGCCGCUGACUAUAACCGGUGACUUGUAGUAUGAUUUAUGACCGUCUAGUGAGCGUAAACUGGUUUCGACACUAGUUUUUAUUUUAUGAUUUAGAUGUUGUAUUAAACAUUAUGGAUAGCCACCGUUUUAAAUAUCAAUAUGCGUGAAAAUAUCAAUAUGCAAAUUUAUAAAAAUGUAGGUGGACACGUCGAUAUCGGUUGCCUUCAUAAAUAUUAAAGAAAUUUGCAAUGUGUGAUAUAUCUCAUUCAGAUUUAGUUGAAAUUAAAAAAAAAUUCAUAAAAUUUCAAAAGUUUGAAAUUUGAAAUGAGUUCCCGCAAAAUAUAUGUAGUGUAUUAGUAAAUAUUGUAGAUAUUUAUUGAUUUUCUUUAUCUUGGUGAUAUAGGAUGAAGUUUGUAUUUUACCCCUUCUAUAUUGAUUCUUAAUUUUUUUUUAAUAUUUCAACGAAAAUAUUGACGAUUUGUAAAUAUUUUAAACACAAGGUAGUAUAUAGGAUUUCAAAUAUAUUCAAACCCAAACGUUACUAUUAUCCGGAAUUAAACUUACAUUUUAAUUAAAAACAGGCUACCUGAUUAACAUAACAAGAUAUAAAAUAACACUUCCUUUUUCUCGAGUCUGCAAGCUUAUCCGUUUGUACAAAUUUGGUGUUAGGACUUGGGAGAUUCUUUUCAAACGUGAUGAAACUUUUCACUGUCAAAGGACUCAAAGUCGUUAAUGGCACCAAUAAAAUUUAAAAUUUAAAAUUGUAUUUAAUAAAGAAGAAAAUGACGUUGAUAAAGAAUAAUAAGACCCGUGGUGUAAGCAACGUCAUAAAUGGGUAACCAAAAAUGGUGGGGGUGGAUGUUGACCGGCUAUUUCAGGUCGGCCGGAUCCAAGAAAGGGUCUUUGUUUCUCUCUCACCUCACCUGACAUCACCCGUGAUAACCGAUAAACUCGUCGCUUUCGCGACUGUGGAGAAUAUCGAGACCGUUGAGUGGUGCCACGUGGAGGACAUGCACGGGUGGUAGGCUGGUGAUUUGGGAUAUGAACAGUGACUACCUUCCUCUCAUGAAUUUUGCAUACUUUAGUUUAUUAUCUUAUUUUCCACGCCGAAACUUUAUAUUAAAAAAAUAAUACAUUUGUCAAAAGUGCACGAUAAAAAUUUUUAAAAUGCAAACAACAGUGUACUAAUUAUUAGAUCGGUGCCAUGCUAAUCUCUAUGAUUUAGUGAAACUCUUCGUAAUACAUUGUUAUUAAUAUACCAAAUCAAAUCAAAAUUUUCAUUUACAAUUCAAACAUAUUACUUUUACCACAUUUUCAUACUAUAUUUGUACCAUCUUUAUAAUAAAAAGGGGAUCUAUAUGUGUCGGUUGGUCCUACUUCUAUUAAAAAGUGGUACGAAUAAUAUGAUAUGAAAAUUAUAGUUAAGUGUAGCAUUAGACUACUUUUGCAGACGUUCGUGGUACUGAUUUUAAUCUUCUACUAUAAUACACCUAAACUUGUUAUUUCAUCAUGUUAUUUAUUUUUAUUUAAAUGAGAAAUAUUAUGUUCGAAUCUCAUGAUUGAUUAUAUUUCCCGACUAAUUACCCAGAUAGUUUAAAUAUCGAUCGUUGUAAUGUCAUUGUCCACCCUCUAAUUCAAAUUAGCAGCAUUAGGGAGGUCCAUUUAAUGGGGUCAUCAGCCAUGACAAGGAGCUUGAAAGAUUAAUAGACUCUGAGCAUCUUUGAUUGGUCAACACUCGUUAGGUCUUAUUCUUGUAGCUAUAAUUGGAGAGAUUUUUCAACAUAUUUGAAAUACGAGACUGUACAUUACAUGACACUGUACAAAUGAAAAGAUACUUGCAAAACUUAAAAUAAAACUUUUGUUUAUAUAUAUAAUGACAUAUUAUGUACCACCCAUGUUUCGAAUAUAUUGAAAAAUUACUCAAACUCAUGUGAAAAUGAAUGUUUUCCCUUUUCAGCCACACGUAAAAUAUAUGGUUCCCAUAAAAAUUCAAAAAUCAAGAGGAAGCCUGCAAUAUUGCUAUCAGAAAGCUCCCCUCAUCAUCUCAGAUGGUCCUGGGGAGAGGAAUCGAUGAAUGGAUCACAACCGUUGGAUCCAUUGAUUGAAAUGUGGGGCCUUCUGCCACGAGACACGUGUUCAUGCCCUAGAGAUGCAGGUGAAGUUCAUGCGCCGAUACAGAAGAAAAAUGAAAAGGCAUGCUGAAAAUAAUUCAGAUAUUUUGAUGCCUGAGAGCGACCGGAGACAUAUAUCCAUUGACGUCACUCGUCUAAUCGAUAUUUCUCAUACGUUAAAAAAGUGAACUAAUCGUUCAUCUUACGUUUAAACCGUGAAUCUGCUUGAUCGUUAUCACAAGUAAUGUAUAAUUUCCAAUUAACCUCAUUUGUGUUCAUAAAAAAGAGUGAAUAAUCGUAAGUGCCAAAGCCUUGAUACAAUGGAUUCAAGGCAAAUGAGAUUUGGAAACAACUGGCAAUAAAUCAAAUCAAUAAUUCAUAUAAGCAUCGGCUAAAAAAAUGCCAUUUUAGUACAGAUAAUUACAUUUCUUUUCUUCAUAAUCUCACGUUCCUAACAGCAUAACAAAAUCUCAGUAAAGUACAGAACCUGCAGAUUGCUUCAAGACAAUGUCACAAUAAGUAGAAACUGUAUGAAUUAGUUUGAAUCACUAAGUCAGCAAAACCUCCAAUCCGGGUACUAAUUAGUUCUGAUUCGAUCGCCUUCAGAAGUAAUUAAAGUGUCUAUGAUCUUGUAAUGUGAGAGACGCCCACGCAACGGAUCAUCUUGCGCAUUAUCUGUGUUACUUCUCAGUUUUUCAGACUUCGAAGCAGGAUUCAUAUCACUUUUCUCAUCGAAGAUCUCUCGUUUUAGGGUCUCUGAUGCUUCCUUGGAUUCAACCAAUUUAGUUUUCCAUUUAAUACCAACUGCCUCAGCCUGAUCUGCAAACAAGACUUUUGCGCUAGCUGAACUGCAGAUUUCUUUGUAAGUUUCAUAAUUAGCAGCUCGGGUGCUUCCACCUUCCAAAAGUCCCGUGAGGGGAUGCAAAACCGAGACUGGACCAUCACUUCUCUCUAAUGUUUCCUUCAACGCCAGAAAUUCAGAGACAAAUUUUUCCUUGCUAAACUGAAUGAAUACUGCAGUUUCAUCCAAGUGGUAGACAGACGUGACAGAGGUCGGGCCAAAGACUUUUGUGAUGCACUCCCUUAUAUCUCGUGCCUUGAGUUUUGAUGGGAAUCCCCAGAUUAAAGCAAUGUUCUCAAACAUAAUCUGCGCGUACCUCUUUUUGUGAUUAUUAUACCCCGAAGACAUUGCUUUCUUCUUGCCGGUGGUUAAAUCAAUAAUGUCUCCAUUACUCCAACUGAGGUAUAAAAGGUUGAUUUGCUUCUGGAGCUUCUCAUUGUGGGGCAACUUUUCAGAUGACAAACAAGCCUGAAAAUCAAUUCCGAGAUGACUGCAUGUCUGAGCAAAGACACAGCCUGUCAUAAAAGCAUCGUAUCCUGCUUCAUGUUUGGCUCCAGAAUUCCAGUUGGAGGACCUGCAAAUAGAUAAUCGUGAUAUGAAAGACUUAUUCCUUUGCUUUUCCUUUCAUUUGUAUAUAAACUGCCAAUUUUAGUUACAUUACUAAAACUAUCUUUCUCCAUAUGUAAUGGUUAUUCUUUUAACCAAUAUGUAAUGGUUAUUCUAUGAGAGAGAGCCACGUGGCAUGCACAAGUAUAUACAUCUCGUAAAGCAAGUAGAAAUAGAAACAAAUUGACAAACUUAUACGAACUUGUUAUCCGACAGAUUUCUAAAGUUGGUUGCAUCUAAAGAAUGUAAUGUGUAAUUAACCCCGGUCAAAAAUGUCAUGCCAACCUAGUCGUUUUCAGACAGAUCUCUAAGUGCCCUACGCCAUUAAUGAAAGUUAAUGAAAAUGCUCUCCUUCAUCUGUCGGGUUUCAACUCUAUAUCUUUUUCCAUUCAAACUGUGACAAUGGAAACCACUGAGACCAACUAAAUGAAUUGAGCACGGCCGAGAUAUCAUUAUGGACAGAGAAUGGAAAAAGCAAACCUCAAAUCAUCCACCUGAACUUCAACUUUGACACACAAUUGGACUUCUGAAUCAGUGCUUUUCUUCCCAAGAGCAAUUUGCGGGCAUAACAAAGCAAAUGCUGACGAAAGUGAUGUUCUGGACUUCUUCAUCCGUUGUUGGAGCACAUUAUCUGUAUUCAACAGUACUUUGGUGUCAAUGAUGUGUGGAAAAUACUUGUUAACAGCAGAGACAAAUUCCUCAGCAGUCGAAGGUAGAGGUCCCAAGAAUUUGUUGUAUAUAUGGGCAAUAUCUGUAUGACAACAAGAAGACAUCUUAGUAAUAUAUAAAAUCAAAUUGACCUUUUAUGAAAGUAACAUCAAUACUCAUACCAAGAAAGCAAUUGUGACCAACAAUCAACUUUUGUUCUGAGGAAAGAAGGUCAAUAACAUGACGAAACCCAACUGCAGCUUGAACUUUCACCUCUGCUUCCCUACGAUGUUCAUCCUUAACCUCUUUCUGCAAAAGAUUGCAUACAGAAAACUAUAAUUCCUCCUGAGGUGUAGAUGAUCAUCACAUAAUAACAAAUACACUGACUUCCUUUGGUGAUAAUUUCUGUUCUCCCUAAUGCACCAACAGCAUUAUGCAAAAUUUAUGCCCAGAUAGUAAUUAUCAUACACACUGCCGUUUGUUUAUUAACGAGAAAUUAACAGUGUUGAGACAUUUUAGUUAAGACUUAGAAGAAGAAGAGAAAGAAGAGUUUCAAUAUCUCUAAUGGUUGUUUCGAUGGCUACGAUAGAAAUCCAGAGAAAACUUGUUGAUUGACUUAUUGGAAUACUAAAAAGUAAAAACAACUCCAGGCCCAAACUCGGACCAUCAAGACCUUUAGAAAGUAAAUCAUUUUCAAUAAGAAAACAACCAAAUUCUAAUAACCGAAAGUCUGAAAACUAUUUCACAAAGUAAACAUCCUAAGUAGUCUUUCACAGUUGAAGAGCAUUUGAAAAUUUCACAUCAUAUAAACUGGAGGACACAAAUUACUUACCAGAAGCAAAUCCCUGUCAUCCUUGGAAUCUGUCCGCACAACUAGUUGCUGUUGACACGACUUUUCACCAUUUACCUGAACAUAAGAAAGAUCUUGGAAAUGCUUUCUCAUGACCUGCAAACGUUAAUUUUAAUAUUCAGCUUAACAAAACCAUGACUAAGAAGAAGAAAAAAUGUUUUUUACGCAUAUAGAGUACAUCUCUGCAUUAUUAUAAAAAGUAAAACAAUACUUUUUUUUUUUUUUCGUACCCAGUGCACAAGGCUCCCGCUUUACGCAGGGUCUGGGAGAGGUGAAUGUUGGCUAGCCUUACCCCCAUUUAUGGAGAGGCUGCUCCCAAGUAUCAAUCAAAUCAUUUGCUUGGCUAAAAAGGUUAAAAUACAAUAAAUAUAUUCACAUCCAAUUUAUGAGAUAUCAUGCAAAAGCAAAUGUGAAUGAUUACAGAAUCAUGAAUGCGAAUAAGAAACACAAACUUGCCAAAAAGAAGACCUAUUAUAGUGUGUCAAGAUACUCGCAGCAUAAAGUGUCAAGAUAACUGCAACAAAAUAUCCAUCCAAUGACUUAAGACUCAGAUCAAAGUCAAAUAAAAGUUGUUGCUUCAUAAUUUCCAAUUUCAGUUCCUUACCAGCCUCAGUGAGCAUUUCACCAAUUUCAAUCUCUUCCUAGAACUUUUAUACUUAUCUAUAACAAAAAUUUCAAAACCCGGUUUCGAGUUACUUUUCCUUGAACAACCAGGGAAAAGGCGAAUAGACAUAGAGUAAGUUUUUGAAUUAUUUGAGGCAAUUACUAAAGAAUACCUAGGAUCAUGUCAUGGAUCACAUGUCCAAGAUUAACUUGUUACAAGUGAGAAUCUUAUGAUAGAUGAUCAAAAUGUAAAAACCAAACCCACCAUUUGAAUCAACCUAAGCUGAUGAGAAGUGAAUCCCUUCAAACUAAGAGCUGGACGCAUCUUGAAGAAAAUGGUUUGUAACUGUUGGGAAUCAUUUGAGUUUUGCUGAAAUUGGAAUCCUCCAUUACUACUUCUCAAGUUCAACAAACCAUCACGCCAUUCAGUGAAUGUGUUCUUCAUCCGUUCAGCAAAGAGAGUGUCAGCAAUCUUGACCACUGGCAUGUGCACAGGUUCUUUCAAGUUUGAACAUCUAGUCAAUAACUCAUCAUCAUAUGUCAAGCUCAAACGUCUCAGUGCCUCACUUUCCUGCCCUCUGGAUAAAUAAGAUAUUCCUGAGAUUGUACAACCAUUUAACUUUACAAACUGAAACCAUCAUAAAAGAAAAGCCAGGGAAGUAACUUUCACACCAGUUACAAAACCUUAACCAUUACUUCAAAAAGAAAUCAAACAAUUUCACUACCUUCAUGUAUGCAGACAUUAAAAUCGAACUGGUAUUUAGCUAAGAAAUCAAUCGAUGUUGUCUGGCAAAGAAACUCAUAAGUGGGGCCUGCAACCGGAAGCUCUUGACGCGGAAAAAUGUAAAAAUUGUGCCUGUCAGCACACCCAUAGUAUUACACAAUAAAAACCACAUAAAAAGUUCAAAACGAAACACCAUCAUUGCACAAACUUAUUCAUCUCGGAAAUUGUGUGCCUUCGCAUUUGCUUCAAACAAUCCUAGACAGCAAACACAUGUAUAAUAUAAUUUACAAACCCGGCAAAGCAACCGAUUUUACGUAAAAAAUUUCAAAAUUUAAAUUUUUUUUCUCCUUUUAAAGUUCAACUUACUACAUUUACCAGAAAAUCCAGUCACAUUUAGCUUUUCAAUCCAAAUAUCAUGAUCAAAGCAAAAGACUCGAACUUUAAAUUUUAUCAGCUAACUAACACGUAAUUGCAAGAGAGAGAAGCAAUUGCCAAUGUUUCAAUAACAAUAAAAUCAAGCAAAAUCCCUAAUUUUUGUUCCUUACUUUCUUCCUCACUUUCUGGGCAGCCAAACAGAGCACAAACAAAAAUCAAGAAUGGAAAAGAAAAAGUCACAUACGGAUGAGCAAUGAAGGAGCGCUUGGAGGAGUCCCAGCGGAAGGGGCAAACUCCGAACUGAAGCACGGCGAACUUCUCGGCCGAGUCCUUGACCUUAAGGUAGCAGACGUCGGCGCGGUCGAAUUCCAGGGAGUCACGCCACGGAGCGCUGGUGAUUCCGGUCAUCUCGAGAUCGAUGGCCACGAAAUCGGCGGCGGCGACAUGGCGGCGCAGGUCGGCGAGGGCCGGCUCGAAGUUGGAUUUGGUCACGUUUUUUAGAGGGAAGGUGGAGGAUUGUUGUUGUACGGACGACGAAGAGGAAGAGGAGUGGGAUAGGGCACGUGAUAUCGCACGUGACAGUGCCCUCACCGGGCGGUGAGUGUUCAUUUUCUGAGCAUUUGCCUGAGCUUUCGGCCCUCGGGGGUUUAUGCAGAGAGUUUUCGACCCAAGGUAGAAGAUGAAAUGAUACCGCCUACGACGUCGUUUCUGCAAUUUUCAAUAAAUCUUUUCCUGGGGGAAUCGGGUCGGGUUAGCCCAACUUGAAAGCUAUAUAGAAAGGCCCAGCCAACCAAGGGAGUUCUGUUUUCUGCCCGGAGAAAUGAUUUUUACGCGUCAUUUUCUCUUUCUUCAAACGUUCACCUGGAAUGUGUAUAUUUUCCUUCUUGUAUGAUUAAGUCAUUUCUUAUUUUGAUUCUGAUUACGAAUUAACAAACGCAUACUUUUUGUGCUUAGAAUUUCUUGUUACGAUGAAACUCAAUGAAACUACACGUUUGAUUUACUUACAUUCAUAAAGCUCGAGUUAAACGAGCGGCUAAUGCGAGGGAACGCUUUGCUAAAGGGUUGGAGAAAUAGAGACGAAUAAUAAAGAGGACUCCCCUGAAAAAUUAACACACUUGAUGAUGACACACAAUCUAAUACAGACGGCUCUAUUAUUGUAUAUAAGACUCACUCGUUGUCUUAUUAAAAAUUGUGUCAGCAGGUGAAUCAAUUUUGUAUGUCUAAUAACAUUAUCUUUAUUCAGUUAGGGACAAAAGUAAGGACCAAGAACAAGCCAUUGCUAGAGCACGUCCAUAUUGAAGGUUCUGAGGUUAAUUUACAAGAAAGGAAUAACUUAUUUUAAUGGCAUACACUUUUUGUGCUCACUUUUUUCAUUGUGAUGAAGGGGAAAAGAUGUUUUGGGAAUAUGUAAAGUAACAAGAAACUUGUGGUUUGGUUGUAGAGAGCUAUACAUAUUUAUUGUCAAAUCUUUUUGUGUUAGGCACAUCUUAUUGACGAACAAUUUUUCGGUGUGUCGGAAAACGGCUCGAUACACUAAGCGUAAUAAUAUAAUUGAAUAUAAAUUUGAAAAAAAAAAGUUGCAACCAAUUGUAUUGAUACUUGACACGCCAAUCGUGCUUCGGACAUUGAAAAAAUUCUCUUAAUUGACGACUAGGACCAGAUAAUGUAUGGCAUGAUUCAUGGAUAUGUAAGUGCAACGUAGACAACACAAAAGUCUAUGUAGGGUUGGAGUAUUUAUAAUUUAAAAAUUCUCUUAGUCCAACUGUUUUGCCAACUUUUAUGUAACUUUCUUCCAUGAAAUGAAUUAUAAAGAAAGAUUUUCAAAGUAUAAAUUUUAUAUAAAACACUUAGAGGGAGUUGGAGAAAAAAAAACUUAAUUAGUUGGUAACUUAGAUGUUUUUUUUCAACUGGUUUUUAGUUGUGAAAUCUUCAGUGUCUUUAUUUAUGUCAUUCUCUAAUUUAUUAUGAAAUAGACUUAAAACUCAAGUGGUAAGACACCUAUUAUUGUGUUUAGUUCCCUCACCUCUUAAUAAAUAAGUCGUAAUUCACUAUUUUUUAAUACAAGUGGUCGGGGCAAAUUUCAAACCUAUAUUUCACACAACACAUCAUGUAUUCUCUCUUUGAAGUUGAUGAAUUACACGAUGGUGCCCUGGGGGAGGUUAAAAUGUCUAUGUGAGUCUUCUAGACUCUCAAAUAGUAGAUUGUCACAGCGAAGCGACCAACUGAUCCCCUUUAAUAAAAGAAACACAAUAAAGUUGAAGAUGAAAGGCUUGACCACAAAACAAUCCACUACUUACAAUGGUAAAUAAUUACUAAUAGUAAUAUUUUUUUUUAACAAGCAAUAGUAUUUACACUAAGGGGUGGGAGUUUGUCAUAAUAAUAUGGUUCAAUUUUACCUUUGAUGAGAAUCGAAUUUAAAACAUCUCAUAUACAAGCGAAAAUAAAUAUUACUAAUUUGAAAUACUAAGUGACACUAAUAGCAAUAUUAUUUACAAUCUUAUAUUUUCAUACUCUAUAUGCACUCAACUUCAUCCUUUUAUUCCUACAAUUGGUCAUCAUUCAACAAAGCCCCACAUGAUGACCCUCCAAAUGUCACCAUUUAGGACGUCCAAAUUGUGUCCAUGUUUCCAAUUUUGCUUGUUUUAUUUCAUCAAAAAAAAAAAAAAAAGCAUAUUUGGGUUCAAUGUUUUGGUUGGUCUUGGAAUAAAGUUGUUAACCCCCGGAAGCUCUUUUCCUUCGCAAUUAAGAAAGUCCCAAAAGUAGAGGGCCGAAACAUGCACGUACAUGCACUACUAGUCACUACUAGCCAUUUUCGAUUUUACCAAGGAAACACACAUCAUUGCUUCUGUUUUCCUUUUUCUUUUUUCUUCCCUCACGUAUCGGAAAGAGAUUUUUCAGUGUAUCAAAAACACAAUUCGGUACAUUAACUGUCAUAAUACAAUAAUUUGAAACUUGAAAAAAAAAUUUCAAUCAAUUGAGCCGUAUUCCUGGCACAUUGAAAAAUUUCUCUAUAGGAUAUAUACCAUUUUCACAAAUGCAAACUUGAUUGACAAUCUCGUUUGAAACUGUUUUUUAUUUUUAUUUUUUUUAACACUUCUAUUCACAAACACUUCUAGUAAAAUUGUUUUUAUUAAAAGCGCAUAAAUAAAAAUACUAAGGGUUAGCUUUUGUUGCCAAACAUAUCGUUAUGUUCUAUCAUCGAAGUUAGGAAUCCAAAAUAUAUAUAAAUUCUUACAAUAAAUCAAUUUUUAUGAAUUUAUUUGGUGGCCAUUUUAUGUGAUAAAUACGAUACAACCAAGUAUAAAUUCGGCCCAAAGAGAUUUAUUGGAGAAACUUAAAUUAGAUACGGGUGAUGUUAGUAAGAAAAUAAGAAACCAACAAAAGUAAAAGAUCAAAACAGAGAACAAAAGAUCAAACACCAUUUUUGGUCUGGAUUUAGCAAAUAUUUACUUAGAAGGAUAUUGUAGCAAAUUUGGAUUCAAACAUUGCUUGGUAAGAAAAAGAAUUAAUAUUGUAAUAUAAUUUAUUUAUUUUCCUGGAUAAUAAUAAAACAUAAUUUAGGAAAAUUAAGCUACUUAACAAGCUGGACAUAAUUACAAUUAUACUUUUUGAACAUCAAACAAGUUAAAUAAUAGAGACAUUAACACAAUAAUCUAGAGUCACAUUCAAUUCAAAUUAUCUUAUUCGUUGUAUCAGGAUUUUCAUGAUAGAUAUGUGUGUUAAGUCAAUGUGUUUGUUUGUCGCAUCCAAUUCAUAAUAGAUGAAUUUUAUAUGUGUUAGACUAAUUAUCUAAAGUACUGUGUCGUUUUGUCUCAUAUAAUUACAUUCUCACCAUGAUAAUAAAAUAGGCCCAAAUGGAGAGCACAAUGUAUAUUUAAUUAUUAUAUUUUAUUUUUUAUGAAAAACAAUUAUUUUAUUUUUAUCUCCUCCCUUUAUCUAUGUCUAUUUUUUUUUUGUUUUUCCGAAUUUUACUAUAAUUUCCUGCCCCCUCUAUAUAUACCACACUCUAGCUUCUUUCUCAGUUAUUCAUUUCUUCUCCAAUUCUCUGCUUCCCUUUCUGUCUCUGUGCGAUCCUCAUCAAAACCCUAAUCUUGAUCGCGAAGAAGCUCAAAUUUCCUCUUAUCACUCUCGAAAAAUCGAAGCUUGACGAUCCGAUCGUCGUCAAACAGCCGCUACAAAACGUUCCUCACUUCAAUUUUAGUUGCCGCAUAAUUUUAAUUUCCCCAAUUCAGUCUCUGCUCUUCGAUCAAUUCUUGGUUUUUUAGCGAUUGAUCGGGUACCAAUUCAAGGCGGUUCUCAAUCGUGCAAUGCUUUCAGUUCCAAUAUGAAGUUAAAGAGAAGGAGGGCGGUUGAAGUGGUCAGUAUAUUUCACCUGUGGAAUCGAUUAGAUUCUUGUAUGCAUACUGCGCAUAAUAUAUAUAUGUAUGUGUUUGUACAUGAUUAAAGUACUGGGUUUUCCCUAUGUUUUGAUUUCGAGAAGAAGUUGAUGGUUCUGGGUUAUGUUCUUUUUCUCUUUUUUUUUUUCUCAUUUCCCAGUGAGUGGCACUUUUGUAUGCAAUUGCUUAUAUAAUUCGUUUUGGGCAUCUAUCAAUUUGAUGUUUUCUUUGGUUGUUUAACUAGGGACUGAUACAAGAUAAGAAAGUUUAAUUUUUUUUACCUUAUUAUUGAAUUGUUUAUAUAAUUCGGAGUACGAAAAUGCAAACAUAUUCAGCUUAUGAAGUGAGGUUUUCAUUCUUGCAUGAGGAUUACAACCAGUACUAGGAAGAUCCUAGAGACAUGAUUAUACAUGAUUAUUCAUGACCAACCCAGUUGACUGUAUUAGUUUCGUUAUUGUUUCUUAGUUCAAAGAGUUAUUUUCUCCAUCGAAUGUCUAUAUGACUUUAUAUGUUUUUGUUGAAAUUGCUAGCAUUGAGAGAGAGAGAGAGAGAGAGAGAGAGAGAGAGAGAGAGAGAAGAAGAGGAGGGGGUGGAGGUUUGGUCGGUUCGUCAGUCUGUUUAUCAGUGUGUUAACGUUCAUGGAGCAAAUGUCAUGCAUGACAGAUUAUUUUGUCGAAAAAGAAGUUUUAAUCUUUUUAUAAGGAGGCAAUAUCUAGAUGGAACAAGAUUAAUUGGUUUUGACAUUUAUGCUUUAAUGUUUUGUAGAAAAUGUGUGGAAACUGGAUAAUUGUUACAGCAAGGUGAAGUUAGGAGUUCGUCGUUUUCUUUAAGACUUUCGCUAUGCAUUAAACAUGUGUGAAGUUAGGAGUUCGUUCGCUAUGCAUUAAACAUGUGUGAAGUUAGGAGUUCGUUGUUUUCUUUAAGACUUUUCUAUGCAUUAAAAUAUGUGGGACUUAGAUGUAUGAAUUGUUUUCAAGUUAUAAAUUUAGUACAUUCACAUCACACAGAAUAAAAUUUUGCUCAAACGGAUACUGCGCUUAGCUAAAAGUGUGAGAUGAAAUGGUGAGUGCGUGAAUGAUCUUAGUUCCUUAUAUGCAUCUCUUUGAAUAUGUCACUCUUAAGAUUUUCAGUAAUUAAAUUUUAUUAAGUGAACUUAACCAUAUUAUGUUAAGGUUCAUUAAGGUCAAUCCAAGCCACCUCAAUCCUUUCUUUAAAGGUACCAGACAAGUGUGGCACUAUUAACAACAUCUAUUAACAACAUUUUAACUUGUGUGCUUCUUGAAACUUUUUGACAUUAGUUUCAAUGUUGUUUAUUUCCUGUUAGUAGUAUGGAGACUUCUAACAAAGUGAUAGGGGGUAAUGUGUGUUAAAACAAAUUAUCUCUAGGAUAUGGUCUUGUUUGCACUAUGUUGUGUGUACCCUUCUCAUUGUUUGCACACCUUGAACAUCCCUUAUUGCACUUGAAGAACUUAUGUUUACAAAUAAGUCAUCUAUUUAUUGUUUAUUUGUUGUCUCUGUGGUACUGGGUACUAAUUUUAUAUAAAAGCAAUUUGGCGAGUCUGCAAAGUACUAACAACUAUUUGUUUGGUCUUGUUUUGUUUCAGCCCCCAAAAAUUAGAUCCUUCAUCAAUAGUGUCACUGCCGUUCCCUUUGAGAAUAUAGAGGAACCUCUGAAAGGUUUCAUCUGGGAGUUCGAUAAGGUGAUUUUAUUACCUUUAACUGUUACAUUAAUACAGUUAUUUACAUGCAAUAUGAUUUAUAUGCUUUUAUUUCUGGUGCAGGGAGAUUUCCAUCAUUGGGUUGAUCUUUUCAACCAUUUUGAUUCAUUUUUUGAGAAGCACAUAAAAUCCAGGAAGGAUUUGCAGGUUGAUGAUAAUUUUCUAGACACUGAUCCUCCUUUUCCGAGAGAAGCUGUUCUUCAAGUUCUCCGUGUAAUAAGGAUAAUUUUGGAGAAUUGCACAAAUAAGCACUUCUACAGUUCUUAUGAGGUAAAAUUUCCAUCAUUCACCUCUCCGUCGUUGGUGUGUAAUUUUCAGUUGUUUAUUAUUAGUUAGUUUUUAUUCCUUCUAGAUAUACAAUUAUACCAUUAUUGCUUUUUGGGUAUUGUAUAUGGGAUGAAGGCUUAUUUUUAGCUGGGUUGUGAUAAUUAACAACUCUGAUUAUUGUGCAUUUGAUUGUGUUAAUUUUUAUUCUUUACAUCAGUCAAUUUCAUUUAUUUUCAAUUCCUCCUUUUCCCAUUCAUUAGUUUUAUGUCUUUGUUUCAUAUGUUAUUGCAGCAGCAUCUUUCAUCUCUUCUUGCUUGCACUCAUGCGGAUGUGGUUGAGGGUUGCCUGCAGACAUUGGCUGCAUUUUUAAAGAAAACAGUUGGAAAGUAUUCCAUUAGGGAUGCUGCACUAAAUUCAAAGUUAUUCGCUCUUGCACAAGGUUGGGGGGGAAAAGAAGAGGGUCUUGGAUUAAUUGCUAGUGCAAUACAGAAUGGUUGUGACCCUGUUGCUUACGAGUUAGGCUGCACCCUUCAUUUUGAGUUCUAUGCAUCAAAUGAUUCAACAGGUGACAUCCCUGCCAACCAAGGUUUACAAAUCAUUCACUUACCCAACAUCAAUACUCAUCCAGAGACGGAUCUUGAGCUUUUGUGUAAGUUAAUUGCCGAGUACAAAGUACCCUCUAGCUUAAGAUUUUCUUUAUUGACAAGAUUGCGGUUUGCAAGGGCUUUUGGCUCUGUAGCUACUCGGCAGCAGUAUGCAUGCAUCCGCUUGUAUGCCUUCAUAGUUCUUGUUCAAGCAAAUAGUGAUGCUGACGACCUUGUUUCUUUCUUCAAUGCUGAACCUGAGUUUAUCAAUGAAUUAGUGUCAUUGUUGAGCUUUGAGGAUGUGGUUCCUGAGAAAAUUCGAAUUCUCUGUCUUCUUUCACUGGUUGCUCUUUGUCAAGAUCGAUCCCGGCAGCCUACUGUUUUAACUGCUGUCACAUCUGGUGGGCAUCGUGGAAUCCUGUCCAGUCUCAUGCAGAAGGCCAUUGAUUUUGUCACCAAAGAUACAUCAAAGUGGUCUGUUGUUUUUGCUGAGGCUCUAUUGUCUCUUGUCACAGUUUUGGUGUCAUCAUCAUCAGGUUGUUCAGCCAUGCGUGAAGCUGGUUUUAUUCCCACCCUUCUGCCUUUGCUUAAAGAUACAGACCCGCAACACCUUCAUUUGGUCAGCACAUCUGUGCACAUUUUAGAAGCUUUUAUGGAUUACAGUAAUCCUGCUGCUGCAUUGUUUCGGGAUUUGGGUGGUUUAGACGAUACAAUCUCUCGCCUACAGGUGGAAGUGUCUCAUGUAGAAAAUGGCUCAAAGCAUGAAGAUGAUGAUUCUGACAUCAUUGGGAGUAGUGCACAAGUAGCUGUAGGAACUUCCACAGAGCUAGACAGCAUGCAGCCUUUGUAUUCAGAACCACUGGUUUCAUAUCACAGACGAUUGCUUAUGAAAGCUCUAUUGCGUGCUAUAUCCCUGGGGACUUAUGCCCCUGGAAAUACUGCUCGUGUUUAUGGCUCAGAGGAGAGUCUAUUGCCACAAUGCUUAUGCAUAAUAUUUAAAAGGGCAAAGGAUUUUGGUGGUGGGGUAUUCUCACUUGCGGCAACUGUCAUGAGUGAUCUAAUACACAAAGAUCCUACCUGUUUUCCAGUUUUAGAUGCAGCAGGCCUUCCUUCUGCCUUCUUGGAUGCUAUAAUGGAUGGUGUUCUUUGCUCUGCAGAAGCCAUUACAUGCAUACCACAGUGUCUGGAUGCCCUAUGUUUAAAUACUACUAAUGGUCUUCAGGCUGUGAAAGAUCGCAAUGCUUUGAGGUGCUUUGUGAAGAUAUUUACUUCAAGAACUUAUCUGAAGGCCCUGACCAGUGACACACCAGGUUCGUUAUCUAGUGGAUUGGAUGAGUUAAUGCGCCACGCUUCCUCAUUGCGUGGGCCUGGAGUGGAUAUGCUGAUUGAGAUCUUAAAUGCCAUUUCAAAAAUUGGACAUGGGGUUGAUGCUUCGUACAUGUCAAUUGAUCCUUUGGGCUCUUCUACUCCUGUUCCCAUGGAAACAGAUGGAGAAGAGAGGAAUUUGGUCAUGUCUGAUAAUGGGGAAUCAUCCAAAACGGAGAGUUCAGAGCAGACUGUGGAACCACCUUCUGAUUCUUCAGUGGGGAAUGUUGAAUUAUUUCUUCCUGAUUGUGUGAGCAAUGUUGCACGUCUUCUUGAAACAAUACUUCAGAAUGGUGACACAUGUCGUAUAUUUGUGGAGAAGAAGGGGGUUGAAGCUGUCCUGCAGUUAUUUACCUUGCCUUUGAUGCCUCUUUCUGUUUCAGUUGGCCAGAGUAUUUCUGUCGCAUUUAAGAACUUCUCACCACAACAUUCUGCUUCUUUGGCUCGGGCAGUAUGUUCAUUCUUGAGAGAGCAUCUGAAAUCAACAAAUGAACUUUUAGUUUCAGUUGGAGGGACUCAACUUGCUUUGGUGGAAUCUGUGAAGCAAACUCAAGUUUUGAGACAUCUUUCCAGUCUUGAAGCUAUUCUGUCUCUGUCUAAUGUUCUGUUGAAAGGGACGACUACUGUGGUGUCUGAACUGGGUGCAGCUGAUGCUGAUGUAUUGAAAGAUCUCGGGAGCACCUACCGGGAAAUAAUUUGGCAAAUCUCUCUGUGCAAUGAUGUCAAGUCAGAUGAGAAGAUCAAUGCUGAACAAGAACCAGAGAGUGCUGAGGCAGCUCCGACUAAUGCUUCUGGAAGGGAGAGUGAUGAUGAUGCAAAUAUUCCAAUGGUGAGAUAUAUGAACCCAGUUUCUAUCAGGAAUCAGCCCUUGUGGGGUGGAGAACGUGAGUUUCUAUCAGUUGUUCGCUCUGGUGAAGGUUUGCACCGUCGUAGUCGUCAUGGUUUUACACGCAUAAGGGGUGGAAGGACAGGCCGGCAUUUGGAGGCUUUAAAUGUUGAUUCUGAAUCUUCCUCAACGGUAUCAGAGACAUCUACUUCCCAAGAUUUGAAAAAGAAAAGUCCUGAUGUUCUUGUGAUAGAAAUCCUCAACAAGCUGGCUUCCACACUGCGUUCCUUCUUCACAGCUCUUGUCAAGGGAUUCACAUCACCAAAUCGGCGUAGAGUCGACUCUGGGUCGUUGAGUUUGGUUUCCAAGACUCUUGGAACUGCCCUAGCUAAAAUAUUUCUCGAGUCUCUUAGCUUCUCUAGGCAUUCUACAUCAACUGGGCUCGAUACAUCACUGUCAGUCAAGUGUCGAUAUCUUGGCAAAGUUGUCGAUGAUAUGGUAUCACUUACAUUUGACAGCAGGCGACGUACUUGUUAUACUGCAACAGUAAAUAAUUUCUAUGUCCAUGGUACUUUUAAGGAGCUGCUUACAACAUUUGAAGCUACUAGUCAGUUGUUGUGGACACUACCAUACUCCGUGUCAACGUCAGGUAUUGAUCCCGAAAGGACAGGUGAAGGAAGUAAACUGUCCCACAGUUCGUGGCUGCUUGAUACUUUACAGAGCUAUUGCCGUGUGCUCGAGUAUUUUGUUAAUUCUUCUUUACUCUUAUCCACAACCUCUGCUUCUCAAGCACAGUUGCUUGUUCAGCAGCCAGUUGCAGUUGGUUUGUCAAUUGGGCUUUUCCCUGUGCCAAGGGACCCAGAAGUUUUUAUUCGUAUGCUGCAAUCUCAAGUUCUUGAUGUGAUACUUCCUGUCUGGAACCACCCUUUGUUUCCAAAUUGUAGUCCAGGUUUCAUUGCUUCUAUUGUCUCGCUUGUCAUGCAUGUAUAUUCUGGUGUUGGAGAUGUGAAGCAGAAUCGCAGUGGCAUUGCUGGAAGUACAAACCAGCGAUUCAUGCCCCCACCACUUGAUGAAAAUACUAUUACCACCAUUGUUGAGAUGGGUUUUCCAAGGGCUAGGGCAGAGGAAGCUCUUAGGCGGGUGGGAACAAAUAGCGUUGAAAUGGCCAUGGAGUGGCUCUUUAGUCAUCCUGAGGAUCCUGUGCAGGAUGAUGAUGAACUGGCUCGAGCACUUGCUCUUUCACUGGGAAAUUCAUCAGAUGCAUCUAAAGCUGAGAGUGUUGAAAAGCCUGUUGAUGUGCCGGCAGAAGAGGGUUGUGUGAAAGCUCCUCCUGUUGAUGAUGUCCUUGCAGCGUCGGUUAAAUUACUUCAAAGUAAUGAUACCAUGGCAUUCCCUUUGACAGAUUGCUUGUGACACUUAGCAACCAGAACAAAGGGGAAGACCGUCCAAGAGUUGUAUCUUAUCUUACUCAGCAGCUAAAGAAUUGUCCAUUGGAUUUUUCUAAUGAUACCAGUGCGUUGAGUAUGGUGUCACAUGUUAUUGCAUUACUUCUUUCUGAGGAUGGAAGCACAAGGGAAGUCGCUGCACAGUAUGGUAUUGUGACUACUGCAACAGAUAUCUUGAUGAACUUUAAGGGCAAAGAUGAGUCAGGCAAUGAGCUUCUUGUCCCAAAAUGUAUCAGUGCUCUACUGCUUAUUUUGGAUAACAUGUUGCAAUCAAGGUCCAGAAUUUCUGAAAAGGUUGAAGAUACUCAGACAGGGCCUUUACCUGAAUUAUCUGGAGAGCGUAUGUCAAUCCCUGCAUCAGAUACAGAGAAAAAACAGCUUAUGGAUGCCUAUGAAAAGGAUUCUGCCACAGCAUUUGAGAAAAUAUUGGGGAAAUCUACUGGUUAUUUGACUAUGGAAGAGAGUCAUAAAGUGCUAGCAGUUGCUUGUGACUUGAUAAAGCAGCAUGUCCCAGCAAUGAUCAUGCAGGCUGUUUUACAAUUAUGUGCUCGCUUGACAAAAACUCAUGCUCUAGCUUUACAAUUCCUUGAAAAUGGAGGCUUGGCAGCUCUAUUUGGCCUUCCAAGAAGUUGUUUUUUCCCGGGAUAUGAUACUGUUGCAUCUGCUAUUGUUCGCCAUCUCCUUGAAGAUCCACAAACACUGCAAACAGCAAUGGAAUUGGAGAUUCGCCAAGCCCUGAGUGGAAACAGGCAUGGUGGGCGCACUUCUGCACGAACGUUCUUGACAUCAAUGGCACCUGUAAUCUCUAGAGAUCCAGUAGUUUUUAUGAAAGCUGCUUCUGCAGUUUGUCAGUUGGAGACAUCAGGAGGUAGAACCUUUGUUCUGUUAUUGAAGGAAAAGAGAAGGAAAAGGAAAAAUCUAAAGCAGUAGGUGAUGAGGCUGGAUUAUCUUCCAAUGAGUGUGUACGGAUUUCUGAAAAUAAGAUACAUGAUGGAUCUGGUAAAUGCGCAAAAAGUCACAAGAAGAUCCCUGCCAAUCUCACUCAAGUGAUAGAUCAGCUUCUUGAAAUAGUCUUCAAAUACCAUUUCCCAAAUAGCCAGGAAGACUAUUCGAAUAACCCAUCUGCUAUGGAAGUAGAUGAACCCUCUAUGAAGGUGAAGGGUAAAUCAAAGGUUGACGAGACAAGGAAAGUGGAGUCAGAAUCUGAAAGAUCUGCAGGGUUGGCUAAAGUUACCUUUGUUCUCAAAUUACUGAGUGAUAUCCUUCUUAUGUAUGUACAUGCAGUUGGGGUUAUACUUAAACGGGAUUUAGAAAUGACUCAGUUGCGGGGAUCUAAUCAAACAGAUGGUCUUGGACAUGGUGGUAUACUUCACCAUGUAAUUCAUCGAUUGCUUCCACGCACCAUUGAUAAAUCUGCUGGACCUGAUGAAUGGAGAGACAAACUGUCUGAAAAAGCUUCUUGGUUCCUGGUAGUUCUGUGUGGUCGUUCCAGUGAAGGGCGCAGACGAGUAAUUAGUGAACUUGUAAAGGCUUUAUCCUCGUUUUCGAAUUUGGGAUGUACUUCCACCAAGAGCAUCUUAUUACCGGAUAAAAGCGUUUAUGCUUUUGUUGAUUUGGUGUAUUCAAUUUUGUCAAAAAAUUCAUCAUCCAGCAACUUACCUGGUUCUGGGUUUUCACCAGACAUAGCAAAAAGCAUGAUAGAUGGGGGAAUGAUUCAGUGUCUGACUGGUAUCCUCCGGGUGAUUGACUUAGACCAUCCUGAUGCUCCCAAAACUGUGAAUUUGAUACUCAAGACGUUAGAAAGCCUAACAAGGGCUGCUAAUGCUAGUGAGCAAUACUUUAAAUCUGAUGAGACGAGCAAGAAAAAAUCCACAGGGUUGAAUGGAAGUUCUGACGAUCAGGUAACUGCCCCAUCAGCUGAUACUACUGUGGGGGAUAAUCAGAAUGCAAGCAGUGAACAGGGUGUGAGAGACGUCGUACAGGUUGUUCAAGGGGAUCAAGGAAUUUCUGAAAGUGAAGGUAAUCCUGAAGUAAAUCUGAUCCAGUUGGUGGAACAAGAUAUGAGGAUAGAAGUUGAAGGACCAAUAGCUUCUAAUCCACCCAUGGAGCUUGGGAUGGAUUUCAUGCGUGAGGAGAUGGAUGAAGGUAAUGUACUACACAACACUGAUCAAAUUGAGAUGUCUUUUCGUGUUGAGAAUAGGACAGAUGAUGACAUGGCUGAUUUAGAAAACGACAUGGGUGAUGAUGGUGAGGAUGACGACGAGGGAGAGGACAUGGCUGAUUUAGAAAAUGACAUGGGUGAUGAUGGUGAGGAUGAUGAGGAUGAUGAUGAGGGAGAGGAUGAGGAUGAGGAUAUAGCAGAGGGCGGUGGUGGCAUGAUGUCACUUGCUGAUACUGAUGUGGAAGACCAUGAUGAUACCGGCUUGGGAGAUGAUUACAAUGAUGGGAUGAUUGAUGAAGAUGAUGAUGAUUUUCAUGAGAAUCGUGUCAUAGAAGUGAGAUGGAGAGAAGCCCUUGAUGGGCUUGAUCAUUUGCAGGUACUUGAACAACCUGGAGCUGGAAGUGGUCUCAUUGAUGUUGCUGCUGAACCUUUUGAAGGUGUUAAUGUGGAUGACUUGUUUGGUCUGAGAAGGCCGAUAGGUUUUGAUCGCCGCCGUCAGACAAGUAGGUCUUCCUUUGAGCGAUCUGUUGCAGAAGCAAAUGGAUUUCAACAUCCUCUCCUUUUAAGACCAUCCCAGUCUGGGGAUUUGGUCUCAAUGUGGUCAGCAGGUGGAAAUUCAUCCAGGGAUUUAGAAGCUCUGUCAUCAGGGAGCUUUGAUGUUGCUCAUUUCUACAUGUUUGAUGCUCCUGUUCUACCUUAUGAUCACGUACCAAGCAAUCUUUUUGGUGACCGGUUGAGUGGUGCUGCACCCCCACCAUUGACUGAUUAUUCAGUAGGUAUGGACUCAUUGCAGUUAUCGGGGAGAAGAGGGCCAGGUGAUGGUCGAUGGACUGAUGAUGGCCAGCCUCAAGCAGGUCCUCAAGCUGCUGCUAUUGCACAAGCAGUGGAGGAACACUUUAUAUCGCAAUUACGCAGUCUUGCUCCAGCUGAUAUCCCUGCUGAACGACAGUCCCAGAACUCAGGAGUGCAGGAGAAACAGCCAGAUCUCCCUCCUUUAAGUGAUAGUCAAGUAGCAGGGGAGUGCAAUGACAGCCAUGAAAGAAAUGAAGAUCAGCGUCAAGAUGGGGUUGAUGAAACAACACAUCAAGUUAACUCAAGUUCUGACACUGCUCCCUGUCAAGAACAAGUCAAUCCAGAAUCUAUAGUCGAAGGUGCAGGGGAGUUCUUACAAGCACCUGAACCAAUGUCAAUUAUGCCACCUUCAACGAACAGUACACCAAGCGAUAGCAUGGACAUUGGUGAUGGAAAUGGUGCUGCUGGUGAGCAAGUAGGGUCAGUGCCAGGUUCUGUCAACUCGUCUGCAGAAAUAAGUGCUGGUUUACAAUGUGAAGGGGGUUCUGUGCCUUCUAAUCCCCAUGAUGUUACUGUGGAGGCUGUGGGUUGUGAUAGAUCCUCAAGAGCAGAGGGUCAGGUUGGUAAUGUGUCGGCAAGUUUGGGUUUCAAUGUGCCUAAUCCAGGUGAUUCUCAUACUUCUUUGGUGCCAACAAAUAUUGACGUUGAUAUGAAUUACAUUGGUGAAAUAAAUGAAUUGGCCAUCCCAUGCCUACUUUUGAAAAUCGUACAGUUGAACCAUCAAGGGAAAACACAACUGUUGCUCCAGAAGCUAAUCAGGCUGAACAAGAUUUGAAUAAUGAGGCUGCUGGUGCUAAUACAAUUGAUCCGACCUUCUUGGAUGCUUUACCUGAAUAUUUGAGGGCCGAAGUUCUUGCUUCACAACAAGCUCAGCCGGUUCAACCUCCAUCUUAUGCACCACCUUCUGCAGACGACAUUGAUCCUGAGUUUUUAGCAGCCCUUCCUCCAGAUAUCCAAGAAGAAGUUUUGGCUCAACAAAGAGCACAAAGGGUUGCACAUCAGGCUGAGGGACCAGUUGACAUGGACAACGCUUCAAUAAUUGCUACUUUUCCUGCUGAUUUACGUGAAGAGGUUUUCAUCUGGAACUGCAUCUUUCAUGACCUUGAUUGUAAUGAUUAUUUGUCUUAUAUAUGUAAUUUUUCUCUUGGUCCAGGUACUUUUAACUUCUUCAGAAGCAGUUCUGUCUGGAUUGCCUUCUCCAUUGCUCGCUGAAGCCCAAAUGCUAAGAGACCGAGCAAUGAGUCAUUAUCAGGCUCGCAGCCUUUUUGGAACCAGCCAGAGGCUAAACAACCGGAGAAAUGGAUUGGGUUUUGAUCGGCAGACGGUGAUGGACAGAGGUGUUGGAGUCACAAUUGGCCGGAGGGCAGUUUCUGCUCUUGCAGACAGCUUAAAGGUUAAGGAAAUCGAAGGAGAGCCACUUCUGGAUGCCGAUGAAUUGAAAGCCUUAAUUAGGCUAUUACGAUUAGCGCAGGUAAAUUCAUAUUCCAAUUAAUGGUAAUUGGAGUGUUUAUAACUGGUUAUGAAAGUUUUAUGUUUCGUUGAAAUAUGAAUAUUAGGUUUUCUUUUUAAAAAAUCCAUAUAUGGUUAGAAAGUUUGGAGGUUUGAACAAAUUUAUGUGUACUAUAUAAGUGUUAAAGCUCCUGUUGAUGGGAAUAAUAAUGUGUAAAAAACGUCAUAUGAAGAAUUUUCGGUUGGCUGAAGAGUAGAAAACCAAGUGGGUUAUAUUUUCUCAAUUUGUGCUUUAAAAGACCUCAAAAUAACGCAUUAUUUGAAAAUCGCAUGUACACAUACAUGUACUACUUUUUUUUUUUUUUUUUCUACAUACUGUCACAUAAAAUCAUUCAUUAAAUGACUAUCUUCUGCUAACAUGAUCCAUUUAUUUUUUUGUGUGUGGUUAGCCCCUGGGCAAAGGACUCUUGCAGAGGCUCUUGUUGAACUUAUGUACCCAUAGCGUUACACGAGCAAUCUUAGUUCGUCAUUUGCUUGAUAUGAUCAAACCUGAGGCUGAGGGCUCAGUCGGUGGAUUAGCAGCUAUUAAUGCUCAAAGGCUUUACGGUUGCAAUUCAAAUGUUGUUUAUGGUCGAUCACAGUUGUUAGAUGGUAAGUCAUCUGACGCUCCAACAGUUAUCUGCAAUACAUUUGUUUCUUCUAUUUAUGGACUAACAAUUUGUUUGCUUUAUAUUCAUUUUCAAUAGGUCUUCCUCCCUUGGUGCUACGUCGAAUUCUUGAGAUCUUGACUUAUUUGGCCACAAAUCAUUCUGCUGUGGCAAAUAUGUUAUUCUUCUUUGAUUUCUCUGGUGUUCCUGAGUCAUUAAGCCCUAUCCAUAUGGAAACCAAGAAGGACAAAGGCAAGGAGAAAAUUGGAGAAGGAGGAUCUUCAUCAAAACCAUCUGGAAACACCCAGGAUGUGGACAUUCCCCUGAUAUUGUUCCUGAAGCUCCUGAACCGACCUCAUUAUGGCACUGCUCAUCUUGAGCAGGUACUACCUACUCUAUGGUUAACCAGUUUAAAAUGACCUCGUGGAGAGAUUAGCUGCUGUUUGUCUAUUCAUUUAAAAGUGUAGUGUGUAAAUCCCUUGGUAGUUGUUAGGUAUCCACAUAUUUAGUACUUCAACUUGAGAGCUUAUAUGAAUUUAAGAUUGGAGUAAUUCAAUUGUUUGUAAUGUUUGACUCGUUAACUAUUCUGGACAAAGGCUAGUACCUGCUCCAUAACUUUAUUUCUCUCCUUAAAAAUUAAGAAAAAAACUAAGUAUAUGGUAGAGAACGUGUGUAUUGCUUGCCGUAUCUCUAGUUGUACAUGUGGAGUCAUAAUCUUGAUUAUUUUAUUGCUGAAGCAUGUCCUACAGCAUGAUCCUUUCAAAAAAAAUUAUAAUUCAGCACCAUCUCAUGUUUUUAAUUUUUUUUUUUUGUGUGCUACAGGUGAUGGGCCUGCUUCAGGUUGUUGUGUAUACUUCAGCUUCAAAAUUAGAGGGCCAGUCUCAAUCUGAGAGGGCAGAUAAGCCUGUUGGUGAAGCUUCAGGAGAUGGUCAAAAGGUUCCUCCUUUGGAAUCAGAAUCUAAUCAGGGAGAGAAGCCUGUUAGUGGUGAAUCAUCAACUUCAGAUGGAAAGAGGAGUACGGAUACAUAUAAUGUUUUCUUGAAGCUGCCAGAAUCUGAUCUACACAAUCUUUGCAGCCUUCUUGGUCGUGAGGGGUAUUAUUAGCUCACUAAUUCUUAUAUGUUCAUUCUUUGAACGUAGAUGCAGUAUUUGUCAGAUUAACUACUCUCUUCUUUGUGCUACUAUAUGAACUGUGUUUUUAUGAGUGUCUAAUCUGAGUCCAUUUACUUGAUUAGGCUUUCAGAUAAACUUUAUAUGCUUGCUGGUGAGGUCUUGAAGAAGUUGGCCUCAGUUGCAGCACCCCAUCGAAAACUAUUUGUCUCAGCGCUGUCAGAACUGGCUCAUCGCUUGAGUGCCUCAGCUGUUGGUGAGCUUGUUACUCUCCGGAACACACAUAUGCUGGGUUUGAGUGCCGGAUCAAUGGCUGGGUUAGCAAUCCUACGUGUAUUACAAGCACUUUGCUCUCUCACUUCACCUAGGGCUAGUGAGAAUUCAGGAUUGGAGAAUGAUGCGGAUCAGGAGGAGCAUGCCAUCAUGUGGAAACUAAAUGUUGCACUUGAGCCACUGUGGCUAGAAUUAAGCAACUGUAUAAGUGCGACUGAAACAGCACUGGGUCAGAGUACUUUUUGUCGAACCAUGUCUAUAGUAAAUACUGGGGACCAUGCACAGGGUUCUUCUUCGUCUCCUCUCCCUCCUGGAACCCAGAGACUCCUGCCUUUUAUGGAGGCUUUUUUUGUUCUGUGUGAAAAGCUACAAGAGAACCUCUCUACUAUGCUGCAAGACCAGGCGAAUGUGACUGCAAGAGAAGUCAAAGAGUCCUCUGGAAACUCAGAUCCUUCAACUACCAAGUGCCACAGUUGUGGGGAUUCUCAGAGAAAGCUUGAUGGUGCUAUUACAUUUACAAAGUUCGCUGAGAAGCAUCGCCGGCUUUUAAAUGCUUUUAUCAGGCAGAAUCCAGGUUUGUUGGAGAAAUCCCUUACUAUGAUGCUGAAGGCACCAAGGCUAAUUGAUUUUGAUAACAAAAGAGCAUAUUUCCGGUCAAGAAUUAGGCAGCAGCAUGAGCAACAUCUCUCUGGUCCUCUGAGAAUAAGUGUUCGGCGGGCAUACGUUUUGGAGGAUUCUUAUAAUCAGUUGCGCAUGCGGCCUACUCUGGACAUGAAGGGACGAUUAAAUGUCCAAUUCCAAGGGGAAGAGGGUAUUGAUGCUGGAGGUCUGACACGAGAGUGGUAUCAAUUACUGUCAAGGGUCAUAUUUGACAAGGGGGCAUUGCUUUUCACCACCGUAGGAAACAAUGCAACUUUCCAGCCAAACCCUAAUUCUGUCUACCAGACAGAACAUCUGUCUUAUUUUAAAUUUGUGGGCCGUGUGGUAAUUCUUCUGGACUAUUAUUGACUUUUUGAAACUGACUUUAUAAGCUUCUUCCGUCUGUGUUAGAUUUUUCUUUAACUUUUGCUGCUGUGAUAAUUUAUUCAGGUUGCAAAGGCACUUUUUGAUGGGCAACUUUUGGAUGUUUAUUUCACUCGAUCCUUCUAUAAGCAUAUACUUGGUGUAAAGGUGACUUACCAUGAUAUAGAGGCUGUGGAUCCUGAUUACUACAAGAAUUUAAAGUGGAUGUUAGAGGUUAGCGUGCUUUUGAUCACACUCUGAUUUUUAAGAGUUCAAGGUUGGAUUGGAAUGGGUUUCGUUGUAGGUUUUUAUAUCUUUUUAACUGAUCUAAAAUGUGUCAUAUUCGUUAUUCUGAAAUUCUCUGCAGGAUUAAGACUCAGUUCCUCUAUUGCGUAAGUUUCUUUAAUUUGAUUUUUUUUCUCGUGUCCAGAAUGACGUGAGUGAUAUUCCUGACCUGACGUUUAGCAUGGAUGCGGAUGAAGAAAAGCAUAUCCUUUAUGAGAAAAACCAGGUAUUUGAAUUUAUAUGUUACUUUUAAGUUCUGUUCUUUAUUUUUGAAAGCUUUUGGGUUUUCACGUAGUGUUAUUGUAAAGUCUUUACUUAAAUGCCAAUCUGAUUUUCAUUCAAUGUUAUAACAUUAAAUUGAGCUCGCGGGUUUGACUAAUGUUGUACUUGUUUGUUGUGUUUUCCUUUCUUUAUACCUUCUUGAAAAGGUUACUGAUUAUGAGCUGAAACCUGGAGGAAGAAAUAUUCGGGUUACAGAAGAGACGAAGCACGAGUAUGUUGACCUUGUAGCUGAACAUAUCUUGACAAAUGCUAUCCGACCUCAAAUUACUUCCUUCAUGGAGGGGUUUAAGGAAUUGGUCCCGCGAGAGCUUAUCUCAAUUUUCAAUGACAAGGAGCUUGAGCUACUUAUCAGUGGUCUUCCAGAGAUAGAUUGUGAGUUGCAUUUAAAAUGAGCUUAUUACAUAAUUGAUAUGGUCUUUUGUUUCUCUUGUGAUAUCUGAAUGGUGGCAUUGUCCUUACAGUGGCUGAUUUGAAGGCCAAUACCGAGUACACUGGCUACACAUCAUCAUCUGAUGUUGUUAAAUGGUUCUGGGACGUGGUUGAAAGUUUCGACAAGGAGGACAUGGCAAGACUGCUGCAAUUUGUGACUGGAACAUCAAAGGUAACUGUUUGUACUACAAAAGAAAUAUGAAAAUAGUAUAUAUACUUCUCCAUAUCCGCUGGUUCACGACUAAAAGGGAUUUUGUAUGUGCUUUUGUACUUUCUGAGUGUAUGCGACCCCUCUUUUCCCUUGUCCCAUCCCUUUUUCCCAACAACCCAACCCCUCCCUUUAUAAUGUUCAUAACUUUUUUAAAGGGUCCGUUGAAGUGUGACUUGCGUUGAUUUUACCUUGAUAUCAUUUGUCAAUUUCAUUUCCUUUUUUUCACAGGGUCCGUUGGAAGUGUGACUUGCGUUGAUUUUACCUUGAUAUCAUUUGUCAAUUUCAUUUCCUGUGAACAUGGUUUUUCACAAUGCGCAUGUUGUCUCAUUGAACUUUGCCAUUGUAUAAUGAUUGGAGAUGGCAUGCGUAGCUAAUGAUUUAAAUGUAUGCUUGCAACAUGAUGCAUAUGUGGGGGCAAAUUUUUGUACUCGGUAAAACUAACAUAUUUGUGACUUUCAGGUUCCAUUGGAAGGUUUCAGGGCUUUGCAAGGUAUCUCUGGUCCUCAGAAAUUUCAGAUCCACAAGGCUUAUGGAGCUCCUGACAGGCUACCUUCUGCUCAUACAUGGUUAGUGUAAACAUAAUUUGAAAAAGUUAGUUUCUUUGAAAAAGUCAGUUUCUUUGUCCCCUUCACAUUCUCGUCAAGCUCGAUGUUUCUAAUGUAGUCCUAUGUCUUUUCCAGCUUUAACCAGCUAGACCUUCCUGAGUACACCACCAAAGAACAGCUUCACGAACGAUUGAUACUUGCUAUUCAUGAAGCUAGUGAAGGAUUUGGCUUUGGUUGACAGAAGGAAUCUCAGCAGAUAUUUCCCCAGCAUUCCAGUCAUCGGUCGUAUAGUUAGCAUGUACAUGUCAGUUCGACAUCUUUUUUCUUUCCUUAUUUCGAAAACCUUGGUUAAUCUUUUCUGAAAUCAACUUAAUUGUAAUUCGUUUGUUUCUUUCUUAUUCUCCACCAUUCUUUGCGCAGAUGAAAGAACCCGGUUCCUGAAUUUUGUCUUCCAGUAUUACAGCAACUUCUGAGGAAACCGAUGAUGGAUUUUGUAAAGAAUUCCGAAAGCAUUAUCUAUUGACGGGAGGCCGGCAAGCUUCUCAGGUGACAAUGGAUUGGAAUCUUAGAAAUUCUUUAGCGAAUUCUUUACAUGUCGGAAAAUUGGGGAUUCGGUACAGAUGGACGUGGAUAGAAAAUCUGUUUUGGUGUUCAUAGUAGAUAUCUGUUUUAGAUUAGUCAGUUUUCACUUUCUCCGACCUGAAUGUUUGGUAAUAAGCCUAGGAACAUAUUUAUGUAUAUGUAAUUCCAGAUGGUUUCUUUUGGGUUUCAAUUUAUUUAAAGGCGAGAAGGUGAUUCCAAUUUUGCUCCUUCAAUUUUAUUUGUGCACUCGGACAUGCUGACAUGCCCUCUUGUUCGUGGUUCUUGCGAGAGAAACUCGUCUGGCUUUGGCGGUAUCCUAAGCCAAACCGUGUUUUGUCAUUUGCUAAUGGCAAUGCAUGAUUAGCUUAGGAUACUGUAACAAUUACAUCCUCUUUCCUGAAAGUCCUCGUGAUUUGCCGGAUUCGUAACCAUUUUUCGACAAUGCAGUACGCAAAGGGGAGUAUUCUGGCCAAUUUGCCUGACUCGCGUAUGCACGACACCAUCCGUGUAGCCUUUUUGCCAUGAUUUUCUGUAAUUUUUCUUUGAACGUUCUAGAAAAUUAUGCUUAAAAAAGCUCCACACUUGAAAAUUUAUUAGUUUUCACGAAUGGAGCAAAAAUGCUUGAUUUUCCGUUGACAUUUGCUUUGAAAUACAGAGAAAAGAAGGGAUAAGAAAGGAAGGGUUUGUUCGACAUUGCCUUUGGAUGCUUUAGGCAACGUACAAUGUGGUUAGGAUUAUAAAAACAUUUUUUUAGUACUUUUGGGACAAGGUUCUUCGAUAAGUACUUCUAAAUGCUGUUCCACAAGAAAUUGGAUUCUUCAUGAAGAAAAUGGAAGUGUUGUUGCAUUCUCGUUUUCACCUCUACACUUCCACGUCCACCCCACCUCAGCCGUACAAUUGAUCCUAAUGACCAGUUUGGCACUCACCCCCUCCUACUCCACUGUGUUCCUAGAGCUAUUCUUUCCAGAAACGUCCCCAGUGAUCGCAAAGACGAGCGAAGGGAUGAGCAUUACUAUCUGCAUUAUGACAACCAUGCUUUUGAUUUGUACUGCAAGCUAGAAUUUCCAAUUGUUCCCAAGAUGAACGAAUCAAUUCGCGUGGUUGGCAUCUGUAAUGGGCUGGUGUUCCUUGCAGUUGCAGAUGAUACACUCACUUUGGCUAACACCUUCAUAAUAUUCAACCCAUCUAUGAGAAAGUCGGUGACCCUUCCUAAGCCGACAAUUGGUCGGUACCGUACUUGUAUUGGUUUUGGGUUUGACGCUGUGACUAAUGACUACAAAGUUGUGAGAUUUGUCACUGAUCGUCCGAAUACUUUUCAUGAGGAUUAUUCACUUGCUGGAGGCUCAUGGAGUAAUCCUCGUUCUUUGGAUCAUGUGUGCGAAGUUAUGGAUCCUCUCAAAUCCCAAGCUUUUGUAAAUGGGGCGAUUCACUGGGGGGCAUGGCGCCGCUUAACAAACAGUUAUGAAUAUAUCAUUUUGGCAUUUGACGUGGGCAGCAAUUCAUUUCACAGGAUCAUGGUGCCAAUGAGUUUCAGUAACUCAUGGACCGCGCAAUUGUCUGUUUCAGGUGACGGGAAAUCCAUUGCUCUGUUCCAGCCUUAUUUCAUCUGUAUUGGAGAGCCUCGUCUUAUUGUGAGUUCUUAUCCUCCGUUAUUGACUGUUUCGUUUUUGUUGUAUUUCCUCACUCACUCUGUGUCUACGAAAUUGGCAGCCGGGGAAGUGAAGUUUGAAGCAAUGGUUAGCAGUUUGCCCAAGGAAAUCGUACAUGAUAUCGACUACCUCCUAAAGCUUUGAUCAGGUGCACCUCGGUGUGCAAGCCUUGGAACUCCACGAUAAAAAAAACCCCCAGCUUUAUUCGCACCCAUCUCAGUCGUAACAUCACUCUUAAUAACCAGCUUGGCACCCACCUCCUCCUUCUGCACUGUGUUCGCGGAGACAAUCCAGUGCAGCAGAAUUAAUAUUUGCAUUAUGAUAACCCUGGUUUUGAUGAGUACUGCAAGCUACAAUUUCCAAUUGUUCCCAAGCGCAAUAGAUUCCUUCGCGUGGUCGGCAUUUGUAAUGGGUUGGUCUUCCUUGCAGAUGACAGACUCCAUUUAGGUUACACCUUCAUAAUAUUCAACCCGUCGAUAAGAAAGUCAGUGACCCUUCCAGAGCCUCACCUUGCCUUCGACACAAUUGGCCCGUAUUCCGCUCUUGUUGGGUUUGGUUUUGAUGCUGUGAUCAAUGACUACAAGGUUGUGAGACUCCUGACCGAUCAAUGCGAGGAUCCAAAUACUUUUUAUGAGGUUUAUUCACUUGCUAGAGGCUUGUGGAGUAGUCCUCGUUCUUUUGACCCCGUUUGUAAAGUUUUUGAUUCUCUCAAAUUUCAGACUUUUGUGAACGGGGCUGUUCAUUGGCAGGCACGGCGCUGCUUGGACGAUGGCCGUUAUCAAAAUUUCAUUUUAGCAUUUGAUGUGGACAGUGAGUUAUUUCACGAGAUAAAGGUGCCAAAGAGUUUUAGACAGGAUAAACCAUUAGAUUAUCACCUGUCUGUUUCAGGUGAUGGAAACUCCAUUGCUGUGUUCACGAUGCCGCGGGGUCGUAAUUGUACUGAGGAUUUUCUUGACAUAUGGGUGAUGACAGAGUAUGGCAUCGAGGAUUCAUGGGCCAAACUGAUAACUCUAAGUCCACCGGAUCCAGAAAGCAGGGUGCCCUACAAGCCCUUAUGUUUUAGGAAGAGGGGUGAAGUAGUGUUGGUAUCGACUGAUGACUAUGGCAAUAUGCAUGAAUUAGUUUCUUUAGACCUUGUGAGCAAACAAUUUAAAAAUCUUGGGAUUCGCGGAUAUGGAUAUUACUAUGCUGAACCUUAUGAGGAGAGCCUCGCCUUACUUGACAAUGUCGAUGCAGUUUCUUACAGAGGAGCAGAUCAGGUAAUGUUAUAUCUAGCAUUGGUCUUCCUUUUUGUUUGGAUUUUCUUCUUGUUAUAUAUUUACGUCCAAGGUUCCAACUGUGUGUGACAUGAUAUGAGCUUUAACCCCAGAACAAAGUUAUAUGUGUGUUAAUUUGUUACUUGAUUUAAUUACGCAUAGCUUGCUGAAGUGUAAUCGUUGACAUCAUUCAUUCGCCCUUCGUGCAGGUAGAAAAAGAUGAGGCAGAUAGAUUUCAAGUCCUUGACGAUGCCGUUGUAAUGAAUGUGCUCAAUCUGCUGCUCAGUCAUCGUUUAUCUUGACUAUAUCACUUGUAUUUUGACGUCGACUAGUAAAAAGACGUCGCAUGUGUUGUGCUAGGAUAGCACCAAACCCGUUGGAACCAACUCAAGCUAACCCACAGGAAAUUUAUCAAAUGAAAAUGCAAGAACAAAAUAUUAAAGAACACCAAGAUUUUAACGAGGUUCCUCAACAGUCAGUGUAACUGGAGUACGUCCUCGGAGCAGUAGGAGCUCACCCAAUAAUCCACUAUCAACCAAAUGGGAGUUUACAAAGUGUUGGCAAUCUCACAACCCAAAUAACCCAAUACACCCAAUAUCUCUCACACACCAAAGAAACAAAUAGAAGAAGAAAUAUAAUGAAUAAGUUAUUCUCUAUACAUAUAGCUCAAAGCUAUUACAACAACACCUAUUUUGGUGGAUGAUUACUAACCAAAUGAAGCAGCAGCUUCUUCUUCCUUUUGGGCUCUCUGCAGAAAAAAACUCUAACUUCUCUCUGCAGCUCUCUCUUCUCUCUUCAGCUCUCUCAACUGAAAAAUGAGAGUUGCAUCUCUUUUCUUCUAUCCGAAACAAACCUCAAUAAUUAUGGUUAAUAAAAAAACCACAAAAGAAAAAAAAACAUCAUCAUGAUGUCUCCUCAUCAUGAUGUUUCCUCAUCAUUUUGUCUUUCUUUUUCUUUUGCUUUUUUUAAUAGCCGAAAGUAUUGGCCAUAAUUCAACAAUCUCCACCUUGGCCAAAUUUCGAAAACACCAUGAUAAGCCACCAACACAAUCAACACAAAAAAAAUCACUCCCAAACACUAGCAAGAGAACAACUCAUGCCGAGCCAAAUGCUCCAAAACUCCUACUACUCAACGCCUUCUUUAUAUAGGCAAAAUGUGAGCCAAGUUCAAACAAUGAACAAACUUGGCUACACCAACAACCUUAGUCAACAUAUCAGCGGGGUUGUCUUUAGUUGGAAUCUUCUGGAGAAUGAUUUCCCCUUCACCAACAAUUUCACGAACAAAGUGAUAACGCACAUCUAUGUGCUUGGUCCUCGCAUGAUGAACCUGAUACUUAGCCAAAUAAAUGGCACUCUGACUAUCACAAUGUACCUCCACCUGCUUCUGAUCAACCCCCAAAUCUCUAAUCAGCCCAUGUAUCCAAAUGGCCUCCUUUAUAGCUUCAGCAACUGCCAUAUAUUCAGCCUCUGUAGUAGACAAGGCAACAGACGACUGCAAAAUAGACCUCCAACAAACUGGUCCUUUAGCCAUAGUAAACACAUAGCCUGUAGUAGACUUCCUACCAUCCAGAUCACCUGCAUAAUCUGAAUCAACAUAACCAACUGCAAAAUGACCAAUACCAGAGUCAUCUCUCUCAAAGCAUAAACCAACAUCUUGAGUACCAUGGAGAUACCUCAAUAUCCACUUAACUGUUUGCCAAUGCUCUUUACCUGGAUUAUGCAUAUAUCGACUCACCAUGCCAACUGCAUGAGCAAUAUCCGGUCUAGAGCAUACCAUUGCAUACAUCAAACUACCAACCAAAUUUGCAUAUGGUAUAUUUUUCAUUUGCAGCUUCUCUUUAUCAGUUUUAGGACACUGUAAAGAACUCAAUUUAAAAUGAGGAGCCAAAGGGGUACUAACCGGUUUGGUUGAAUCAUGAACUCCAAAUUUCCGAAUCAACUUUUCAAGAUAUUGUCUUUGAUUCAAACUGACCAAACCCUUCUCUCUAUCUCUAGUGAUCUCCAUGCCAAGGAUCUUCUUCGCUUCACCAAGAUCCUUCAUCUCAAACUCAUUCUUCAUUUGCUUCUUCAAUUUCUCAAUCUCUUCAACAUUCUUUGAGGCAAUCAACAUAUCAUCAACAUAUAUCAACAAAUAAAUGAAAGACCCAUCUUGCAACUUCUUGAAGUACACAAAAUGAUCAUAUUGACUUCUAGAAUAAUUUUGGCCUCUCAUAAAUUUAUCAAACCUCAAAUACCAUUGCCUUGGAGAUUGCUUCAAGCCAUAUAGUGAUUUCUUCAAUUUGCAAAACAAGUUCUCCUUCCCUUUCAUUAUAUACCCAUCCGGUUGACACAUAUAGAUCUCUUCAUUCAAAUCACCAUGUAGGAAAGCCGUCUUCACAUCGAGUUGCACAAGCUCAAGAUCAUAUUGUGCAACAAGGGCUAACAUAAUACGAAUUGAGGAGUGCUUCACAACUGGAGAAAAUAUUUCAUUGUAGUCAAUGCCCUCCUUUUGUGCAUACCCUUUAGCAACUAAUCUUGCUUUAAAUCUCACAUUGCUUUUCUCAUCAUCAUCUUCCUUCUUGGCAUACACCCAUUUGCAACCAAUAGCUUUCUUGCCCUUAGGCAAUUUAGCUAACUCCCAAGUCUUGUUCUUCAAGAGAGAAUUCAUCUCAUCACCCAUGGCAUUGCACCACCUCUUCUUCUCCUCACUCUCAAUAGCUUCCUCAAAAUUGGAUGGAAUCUCUUCAGUGAUAAUAGGAAGAGCAAAAGCAACAUAGUCACUAUACCGAGCUGGCUUGGUAAUUUGUCUCUUUCCUCUGUUCUUGGCAAUAGACUCUUGAGGUGAAACUUGCUCUUCAACUUGAAUAGAAUCUUCAAGUUCAACUUCUUCAACAUCCUCAUGGUCUCCAACUUCCUCACUUGUAGUGGCUUCGACAUCAGCGGAAAUAGGAUUUGAAGUACCAGAGGCAACUUUCUCAAGCUCCACCUGUUGGACAUUUUUCACAUUCUUCUCAGAGCCUUUGUACAUACUUUCUUCAUCAAAUGUCACAUCUCUGCUGAUUACAAGUUUCUUCAAUUCUGGGCACCACAACCUGUAACCUUUGACACCACUACUAAAACCAAGAAAGAUAGCCUUUUUGGCUCUAGGAUCAAGUUUAUUUUCAGUUACAUGAAAAUAAGCAGGUGAACCAAAAAUAUGAAUAUGAUCAUAAUCAGAAGAAGGUUUUCCAGUCCAUACCUCCAUUGGUGUCUUACCCUGAACAGCAGCUGAGGGUAACCGGUUGAUGAUGUGACAUGCAUAAUUAACUGCCUCUGCCCAAAAUGACUUGCUUAAACCCGAUUGAGACAACAUACAUCUAACCUUCUCAAGCAAGGUUCGAUUCAAUCUUUCUGCAACUCCAUUUUGUUGUGGAGUUCCUCGAACACUGAAAUGUCUCACAAUUCCUUCCUCUUUGCAAACUUUAAAGAAAGGAUCGGAUGUGUAUUCACCACCAUUAUCCGAUCUCAAAAUCUUAAUCUUUCUCCCAGUCUGAUUCUCAACCAUUUUCUUCCAACCCAAGAAAAUGCACAACACCUCACUCUUGUGCUUCAUAGUGUAGACCCAAGACCUUCUUGAAUAAUCAUCAACAAAUGUCACGAACCAAUGUCUACCACUCAAAGAGGGAGUCUUUGUAGGACCCCAAACAUCCGAAUGCACAUAAUCAAGAAUGCCCUUUGUCUGAUGUACAGCAGUACCAAACUUCACUCUAGUUUGUUUCCCCAAGACACAAUGCUCGCAGAAAUCAAGCUUACAAGUCGUGGCACCUUUUAGAAGACCUUGUUUCACAAGCCCUUGUAGAGCUUUCUCACCGGCAUGGCCUAAUCUCAUAUGCCACAGUCUAGUAGUAUCUGAAUCAGAUGUGCCCAUAUUUUCAGAGACUACAGAUGCUUCACCUGUCACAGUGCUUCCCUGCAAUAAAUACAAAUGACCACAUCUAGGAGCUUUCAUCACAACAAGUGCACCAUAAGUAACUUUCAAUGUCUGUCCAUCUGAAUGAAACCUGAAACCCUUGGAUUCCAAAGUACCCAAAGAAAUAAGAUUUUUCUUCAAAUUCGGUACAUACCGAACACCUGUCAACUCUUUAACCAUGCCAUCAUGCAACUUCAAACGAACUGUACCAAUCCCUUUUGUUGUGCAAGGAUUGUCAUCUCCCAUGAACACAACGCCACCAUCAAACUCUUUCAAGCUUGAAAACCAAUCUUUGUGAGGAGUCAUAUGAUGAGUACAACCCGUAUCUAACACCCACUUAGUAGCACAAUCAAAUGAUGAGGAAGUGGUUAAAGCAAAAUCAGAAAAAUCUGUUUCAACCUCAGCAACAUUAGCUUCAGAACUUUCUUUUCCUUUGGUCUUCAACUUAGGACAAUCUUUCUUCCAAUGGCCCUUAUUAUGACAAAAGGCACAUUCAUCCCUUUCUAAAUGUUUUCUACCUUUAGAGUUUCCUCUAGGUCGAGACUGUGAUUUUUUCCUACUAGUAGAGGACCUCCUCUCCGAUGAUCUACCUCUAACAAAUAAAGCUUCAGAGGUACUAUCAUGAUUUUUAUCUCUAUGCCUCAUUUCAUAAUUCAUCAAGGCAUUUGACACAUCUUCAAAUUUCACAGUUUCUUUACCAUGCAUAAUAGUGGUAACAAAAUGCUCAUAAGAGUCCGGCAAUGAAUUCAACAAUAUUAAGGCCUUAUCUUCAUCCUUAAUAUCCUCAUCUAAAUUUAACAAGUCGGCAAUCAACUUAUUAAAAGCAUCAAGGUGUCUAAUCAUUUUUGUACCUUCUUUGUAUUGGAAGCGGUAGAGCUUUUUCUUCAAGUGUAGCCGGUUCUCUGCAUUCUUCGUCAUAUACUUGUCUUCCAAUUUUUGCCACAACACACUUGCUACCGUCUCCCACAUCACAAAAUACUUCUGAGUUUUUGCAAGGCACAACCGAAUUGAAGAGCAAGCCCACAAAUUUAAUUUCUCCCAUUCCGACUUCGACAUAGCUUCCGGUUUUUCUCCCAAAACGGCAAGUAGAUCUUGUUGAGCCAACACAUCUUUAACCUCACAUUGCCACAUCCCGAAGUUGUUUGUGCCAUCAAACUUUUCCACUUCGAACUUUGCAUUUUGCACCGUAGUUCUUGCAAACCCGGAGGUGCUUCCAAAAGGAUUUUCAUCUUGCCCAUCUGACAUCUUUGGCAACUAGACAGUACCCAAGAGCAACCAGUGCUCUGAUACCAAUUGUUGUGCUAGGAUAGCACCAAACCCGUUGGAACCAACUCAAGCUAACCCACAGGAAAUUUAUCAAAUGAAAAUGCAAGAACAAAAUAUUAAAGAACACCAAGAUUUUAACGAGGUUCCUCAACAGUCAGUGUAACUGGAGUACGUCCUCGGAGCAGUAGGAGCUCACCCAAUAAUCCACUAUCAACCAAAUGGGAGUUUACAAAGUGUUGGCAAUCUCACAACCCAAAUAACCCAAUACACCCAAUAUCUCUCACACACCAAAGAAACAAAUAGAAGAAGAAAUAUAAUGAAUAAGUUCUUCUCUAUACAUAUAGCUCAAAGCUAUUACAACAACACCUAUUUUGGUGGAUGAUUACUAACCAAAUGAAGCAGCAGCUUCUUCUUCCUUUUGGGCUCUCUGCAGAAAAAAACUCUAACUUCUCUCUGCAGCUCUCUCUUCUCUCUUCAGCUCUCUCAACUGAAAAAUGAGAGUUGCAUCUCUUUUCUUCUAUCCGAAACAAACCUCAAUAAUUAUGGUUAAUAAAAAAACCACAAAAGAAAAAAAAACAUCAUCAUGAUGUCUCCUCAUCAUGAUGUUUCCUCAUCAUUUUGUCUUUCUUUUUCUUUUGCUUUUUUUAAUAGCCGAAAGUAUUGGCCAUAAUUCAACAGCAUGUACUCCGGAUUUUCUCCGGAUGCCUUGUGAUAUAUGCCGGAUGCUGGCUAGAGGAGAACAUUUUUCCUUCAGUUUGUCUGCUAAUUUACAGUCCUAGAAGAAGUUACUUAUCAUAACAUGUUGCCAAUGUUCAUGGAUAUAUACCGUUAUAUUAAUGAGUUUCUUUGAAAUUGUUUGUGAUAUUUUCGUGCCAAAUAGGACGAGAAGAAAAUUGCAUAUCUCAGUUUUUUAGCUCUCAUAAAGAUUUAUGUCUCUCUCGUUGCGAAACUUAUACUAUAAUUUUUGCUCCUAUGGUCUAUCAAAAUAAUAAUAUUUCAGUAGAUACUUAGUAGUUUAUUACCGUAAAUUUUGUGUUCAACUGAAAGCAGGGAGAACAAUGUGUACCUUUUUCUUUUCUUUUUUCCCAAUGAAUUUUUUAACUUCUUCCUCUACAACUAGGGGUGGGCAAUUGGAACCGAAAACCGAAACCGAAACACGAAUCGAAUCGAACCGCACCAAACGGUUUGGUUUUGCGGUUUUGAAACGGUUUCGGUUUCAAAACCAAACCGUGGCACACAAAACGGUUUGGUUUCGGUUUUGGGUUUUCAAAACCGCACCGAAACCAAAACCGCACCGUAUAAUAAAUAAUAAAACAAAUGUUAUAUAACUUAUAAUUUAAACUUUUCAACUAGGUUAUAACUUAUAGGUUUGGUUUUGCCGUGGGUUUGCACUUUGACUUAACUGCUUCUGCUUGCAUCUCUACUUCUGCCUUUGCAAUUGCAUUUUUGUUGCAUUAUUUUUUAGUGCAAUUUUGUGCAGUUUUGGUGCAGUUUUUGGUGCAGUUUUGCUGCUGUUUUUUAUGCAGUUUUGCUGCAUUUUUUUGGUGCAGUUUUGUGCAGUUUUGGUGCAGUUUUUGGUGGUGUUUGGGUGCAGUUUUUGGUGGUGUUUUGCUGCAGUUUUUUUUCUUCAGUUUUGACUCUUUUUUGCUGCAAUUUUACUGCAUAUUCAUUAAUUAAUAUACGAGGAAAAUAAGACCGUUUUAUGCAUAAAUAGGUGUAUAUUUUAAAUUGUACAUUUUUUUUCUCAAAAACCAAACCGAAACCGUUUGAAACCGCACCGCACCGAACCAAACGGUUUGGUUUUAUUUCGGUUUUGGCUUCAAAACCGCACCGCAAAAUGUUUCGGUUUCGGUUGUGGUUUCACUCGAAACCGCACCGCGCCCACCCCUAUCUACAACCCUUGCAUGUAGGUUUGGCAGUAAAAGAAGAGUUUCAGCGCAAUUAAAAUAAGGUUUUUUUAGCCAAAAUGGUCCCUGAAAUUUCAAAUCAAUAGAAGUGAUCCAUGAGAUUGUCUACUAUCCAUCAUUUUGGUCAUUCCGUUAAAAACUCCUUUAAGUGUCCCGGAGCUGUUGGCCGGAAGUUUUGGCAAUUUUCAAAGCUUCGUAACUCAAUCGUUUCUUAACCAAAUUUGACCCAUAAUAUAUCAAAAUGAAGAUAGGAAAGUGUAGAAUAAGAUUAUAACUAUUUAGAAGCCCAAUGGUUGCCGGAGAUGGUCGGAAAAUAGCCUCAAAGUUGACUGGUCCGAGGGAAAACUGGAAAACUGGCCGGAAACUGGGUAAACUUUAAAAGUUCAUAACUUCUUCAAUACUCAACGAAAUCAAGUGAUUCAAAAACAAAAAUCAUACUUCUCAAUGAGACAAAGAGAAUGGAACCUUUUUCAAUGGCUAACUCGCAGUGGUUUGGCCGAAAAACGGCUCAAAAUUGGCUAACUCGAGCCUAAGGCAGCCACUUUCGAGCCGUUUUCCGGCCAAACCACGGCGAGUUAGCCAUUUCAAAAGAUACCAUUCUCUUUUUCUCAUCGAGAAGUAUGAUUUUCAUUUUUGAAUCACUUGAUUUCGGUGAGUAUUGAAAAAGUUACGAACGUUUAAAAUCUACCCAGUUUUCCAGUUUUUCCUCGGACCAGUCAACUUUGAGGCUAUUUUCUAAUCAUCUUCGGCAACCAUUGGGCUUCCAAAUAGGUAUAAUCUUAUUCUACACUUUCCUAUCUUCAUUUUGAUAUAUUAUGGUCGAAUUUGGUUAAGAAAGAUUGAAUUACGAAGCUUUGAAAAUUGCCCAAACUUUCGGCCAAGAGCUCUGGGACAUUUAACGGAAUUUUUAACGAAAUGACCAAAAUAAUGGAUGGUGGCCAAUCUCAGGGACCAAAGUGAGGAGUUAUACAAAUCUCAGGGAUCAUUUUGGCUAAAAAGCCUUAAAAUAAUGGCGAACUAGUCUUUCGUUUUUUUAUGAACAAUAGGAUAAUCUACACUAAAUUAUUUUUUCGUCUUUUGUUAAAGGAUACAUUAAUUGAAAAAAAAAAACUUGAAGUGUUUGGGAUCAUUUAAAUUCCAAUUUCAAUAUAGCUAUUGGUUUAAGUAACAUAAUUUUUAGUUUAGGUACCAAUGAAAAAAAUCAACUAAAAUAAUUCUAUAAAUACUAUUAUAAUUCAAAAUAAUUAUAUAAUUGCUACGUUUUCCGACCAGCCAACUGUAUUCGCAACCACCUCACCCUUACUGUCAAUCUUAAUAACCAGGUUUCGACUAACCUCCUUGUACGGCAUUGUGUUUGCAUACAUGAGCCAAGGGAGGAGCAUUACUAUUUGCAUAUGAUAAAUAACCAUGUUUUUUAUGAGUACCGUUGGCUAGAAUUUCCAAUCAUUCCGAAGGGAUAAUCAAUCAAUUGCUUAUUAAAUAUUAUUUUCUCUAUUCUUAAUGUAAAUUUUAUAAUGACCGAUUUUAUUAUGUUAAUUACUUUAAUUAGUUUAUUAGAGGUUUCUUCUAGUAUAAUAUAAGAAUAUUUAUUUAUUUCCAAUAUUUAACUUUCCUUUUAUCAAUUUAUGCAUAUAAAUACAUUUAAAACGUGUAAGUCGCGCGUAGCACGUCGUGAUUCAAAAAAUGUCCUCUGCAUAAAGGCUAGUAAAGAGAAAGUAAAAAGAGGAAUCUGUCUUUUUGGGCAGAAAGAGGAAGACUUGUUAUAGUCUUUCAACACCUAAUCAUCAUCGCAAUUUGAAGAGCCUCGACUAGAUAAGAAGACGUCGCAUGUACUCGGGAUUUUCUCCGGGAUGCCUUGUGAUAUUCUGAUAUUGCUGCUGGAAAUAAAUGUUGGAACUUGUGAGUGGGACUUAGUCCCACAUCGCCCAAACACAUGGUGGAAGUCCACUUUAUAAGUCUUUUCCUUCCUUUAUGGUUUGAAAAGAAUUGGUCCAAAGCUAUGGACAUUGGCCUUACAAAUGGAGGUUUGAGUGUAUAUAUUAAGGGUAAAAGACUGUUUACUACCCUAAUGUUUCGUGGUUUUCAACAUUUAGUACAUCAUGUUUUUUUCGUCUCAGAGUCAUACCUAAAGUGUAAAUUUUGGGACAGUCUCAUACAUCCGUUAGUCAAACUGUUAAGUUUUUCGUUAACUGUGACGUGGCGCACUGAGUGGGCGUCAUCCACGUGUCAUGUUUUUUUUUUUUUUUUUUUUUUUUUUUUUUUUUUCUUCUUCUUCCUUCUUCUUGCUCCGACUGCAACUUUCUGUUUUUUUUUUUUUUUUUUUUUUUUUUCUUUCCUUUUCCUUCUUCCUUCCUUUUUCCUUUUUUUUCUUCCCCUUCUUCCUUCUUCUUCUUCUUCUUUCUUCCUCCGAAUUCUUUUUUUUUUUUUUUUUUUUUUUUCUUCUUCUUUCCUUCUUCCUUCCUUCUUCCUUCUUUCUUCUUCUUCUUCUUCUUCUUCUUCUUCUCCGAAAUCAGAUUCAUUUUUCUUUCUUUCUUCUUCCUUCUUCUUCUCCUUCUUCCUUCUUCUUCCCUUCUUCGUUCUUCUUCUUCUUUUCUUUUGGGGGAAGAUGAAAGUGUUUUUUUUUUUUUUUUGAGGAAGAAGAUGAAGAAGAGAAAGAAGAAAGAAAAAAAAGAAAAAAAAGAAAAAAAAAAAAGGAAAAAAAAAAAAAAAAAAGAAUGAAGGAAGAAAAGAAGAAGAAAAAAAAAAAAAAAAAAAAAAAAAAAAAAAAAAAAAAAAAAAAAACGAAAAAAGUGGAUGACAAAGAAAGAAACGAAGAUGGGUGAGAGCAAAACUAAAAAAAAACAAAAAACCACGGAGGAAGAAAAACAACUGUAAAAAAAUAAAAUUACACUUUUGAUCUCUGAGACGAAAAAAAACUUGAUGUACUAAAUGUUGAAAACAAAACACGAAAAAUUAGGGUAGUGAAAACAAACUCAGUUCUUUUACCCAUAUAUAAUAAAUAAGAAGGCCUUGGAAAGGAUAAAACUGAAAUAUCAAAGAUGGGCCUUGGAAAGGAUAAAACUGAUGACGAACAGUUCCAACCGUUCUAAAAACGGUACACUUGACAUUUGAUUUGUUUUAACAAUAAACAUUUUUCCUUCAGUUUGUCCGUUCUACCUAGAAAAAAGUUUGCAGUUAUCACAACAUGCCAAUAUUCAGUUAAUAUACUUAAUGAGUUUCUAUGAAAAUGUUCUUGAUAUUUUCGUGCCAAAUGGUGAGUGCAUUAUCUAUUUGUUCUAGCCUUGAUUUCUAGUUGCCCUCCAACCAUCAACGUUGCUUUUGCUUAAUUGCCAACCUUUCAUCUCUUAUUGUGCUUUCUUCUCAAUAUUCUCACACCUUCGUAGGACGAGAAGAAAAUUGUAUAUCUCAGUUUUAUAGCUCUAAUAAGAUUUAUAUCUCUCUCGUUACAAAACUUUUACAUUAAGUUUUCCUCCCAUGGUGUAUCAAAUAAUAAUAUUUCAGUAGAGACAUCUAUUACCAUAAAUUUUGUGCAAUUGAAAGCAGCGAGAACAAUACCUAUUAUUUUAUUUUAUUUUAUUUUUUCUCAAAGAAUUUUUUUGGUCAUUUUCCUCUGCAACCCUUGAGUUUCAAUCAACCCACACCCACUUUAUUUAUAAGAGUAAGGAGAACAAAUUUUUAAACCAAAUUUUGUAAAUAAAAUGAUACAUUACCAAUAGAAAAUAAGUACGUUAAUUAAUACUUGAAUAAUUUAGUCUCUCUAGCAUUAUCUUUAAAAUAAUGGCAAACUAAUUCUUUUGUUUUUUUUUUACGAAUGAUAGAAUAAUCUAUAUUAAACUAUUGUUUCGUCUUUUUUUCUUUUCUUUUUGUGAACGAUAAGACAAUAAACAAUUGAGAAAUUUUAUUUGAACUCAUACUUUGUAUCUCAACACUCAACUUACUUUUUAUAUUCACAUUGUAUUUGAUUUAUCUAUCAUUAUUUAUUUACACCCAACAUUAUUUUCGAAAUCGCCCUUACUUAUCAAAACCCAACUCAAUCAAACUUCUUUUUACACCCAACUCAAUCUACUUAAAAAUAAAAAAAAUUAAAACUCUAACCAGUCUAUCAUCUUCAUGGAGCAAAUCCCCUUCUCCCUCUUUAAAAAUCCUUCCAUCUCCCAUGGUUGUCAUUCUGCACCCCCAUCUACUUCUCCGUAGUCACUAUUUGGACCCGAUUUUAUACCAUCGGCCCAAGCGAUCGAGGCUGUUGAGUGAGCAUGGUUCUUAACCGUCAAUUAAGAUAAUUUGAUAUUGUUAAGAGAUAAUAUUAUGGUUUUUAAUCAUAAUAAUUAUCUUUUAAUAAAUUAUCUCAAUUUUCUUGUACAAAAUAAAUGGAAUGCAAAUCAUAACCUCAACGUAGAGGCAAGCAGAACAGUCCGAGUUAAUUUGGAUUUGUUAGCAGUGUACUAUGUGAAAUUAGAGCAGCUUGGCUUGGACUCUUCACGUGGCAUAACAUGGAUCUGCAAGUUUUGGAUAAUGGUGAAUAGAAAACCUAAGUAGGUUAGGUUGUUUGAUGAAUGUUGUCAGACGGAUAGGCUUUUGGAUGGGUGAUGGGUUAGGUUUUUAUUAGCUUUGAAAAGUCAACCAUUUGAAGAUAGGCUUUAAGCCUAUGUCACGGAUCAGUUUGAGUUUCAGUCGGUUUCUUCUUAUUAUCCAGGCCGUGCCAAACAGAAAAUAUGUUCAUAUAAAUACAGAGGUAAUUGCAACGCAUAGAGGACCUCCAACUCAACACACAAACUGCCAUGCGUAAACCCUUGCUCUACGCGAAACCUUUCAAACAUCUUGAGAUUUUUUAUUUUCUUUUUCGCCAACACAUCUUUAGUUUGGAUAAAUAGCACUAUGAAGGCAACCGAUGAAUAUCUUCAGUUUGGAUAAACAACAUUGUUACCGUAGAAUUAGCCGACCACAGAGCACCUUCAGUUUGGAUAAACAGCACUGCGUCAAGGCCGACUGGUUAUCUAUCCAAGUCUCAGUCGAGAAGGAUUUUGGAAUCCUUAUUGGCAGAUGUCAUCUCAUUAGCCUUUUCGGCCAAGUGAUGUGUUACAAGUUAUUACAUUCAGCACAUUGAAAGCCGAAUUUGAUAUUGAACUUUGCAGAACUAGCAGCCUUGUCUUCAGGCUCUAGAACCCGAAGGCUAAGAGUGUUCCUUCCUCGGCCGCAGUCCCGAGAUUCAAAAGUCAGCAGCGCACCCAACGUAACAUCAACAUAUUUUACUCCUCAGCCGAGCUCGGCCGACGAGUUGGCACGCCUCGCACACAACUGAAUGACGUAGUUAGCUUAUUAAUUACUCGGCUUGCGUGCCACAUAGGCUUAGUAGUUUUUAGGGUCAACAUCACCUAAACCUCUUCCUCUUCCUUUUCUUCAUCAUUUGACAUCUCUAAAUUUCUAGAGCACUAAUUAGCUUAAUAAUCAGUAUGAGCUUCUGGUUAGAGUGUUUAAUGAGUUUGAUAUGUUUCAAUUAAAUGACAAUCUUCUAGCCUCUAUAUUCCUAUAUGUGGUAGAAAAAUGGGUACGUCCAUAAUAACUUUUGGUAGAUCAAUGAAUAUUUUAAAACGUGGAUAUUUAUUAGAUACAAAAGUUGCUGACAACAAUUCACAUUACAUUGAACUGUGGCUAAAAAGUAUAUCGUCUUAGCAUGUUUUAUAGGUGAACUCAUAGCUAAACAGUUUUUAUUGUAAAGCAAAACUUUGGGAAUUGAUCUAACAUGGAUGUGUAAUUGAGUUUAUGCAUUUUAACGAUUAAAAUGAUAAAUAUUUCGACUGUAAAUGGAUUUAAUAUCGUAGUAUCUUUUAGCCUCUAUAUGCCACAAAAGUUGUGGACAAAAAUUCACAAUACAUAGAACUGUGGUUAAAAAGUAUACUGCCUUUGCACGUUUAUAGGUGAACUCAUAGGUAAGCAGUUUUAUUGUUGACCAAAACUUCGGGAAUUGAUCUCACUUGAAUGUAUAAUUGAGCUUAUGCAUUUUAAUGAUUAAAUUCAUAAAUAUCUCAACCACAUAUAAAUUUAAUAUCGUAUUGUCCUUUAACCUCUAUAUUGGUAUCUGUGACAAAAAAAUGGGUACCUCCAUGAGAAAAUUUUGUAGAUCGAUUAAUAUUUUCAAUUUGGAUAUUUAUUAGAUACUAGAAAUUAUAAGUCUAUUUGCGAAAGUCUAAGUCAAUGCCACGUACAAUAUUUGUUAAGAUAUAUUUAGGGAACUGUUAUUAGCACUCCAAAAAUCUCAUUCUACACUCCACACAAGUGUAUUUUUCUUUCUAAUUACAAAAAGUUUGGAAUGCCAAAUGAGAUUUUUGGAGUGCUAAUAACAAUUUUCUAUAUUUAUAUACAUUUUAUUUUUUGGUCGACUUCCCUUUUUUUUUCUUUCUUUAUCAAGUUAGGAGUAUCACUGAUUUUGAACUUGUGCAACUAGUUGUUGAUUCGUUUUGAAUAAUCAACAUUAUUUUUGACAAUGUCUUGGGCGUAUGAAUAAUAGAAAGAAAAUGGUCAUGAUACAAGUUGAAUAGUAGUAAUACUAAUUAGUAAACAAUUUGUGCAUGAUGUUUACUUAUAACCAAGUGGCAUGAAGGGACAAAUGUGUAGGUUUCAUGCAUGACUUGAAAUCGUAUUAGUAAAUGCAUGAUGUUUGCUUAUAACCAAGUGGCAUGAAGGGACAAAUGUGUAGGUUUCAUGCAUGACUUGAAAUAAUAUUAGUAAAUGCAUGAUGUUUGCUUAUAACCAAGUGGCAUGAGGGGACAAAUGUGUAUGUUUCAUGCAUGACUUGGAAUAGUAUUAGUCGUCGGGAGAUUUUGCAUCAAUUUGUUUUUGUUUUUUUUAACCAAGUGGCAUGAAAGGACAAAUGUGUAGGUUUCAUGCAUGACUUGGAAUAAUAUUAGUAAAUGCAUGAUGUUUGCUUAUAACCAGGUGGCAUGAGGGGACAAAUGUGUAUGUUUCAUGCAUGACUUGGAAUAGUAUUAGUCGUCGGGAGAUUUUGCAUCAAUUUGUUUUUGUUUUUGUUUUUAAUAUGUAUAUAUUAAUAUCUAUUUUAAUGGGAUUGCUCUCCACCCCUAAGUUGUGAUAAUGCCUUUAUUUAUCGUUAUUAUGUGAGUUUAAUUAAAUUUUGAGAUUGUGUUUAUCCACUACAUACAUUUAGAAUAUUUUUUUUUUAGUCGAGCGACAACAUUAAUAAGUUAGAUGUUAGAUUAGUCACCGAUAGAAUUCGAACUCACGCCAUCAUGUAAGAGCACAACACUUUUUCACCAUUGUGGUAAAUGGCCACUUGCCAACAAGUUGAUUGGCCUGUGUGACUUUACUAAUACUACUCCAAGUCAUGCAUGAAACAUACACAUUUGUCCCUUCAUGCCACUUGGUUAUAAGCAAACAUCAUUCACAAGUUAUUUGCUAAUUAGUACUACUCUUAUUCAGCUUGUAUCAUGACCGUUUUCUUUCUGUUAUCCAUACGUCCAAGACAUUGUAAGAAAUAAUGUUAAUUAUUCAAAACGAAUCAACAACUAGUUGCACAGGGUCACAGUCAGUGAUAUUCCAAACUUGAUAAAGAAAGGAAAAAAAAAGAAGUCGACUUUCAAACUUGAUUAUUCUACAAAUAUUACUAUAUAGAAUUCAAAUAAUUAUACGAUUGCCAUUUUUUUCGACCUGUCAACUGUAUUCCCAACGACGUUACCCGCACAAUCAAUCUCAAUAACCAGGUUUCCACUAACCUCCUUGUACUCCAUUGUGUUCGCAUACAUGAGCCAAGGGAAGAGCAUUACUAUUUGCAUUCUGAUAAAUGACCAUGAUUUUUUUUAUGAAUAUUGCAGACUAGAAUUUCCAAUCAUUCCCAAUGGAGAAUGGUUCAAUCAUGACAUCAUGAGCUAAGAAUACAAUUUUGAGUUUAAAUUUCUCUCCACAUACAUCACGUUAAUUUAGUUUUUUUUCUACUUUCCUAGCAUGUUCUCUUUCGUGCAUUUUAAAUAGUGACUUAAUAGUGAAAAAACAGAUUCAUAUAGAGAUAUAAGUCUAAAAUUACUUGUCACUAAUUCAGUCACCAAGCUUAAGUCGUCUAUCUUUAAUCUUCAAAAUUAACACAAUAAGCUAGUAAUUUCACUUCAUCAAAAUAUUGCUCAAUGUUGUUUGACUUGUUUCCUUUCUUAAACUUUUAGAUGCUCAUUAAUUAUAUACUAAAAAACCUUGCUCUUCAUCUUCAAACGGAUCAUAAUCCAAUAUAGCUCUGUUACUAAAGGCUGGUUUGGUAUUGCUGCGCUUUGAAAAAAAGCUGUUGUGAGAAUAAGUGGCUGUGCUGUGAGAAUAAGCGGCUGUGAAAUAAAUCAGCAGAGUGUUUGGUAAACUUUUUUGUAAAAGUGCUUUUGGAAAAAAAAAACAGUCUGAUAGUGGGUCUUUUCAUUAAAGGAGCACUGUAGCUCUGUGUGCUUUGAAAAAAAGUCAGUUUUCCAAAGCUGCAAAUAGCAGCUUCAGUUUUUUCCUUUGAUUUCAGCUUAUUCUCACAACAGCUUCCAAAAUAAGCCUUUUUUUUUUUUCAGUUUACCAAACACCUAAAAGCCUCAUAACUUUUUUUGAUAGGUGCCUUUUUUUUUAAGCACCUCACUCCCAAACCCAACCUAAGUAGCAUAACUACAAGUCUGCAAGAUGGCAAAAGCAUAAUCCAUUGUAACUUUGGUAGAUCAGGUGUCGGCAGGAUCAUUUUCUUCUAAAUUCAAGUAGCAUAACUACAAGUCUGCAAGAUGGCAAAAGCAUAAUCCAUUGUAACUUUGGUAGAUCAGGUGUCGGCAGGAUCAUUUUCUUCUAAAUUCGGUGACGGAUGGAUCAUUUUCUUCUUGUUUCAAGUGUUGUGUGACUCAGGUUUUUUUAGAGUCUUUUACAGUUUUAAAUUGAUUGUCUCUACAUCAUCUACUAUGGCCUACAAACAAUUGAAACAAUCACCCUCCCAAAAUAAUAUGAUCGGUGUUGCAAGGGAUUGUAGCUUAGUUGUGUACAAGCAGAUGUUUUUUUUAGUAUAUCGAUAUUUUUUAUAUUAAGGAAGAGAAGAAGUUUGGAUGAGCCACACAAUAGAUAGUCUAAUUUGAUAUUAAAUUUUUCAUUCACGAGAUUCGAACAUAAGACCUCUACUUCUAAGUGAAGAGGAAUAUCACUAGAUCGUAGUACUAAGUAGCGCAAUCAGUCAUUUAUUUGUUGAGAAUAAAUCUUAUAUUAAUGAAAUGAGAGACUUUGUAUGUGCUUAUAAUAAGUAGUUGAGGUACUCUUCCUAUAGUCAAUUGUUUUUAUGGUGGAACUUCAAUCUCUUUUUCUUGCUAUCAAAACAAGUUGUCUCAUGUAUGAAGCAUAACGGCCUCACGUGAUCCACAUCUUUCGAAUUGUAUUAUCCACAUGUUAAACUUGAAAUUUGUCAUACGUAAUGGAAUGAAUCUCAUAUUAAAAAAAGAAAAAAAAAAGAGACUUUGAAAUCUCAAUUUUAUUGUAUUUCCAUCCAAAGUUCUAUAUUUUGAUUUCCCAUCUCCAAAAUCGCUCUUAUAAAGAAAAAGAAAAAGUAUAACGAACGUGUAGGACUUUGGAGAUAAGAAAUCAAAUAAAAAGACAACAAUAUGACCCCACGAUAUGACCCCACGAAAAGUACAGAGAGAAACGAGGAGUCCUUUGUGGUCCGAAAGGUUACAAGUCUUUCAACACCUAAUUAUCAAAAGCAAAUUGCAGCGUUCGAGAGUAGUCUGGAUUAGGGCUGGCAUUUUGAACCCGAUUCGUUAAUCCGAUCCGAUCUGAUCCGUUAAAACUAGUAUUUGGGUGAAUGCUUAACGGGUUAGGUUAUUAACGGGUCAACCCGUUAGUCACCCGUUAAGUAACGAGUUAUUUUGAGUCAACCCGCGAAACCCAUUAGCACCCGUUAACACCCGUUAAGAAGGACUUAUGUGUAAUUUCAUAGUUGGAAUAGAAAACCUAGCUCUCUCUGUUCUCUCACAUUCGAACCCGACUGAGUGGCUGCUGUUCUCUGAGAACUUCUCUCCCUCAUCUUCUUCCUCAAAUUUGGCUGCCGUUCACUAAGUUUGUCAUCCUCUCUCUGGUAAGUUCCGAUUCCCUUUCACCUCUUCUUCCAUGGCGAUUACUUUUCGUUUUUGCAAAUUAUAUUUUUUGUCUAAUUCUCAGUUUUCGCUUGAGCUUGGUUUGAGGUGGUAUUCUUCAGAUGAGCUUCAAAUUAAUUUGGAAUUAGUUGAUUUGUGUUUGAUGAUUUCAAUUGCGAUUGUGCUUUUGUUGUGCAAAUGGUGUUUUCUGUGUGUGAUUGUACUUUUGUUCUCUUCCUUCUCAAGUUAGAUAGAGAGAGAUCUUCCCACUUCUCCAUCCCAUCACACACUUGAUUCAUACACACACACAUACAUACGUUAUUCUUCUAUUAUGGGUUUGAUGGUGAUUGAGGAGGAGAAGCAGGCGGCGGCCAAGCCCUUCGACGAAUUGAGUUUUGAUUAGAAUUGGGUUUUGAUUAAAAUAUGUGUUCUUUUGCCUGAAACAGACUCUGGAUCUGUUGAUUUUCAUAAUCCAUGAAAACAAGUCCCUUCAUCUUCAUCUGAAAACUUCUACGUAGUAAGUUCCUCUUGCAACUAUAUAUGCGAAACUCAUUAUUUAUUAAAGUAAACUGUCGAUUUACCCCCUGAACUUUCACCUCACUUUCGAUUCCCUCUUGAACUUUUCAAUUGGAAAAUUAAGGACUCAAACUAAUUUUUUUAGCCAAUUUGCCCCCUACUGUUAGUUUUUCAUAUAUUCUAUCUAUAUUUCUGUUAAGUGAGACCAUAUGCACAACAUGUGAGGGUAGUUAAGUCAUUUCACUCUUAAAAAUGAUUAAAAAUUUGAAAAUAAAAAAAAAACAAAAUUUUCCCUCUAUUUUUUUCCGCUAAUUCCUAUCAUCGAUUUUAUUUUUCCCUCUCAUUCUUAUGCAUGAGAAAUGACAUAUGGUGUUAUUGUCUACCAUUUUUAUUUUCUCUAACAAAUUAAUAAUUUGACAAAUGCUAAUGGUGCUAUUGUCUCCAAAGCAGUUCAUUAAUAUAAGAAACUCUAGUCUUUUUUAUGGACAUGUUUCUUAUAUUAAUGUACUGCUUUGGAGACAAUAACACUAUGAGCAUUUGUCAAAUUAUUAAUUUGUUAGAGAAAAUAAAAAUGGUAGUACAUGCUUCAAGAAAAAGAUUAACUUAGCUACUUAUGAAGACAAUAACACUAUAUGUCAUUUCUCAUGCAUAGAAAUGAGAGGGAAAAAUAAAAUUGAGGUUAGGAAUUAGCGGGAAAAAAUAGAGGGAAAUUUUUUAUUAUUAUUUAUUUUCAGUUUUUAAUCAUUUUUAAGAGUGAAAUGACUUAACUAUCCUCACAUGUUGUGCAUAUGGUCUCACUUAACAGAAAUAUGGAUUGAAUAUAUGAAAAACUAACGGUAGGGGGCAAAUUGGCUAAAAAAAUUAGUUUGAGUCCUUAAUUUUCCAAUAGAAAAGUUCAGGGGAAAAUCGAAAGUGAGGUGAAAGUUCAGGGGUAAACCGACAGUUUAUCCUUAUUUAUUAAUUAAUUAUUUCAUUUUUCUUGAAGUUUGUAUAUUUAAUUAGAGAUUUCAUCAAUAACCAGCUAUAUAAUUUGUGCGGUUUUCAGCCUUGAUUAUUCCGUCAUUCGGUCUGGAUUUGUUGACUAUAAGUGCAAACAAGUGCCCUCAUGACCUGACAGACUUCCACCGCGUAACUGCUGCUUGCUUCAGAUCAUGUCCAAUAUUCGUGCAACGGUGCAAGUUUCGAGUCUUGAAGCGUAGGAUUGCAAGAAUCCCCCUGCAGUUACGGGUAAUCCCAAAACUGCCCCAUUUUUUGUCCAACAGGUUCAAAUUUAAGAAAAAUAAUGUUUACUGGUAUAUGAUUUUUGCAAGCUUCUGUUUUUCUUUUUGCUCGUCUUUUAAAUUGAUAUGGUGUGUUUCAUUAAUUAUUGUGUUUUAUGUCAUCUUAAAUGGCAAGUGAAUCAAGUGAUGUACACAAUUAUUCAAUGAGAUAAAUUUAUUAAUUGAUGUGACAUAUCACAUCAAAUUGUACGUAAAUAUGGUAUAAACAUAUGUGAUUUCCUAACAUUUUCGGAUUUUCCUAGUAAUAUUAUAUGGCGUGUUAUUGUGCUUUAUACAUACAAUAUCAAGUUUUUCUUUUUCUUUUUUAUUGGAACAUACAAUAUCAAGUUAUUAGAUUAUUUUAUGGUACUAUAUUAGGGACUGUAUACCUGGCGGUGGGACGGUUAUGAUGUAGGCAACCUUGAUCUGAAUCCGGCCCGUUGCCAUCCCUUGCUAUUCCCAAAUUGUUAUCUCUAGAUAUGCUUACUAGGAGUCCAUUAAUUGAAUAUUAUUUCAAUUUUACUAUAAAUUUGUAUAGGUAAAUGCUAGGGACAUUAAAUUAUUACUUUAAUCUAAAGUACGGUUUGAAAUUGGCACUAUUCAAAUGAACAGUGUUUCAAUUCGAAUUUCAGAUUAAUUACCACCAUGCCAUUGGUUUUUGUGUUGGUUUUGGGUCAGCAGCCCGUCCCUCAGCCAGGCCCAAAUGUGUUGGCUUUAGCAGGGAAGACCGGCCCUCAGUGAGGCCCAAAUUAUUUAAUUACAUUUUUGCCCAUCAAAGAUUACAAUCCGACGGUGGGGAUGGUGUAUUACGAAGGGCAAUUUUGUCCUCUCCGUUUUGGGCGAGUAGGGGGUCACCGGUUGGUAUCAUUUGAUGUCGUUCAAUUAGGGUUUCGGGGAGGUCUGUGAGAGAGAGAGAGAGAGAGAGAGAGACAGAGACAGAGACAGACAGAGACAGACAGAGAGAGAUGGCGAUGGAAGGAGAGCGAGGGGGAGGGGUAGGGGUCUCGGCACUGUUGUUGCAGAUGGGAGGGUCGGUAUGGUCAGAGAAGACCAUAUGGGUCGUCGGGAUUUUGGGGAGACGGGGUAGGGGUCAUCUGCAAACCCUACUGAGAGUGGGGUGUGCCGGAUCUUGUGCUGCAUGCCUCGAAUCCAAAGAUAUGUUUUGGGGGAUUUGUGAUCUUACAGAGAGAGAUGGAUAGGGAGAUAGAGAUAGACAGAGAGAGGAGAAAGCAUGGCUGUGUGCAUUUUUUGGGGUUAAUUAAUGGGUUAAUGCGCAGGGUCAGUGAGGAGAGAGUGACAGAGGGGUGUAUGGCAGGGUAUGGGUUUUCAGUUUUUCCCUCUGAUUCAAUAAGUUAUGCACUGUUUGAAAAUAAUUGUUUAUUGUUUUGUUUUCCGUUGGCUUUGUUAAAACCAUCAUUUGAAUUGUUUGGUUUCACUGUGCUCAUUUCUGGGCUUCUUCAAAAUUUUCUGGUGUUUGCUUCUCAUUCCCCUGUUGGUUGAUUUUUUUUUUCCCAUUUCUUGGUUCUUUAUGUAUUCCUUGGUUCUGUCUAAAUUUUUGCUGUGGGAUGAUGCUUGCAGGUGAACUAUAUGCACGGUUUUUUGAGACGAGUUAAGAAGAUCCACCUGAAAACAACAUACAAGAUAGAGAACUAGUAUGCUGCUUUGUCUUUCUGUUGGAUUUUGAUGUUUAUGUUCUGCUACUAAGAGGAUUUUAUAGUGUUCUAAAUCUGUUUUGUAAAUGUGCUUAAAUAUUGGACAUGUUCUUGAAUAUUAGCCAUGUUGUUUGAAUUGGAUAUGUGAUUGAAUAUUAGGUAUUUAUUUUGAAUUGAUUUGGAUAUGUGGUUUAUUGAAUUAGAAUUUGGAUAUGUGCUGAUUUGAAUUGGAUAUGUUGAAUUAGAGAUGUGCUACUUUGAAUUGGAUAGGUUGAAAAAUGACAAGCGAUGGUAAAAUAUGUUUGGAAUACACUAGAAAAAUUAGAUAGAGGCUUGAAAGGACUAGAUCGAGUACAUUUGAAAGAACUAUCAGUACAAGACAACUUUGUUUAGUGUUUUUGUAGUGGUGUUCUAAUUGCAGCUUCAUAGUUUUAGUCUAAUGUUUUUGUUGUACAGUUUUUAACAACCGAAUCUAAAAUCCCUCUGUACUUUAAAGUCUCUCCUCCAGACAUCACAUUAGAGAAUUAUAACUAUUCAACAUUCUUGGUGCAUCGGCAUAUUAAUGAUUGUAUCACAGAAUUUUGGCAAAGUUCCUUGAAUUAUUGAACAGUUAAUGCUUUCCAAAUGUUUUACUUUGAUUCAUUGUCUCACAUUUUCCAUGGUACAAGUUUACAUGAUUGCAAGCCGAUAGAAAGAGAUAUAUGUAGGGAGAAGCGGGAAUUGGGGAGAGAGAGAGAGUGAGCGAGGGGUGCGGUUGCUUUUUAAAGAUAUCUUUGAAAUUGUUUCUGCAGUUUUUUUUUUUUCUUUUGGGUGAAUUUUCUUGAGUUCUUUCUGUUUGUUUGGAAUUAUUCCAUUUUUACUGAGAUUCUUUUGGUCCCUGCCACUAAACUCUGAUUUCUGCUAUUAAUUGCUGUUGACAUGUGACUUUUGCUAUUAAUUUUGUAAAUUAAUUUAAUUAAGAUGCUCAAUGUUCCCUUAAUUGUGAUUAAGAUGGUCACAAUCCUACCAUCCUCUGUAUGCUCUGCCAUGUCCGCCGCCAAUGUUUUAUUUUUACUUUUUAACCCUUUCGUACAACAUUUAAAUAAUCAGGUGGAAAUAGUAAUUCUAUUUUUCGACAAACGAUAGUGUUAGUAGGUUAAAUUGUUAGUUGUUAUGAGAGAAGGAGAUCGUUCUAGAGAUCAAACUCUCAUAAAAAUAUAUGAUGAUUUCUGCAAAUGCGAUCAGCAGUUGCAUAUUACAAUAUACAGCUUCAGUUGGCAUCAGUUUCUUAAUGAGUGGCAUGUGAAUUCUUAAUUUAAUUUCGGAAAGAAAUGCGUUUAAAUUUGGUGGUAUGUGAUGAAGUUAGCAUUCUGUUUUUUAUUAUAUACUGGUGAUGGACAUUUUUAGCAUAUUGGAUUUAUCAUUUUCUAUAAAAUGAAGCUUCAUUCUCACUAUGUUGUUGAUGUUUUUUGUGAUUUCAGUUUAUAGUGCUUCUAAAUGCUGUUUUAAUUUAGGAAUUUGAAUAAUUGUUUAAAUGGGAUUGGAGGGUGAUAAAUAUUUCUAGCUAGGGAAAGGUCACAUCCAUGUGUUGGUCGAAUUGAUGGAUGUAAAAAAUGAAUAUGGAUGAACGUCUAGCUACUGCAUGUAGAUUCAGCUUUCCUUUGCAUUUGAGUGAGUUGGAAACCGAGUGGAACAGUUUGAGAGAGAGAGGGAGGGAGGGAGGGAGAGAGAGAGAGAGGACGAUGUUGGGAUUUUGGUAAAGAUUUGAGCUUUAGUUGUAAGCAUGCUGAUAUGAGCUCACAGUAAAACCCAACAGUAUGUAGAUUGAAUUGAGUUGGGAACUGAGUGGAAAAAUAUUAGAGAGGAUUGUGUUUUCUGAUGCGUCUUUGAGCCACUGACCAUAGGUGGAGUCUUAUACUGCAAUAUUAUGUGCUAAUCUAAUAAACCCUGCAACUUAUUCAUCUUUGUCAUGAGUAAUUUUUGGUUUUUUUCAUUGGAAUAGGGAUUUAGUGGAUGGUUGUUUUUAACGCAUAUUAGUUAAAAUGAGUUGAGUAUUGGGUGCUAAUCCCAUGUCUGCAAAUCACAGUACCCUAAGGAAGAAACACUGUCUGCACGAUCUAUAAUACCUGUUCAAGCAAGAAUCUUUUCCCAAACUAAAAAGCUUACAUAUCAAAACGUGUAAAGGAUGUGCCACUAUCAUCUUACUUUUUCAAUACCUAAACCAUGCAGUGAUGCAUGGGCUGGAUAUUGCUCCUUUCAAGUUUCAAAUCAUCAAAUGCUAAAGGUUUCUAGAUAAAUCAUCAUAGAAGUCGAUUCUGCAGAUUCCUUCUUAGUUACACUCAGAUGAUAAUGUAUUUAUAGUCCUUGACAUGUUUUUAAAGUUUGCAUUUUCAAUGUAUAUAUCAUUAACUAAGCUUUAUCAGCAGAAUAUCAUCGCAAAUUUGUUACGGAAAAUGCUAUUGCUAGAUUCUGAUUUAUCUACUUUAGUUUUAAGGAUUACACAUUGUUUUACGAUAUAAAAUAGAUGUUCUGCCUUGAUUUGAUGCGGGGGUAUGCAUUAGCUAACAUUAAUUCUGUUUAGUAUUUCUCAAAUUCAUUUUGGGUUAAAAAGUUGGAGCUUUGGAUUGGGUUUUUUCUUUAUUCAGCUAUCAUUUUCUGCUUAGGAGACUCUCUUAAACUGUCUGAAACUGUGCUCAUUAGGCUGGGCAGAGCACUGACAAGCUAAAAACAAAACAAAAACAAGCAGAAUUAUCACAUGUAGUGCAGGAUGUUGAAUGUCUUUUCCUCAUUGCAAAUCCUAAACGACCCAAAUCUGGAUGGUAAAAUACUUCGAGUUGGAAUUAAUAGGAUCGAUUGAAACAUGGAUUUUUUUUAUUAGAUUGGUAUAUCUGACUUAAUUAAGAAGUAGUUUAAGACAGUCAUUAGGGAAUUUCUGUAAUUGAACGUAGUUGUUUUCAUGAGGUUGAUAAAUACAAUAAGGUGCUUCUAUACCAAUAAGUGAUUUUAUACGGACACAUUGUAUGAUGUAAAAUGGUAAAAGGAGUACCCAUUCCUGUCCAGUCUUAUGUUUUCCGAGUCUUGCUUAUUUUUCAUUAGUCAUAUGAAAGAUGCUGCAAUACCGUGGGAUCAUAAUAGCUAAGAAACUGGACUUGGACAUCUUUAUUCUAUAGAGCGUUUGUAAAAGUAAUUUAGACUUUAUUAAGUUUAUAUUAAUCCUUCACUUCUGUUCAUUCAUUGUAAUUUCUAUUUGGUUUGUCUGCAUUUGUCUUAGGAGACUCUGUGGGGCUGCUUAAAUUUUAUAUAUUCAAUUGCAUAGAGUCGGCAUGACAUGCACAGAGAUUGUCAGAUUGCCACCCUUAGUUGGUGAUAUUAUCUUUACAACACAUUCAAAUUGAGGAUUUAGAAAAUCUAAUAAUAAAAUUGAAAUAUAUGUUCGAUGCUUUUUGUUUUCAUUUUCGGUUAAAAGGUUUCAGCUUUGGAUUGGUAUUUACCUUUAUUAAUCUAUAAUUUUGUGCUCAGGACACCAUCUUGGGGGUCUUAAUAUGAUUGUUCUUCUAUUUCAUAGACUCAAAACGUGUUUAGUGUCUCAUUUAAUUGGUGUACCUUUGCUCAUUUAACUCAAAUUUAAUACGAUUUGGUCCUCCAAUUUCUCUAAAUUGCUAACGGAUUUAUUUUCUUUGGAAAUUUCAGGAACUCUGGUUGUGGUAGGAACAAGCCGGCUCCUUGCUAUUUUUAGGUAUAUGAUUAUGUGCCUUGAUUGCAUGUUCAAAGUCUAAUUAGUUAUAUAAACUUUUAAUUUAUCUUUGCAAAGCUUUUGUACUUGGAUUUUAGAUAUGUGAUUGGUUUUUGAAAAAUUAAUGAGAAGGCUAAUCAUGGGGACAUUCUUAUUUCUGAAAUUUUCUCUUCAGCAUUGUUUCUUGAAUAAAUUUGGAUUGGUAGAUGUAGGGGUAGAGCAACACCCGUGGUGUAAAUAAAAGGUAUAGGCGUAAUGAUUUCUAGGUUUAGAAUUCAUUCAAAAAUAUGAUAUAAUGCUGCGUUCUCUAAUUUUUUUUUUUUGCUGUUUGCUGUUCUAAACUUUUGAACUCCUUUUUGGAUUGAUCUUUGUUAUUUUGUUUUUGGGGGUAUCUGAUAGGUCAAGGUUGCCUAAUCUUGGUUGUACUUUUUCCCAAGACAUGGCACAUUUGAAACUUUGAAUUCUUGAGUUUAUAUUUUAAUUCUCAUUAGUUAAUGCGUAAUAUUUGGCCUUUUAUUUUGAGAUUAGAAUGAAUACGUUUGGCCUGAAAGACAGUAAACUGAAUUAAAAGCUGGCUUAUUUUCCAUUGGCCAUCAAUUAGGGUGAGAAAACAUUGAAUUGAGAUCCUUAAACAGCGCUCAUAUAGGGUACUAUACCAAAUGAGCUCGAAGAGGACUCAGCAAUUGAAGAACAAUUGAUGGGCAUACACCUUGGACAUGAUUAAGUUAGUUGAACAUUAUACUAUAACAAGUACAUAUUUCUGCUAAAGGACCAUACCAAAUAAGGAGUCAGGUUCACACACAGACACGCACACACACAUCUGAUGUAAAGUUAUUCUAUUAGAUGGUUUCCAGAUUGACCCCCCCUUGCUAAAUCUAUUUCAAGGCUGGAAGGAGAGUUAAAACAUAUGUUAUUGUCUUAUAUGUUUGUAUUUGAAUGGUAACGAUGUUGUUCUUCUGGUGGAAAAAUUUUCCUUUGAAUCCAUUUCAGCUUAGGCUCUACUUUUUUAUUUCAUUUCAACGUCAUUUUCAUGUUCAUCAUGCCCUGUUGGUAUGUGUUUUGUGUUGGCAUUGGAGGGUGGUGGGUUGUCGUUUUGUUUUUCUUUUCUUUGAUUGUAAGACCUUCUAACGAUUGAAUUUAUUUUAUGCGACUCAUUUUGAUCCCCUAGUUUGAGUUUUUCAGUUACGUAUCAAUACUUAACUGCUGGAUUUUUCUUAAGGAAAUUGGAUAUAGGCUAUAUACUAUGUGCAAAAUUCAUGGAGAUCAAGUUUUUGUUGGGUUUUUGACUCAAAAUUAGGAUGAUGCAAUAAAUUAGGUUUGUGUUACCUAUUUGGUUUUGGUGUCCUAUUUGGGUUUGGUUUUGACUUCUUAGUUAGUUUCCUUGGUGGAGAGAUUUUGUUAAUUACCUAUUUGAUUAGGAUUUGGAUUUAUUUCCUAUUAGGAUUCAUAUUGUAACCUAAGUCCUAUGCACUAUAAAUAGGACCUUAGGGUUAGUGUAUUUAGUGUGGCUCAUUCGUGUGGCAAUUUGGUGAGAGUCAAGUUUCAGGCCCUAGGAAGUGGGAGGAAAGCUAAAGCUUUGUGGGGUUGUCUGGUCUCGGCAGUUUUUUGGAACAUUUGGCUGGAGCGUAACAAAAGAAUUUUUGAGGAUUAUACAGGUGUGGGGGUAGAAGUACUUUGGGGAAGAGUAAAAUAUUGGGCAGCCCUUUGGGCUUCAGUCUCAAAUGUUUUUAAUAAUUACUCUAUUUCUCAAUUACUGUGGGAUUUGUUAGCAGCAGUAAAGUGAGUUAGGUCUAGCUAAUGUUGCUGUAGCCAAAUCCUAGUGAGAGUUUUUUCUUGUUUCUUGUUAAUGGUGGAUUUCUUAUCCACUCCAGUGUAUUUCUCUUUUCUUCUAUAAAAUGUUUUGUUUCUUCUCAAAAAAAAAAUUUGUGAGUUUGUGAGUUAGAGAGCAAUUUGGGAGAAUCUUCUCCGUUAGUUUUGGGUUCUCUACUCGUUUGGUUUAGGGUUUGUAAUUUGUGGGAUUUGGGUUGUGAGAGUUUAAACACUCUUUUGUAAGCUCCAUUUGUUUAGUGAAAUUCCUCGCCGUGCUUUGCUCGUGGACGUAGACUUUACACCGAACCACGUAAAUCUCUUGUGUUAGUUUGAGAUUGUUUGUUUUAGCUUUCACCUACGACGUUGAUAUUGGUACUUUGUUAGAAUUCGCUUCCGUUUGUGCAUAAAAGUACAACAGUUUUGUGCUUUCAUUUGUCACAACGCAGUUUUUUGUUUUCAUAAAUGAAGUUUUGUGCUUUCAUUUUAUUUAUUUUAUUUUGUCUUUCAGUCAGUUUUUCGUUUGAAAGAACUCUUAAUUUUCAUGGAAAUAUAGUUAUUUGUGAAUAUGGAAACUUGAUACUGUGUAGACAUCAGAGUUCGUAUGUUUGUGAUAUGAAAUUUAAAUACAAGCUUCCCAAUUUGUUUUUGGAAUUUUAACUAAACUCGCGUUAUAGGUAGAUCAUGUAUUAAGAUAACAAAAAAGAUAGGUAGAUUUGUGUAUGCGAUGAGUUGUAGUGAACAUUUGGCAGUAAUAGAAAUGGUUUAGGUGUGCUCAGUUUUGGCCUAAAUGGUUAUCACACGAGCGUAAAUGUUUGUUUCAUUUGUGAUUGAACUUGAAUUCGUUGGAAAGCUUUUCAAUUUAUGAAUAUGGAAAGCUUUUCGUCUUUACUUUUAAACUUAUUUUCUGUUUGGUUGUUGAGAAGGUGAUGGAAAUAUAGUUAUCUGUUAAUAUGGAAACUUGAAUCUGUGUAGACUCCUUGGGUUGUCUGUUGGGUUCAGUGGAGGUUUAGUGUUUUAAUUUUGAAUGAUUUGUUUUUCGUUUCAUGGAAAUGACCUAUUAUUUGAUAUUAUUUGAUUUAACUGAGUAAUUUAAUGGAAGUAUAUUCUCUUUUUUUCUUUUCCAUAUUUCAUUUUGUCAGCAACCAAACGAGUUAAGGAACUGUAAUCUUUUUAAUUACUCUGCUAUCUCCGUGAGUUAUGAAUAUCAGACUUUUUGUUUUAUUUCUAUAUAUGUAGUUCCGAAGGAAUCAAGUGCCAAAAUUAGAAUAAAUAUCCUUUAGUCACGUUACACACUUUUCCAUAGAAUGUUUGGUUCAGGGAUCCCUUAUACAAGCACAAUAUUCUUAUGUAUUUAAAUCAUAGUUGACUGUCAUGGUUUAAUAAGUGUGAAAACUGUCUUAACUAUACCAUUGGAGCGUUACAGUUUUAGUUAUUUUAUUGGAUCCGUUUGUUAGCACUUUGAAUUCUUUUGAUUUCUUACUCUGAAUCUCACUCAUUUUUUGCAGUUUAGAUUGGACUCUCAUCAUAGCAUUGUAAUAUGAUCUUGCUGCUGCGAUUAAUCUGACAGUUCUGAGGCGUUGCAUUUGAAUCAAGACUUUGGUAUGUUAGCUGAACUUCAAUGCAUUCUUUUCCCAUUCUUUCUGUUUGAGGCAGCGCAACUUUAUGAUUUUUUUAUUGAUUGUUUGGGUUGAUCGUCUUAUGUUAUCCAUUUGCUUUGUGCUUUGUUUUUCAUUCUUGGUUGUCUCUGUGAUCGUCUCAUUGUCCAGAUGUUGGAUGGUUUUUUAUUUUAUUUUUUUAUUCUAAUUUUGUUUGAAGGUCCGUGCUAUCUCUGUGAUUCUGGUUUAACCCAGUGCUCUUAAUUCUUUAUCGGAUGUUGUUGGCCAUUUUAUCUCUUUUAUUAGUGGGAAAAGGCUUUGUUGUUGUUGUAUUCUGUUAUUGGUUGGUUGGUGUUUUCGUUUGGUUUUCUGAUAGUGAACUAUCUCAUCCUCCCCAAAGUGUUUUAACAUGUUUUGUUGAUAACUGCGCUCUCUAAACGACCUAGAUAUUUUUUUAGAAAAAUCACGACUUCCAUAUUUAAGAAAAUGAGUGGCUUUUUAGCAAAUGCAUGAAUGCAGCUAGAUGUUCAGAAAAAUUCACGGAUAUUUACAUUCAAACCACAAGUAUCAUUAACUUAUAAAUAAUUAAGUUAUGUAUUUUCUUUAUCGGCCAUCACUUCAAAAUUUGAAUUAAAACACUGUCAAAAUGCUUUUUGAUUGUGUUUUCUUUAUUCAUUAUGUAAGUUUGGCAAAUCUUCUACAUGCUGCAUAUUUUUUUGUUUGAACAUCUAUGGUUGACGAGUUACCUGCUCAAACACCACUUUUUCUGUGUUUUGCUAACUGCUAAGUGAGGCAUGUAGGUUGCAGAGCAUAUAUUUGGCCGUCUUAACUAUGUGUAAACUGCAGCUUCCUUCUGUUUCUUCAGUUUCAUAUGGAAACAGGCCUUCUGUUUUUUUGGCCUUUGAACAAUUGUGGUUCCAAAAUUAGCUACUUGAACAAGUCCUCAACACUUUCUGUUUUACAUUACCUGUUGAACUAGCUGCCUACACUGCAGGACACAUGUUAUUUGUGAACUAAAUGUUUCUUCUGUUUCUUAAGUAAACAGAAAUUUUUUGGAAACCAUCUCUUUCUAAUCAAACACGUACAAUUUCUUCCCACUCAUUGUGCAUUGUGUUUAUAUGCCAACUCACUUAAAUAUGUAUAAAAGCAAAAUUGCUUAUCUUACCGGCCUCAUUCACUCAUGUAUCCCUCUGUUUGUUUGUAAUUGUGUUGAAUUUAUUCAACUUAAAUGUGUUUUAUCCAUCUGAUUAUGUCUGAAACAGUGGUUCCCGCAGCAACGCGCGGGCGUAUUUUCUAGUUUUUAACUAAAUUUUGCAAACUAAAUGACAUGAUUGUUGAUGAGUGGAUUAUUAUUUUAGUGUUGAUAAACAUGCUUAUUUUCUAAGGAAAACUAAUGAAAAGGGCUUGAAAACUUUGCGUUUUAACAAUAAGGACAAAAUAAAGGGUAAAGUGAAUAGUAUCAUGAUUGACUUUUUAGUGUAAAAAUAUGGUUUUUCGUUAAAGUGAACAGUACCAGGAGCUUUUCAUUAACGUUCCCUAUUAUCUAGUGGUGACACAUCAUUUAGUUUAAAAUUUUAUUCUCCUUGGCAUUACCCAUUUGUAUAUGAUUGCGGAAUCAAUAAUUAGUUCUCACCAUUUGAAUUUGUGCAGUUGUGACAACAGAUCAAGCUUCCAAAUUUCCAAGGAACUAGUCUUUGACUGUUGAUCUUCCCUUCAUUGAGUCUGUAUUUGUUGAUCACAAGCGGAGUCAGAUUUGAACUUCCAUGUAAGUUCUUAUUAUUCAACUGAAUAAUACAUUAGUUGUUUCUCAUUUUAUUUGAACUACUUUUUAUUCAUUUGUUUCUUCACUUAAUUUGUGCAGCUCUGCACCUCAAUAUUGCUCAAGAGCGGUUCAGUCUUUCUUUGAUUGCUUGGAGUAAUCCUCGCUCUUAAUAUGGUACUGGGAGAGGUUUUUCUUGGGGCGUUUCUACAGGUGCUGCUAGACAGGUUGACCCCUCGCGAGGUUCUCAACUACUUUGGAAACUUCCGGGGCCUUAGAAAGAAGCUGGAGAAGUGGAGGGCCACGUUAUCUACAAUCGCAGCGGUGUUGAGCGACGCUGAGGAAAGACAAGUGACUGACCAUCCUGUAAAACUGUUGCUUGAUGAUCUCAGAGACCUCGCUUAUGAUGUCGAAGACAUGUUGGACGAAUUUUCCACUCAAAUGUUGAAGCGCACAAUAGAGGGACGUGAUCAAGCUAGCACGAGCAACAAGGUGCGGAACUCAUUUUUCAAAAUUAAAUUCAAUUGGGAUAUGAGCUCCGAAAUGAAGAAGAUUACGGAGCGGUUGCAAGACAUAUCUGAACGGAAAGAUAAGUUUGGCUUGAAAGAUACUGGGACGUCUGCUAAGGAAUCGCGACGUCUACCUAGUUCAGACGUGUUAGAUGAAAAGCUUGUUGUUGGAAGAGAUGGUGACAAAGGGAAGAUUAUUGAAUUGUUGUCAAGAAAAUACGAGCAUGCAGGUGCUGUCAAUUUUGAUGUAGUUGCUAUAGUUGGCAUGGCCGGAGUUGGGAAGACGACACUUGCUCAACUUGUAUUCAACAACAAAGAUGAUGCCAUGAAGGAGUUUGAGCUCAAGGUCUGGGUAUCUGUGUCCGAUGACUUCGAUGUGGUGCGAGUGACAAAGGCAAUUCUUGAAUCAAUCACAUCCCGACCCGUUAAAGUGCAGGAGUUUAGUAAAAUGCAGCAUAAUUUGAGUGAGCAAUUAAGAGGAAAAAAGUUUUUAAUCGUUUUAGAUGAUAUUUGGAACAAAGGCGACUAUGAUCUAUACGAUCUCUGGACAAGACUUCAAUCCCCUUUUGGCGUCGGAGCAGGAGGAAGUAAGAUAAUUGUGACAACCCGUGACAGGAAUGUUGCAAAGACUACGGGAGCCGCUGGAGUUCAUAAUUUGGAGUGUAUGGCAGAUGGUGAUUGUUUGGAAAUAUUUGAGCGACAUGCGUUCGGGGAAAUUAAUAAUGGAAAGCCGGUAAAUUAUGAUUUAAUUGGGACAAAAAUUGUUGAAACAUGUCAUGGAUUACCAUUAGCUGCGAGGACUCUCGGUGGUCUUCUACGUUGCAAAGAAAAAGAUGAGUGGGGAGAAAUAUUGAACAACAAGUUAUGGAAUCCAGCAGAUAAGAGUGGCAUUCUCCCCGUACUAAAGUUGAGCUAUCACUAUCUUCCAUCACAUUUGAAGAGGUGUUUUGCCUAUUGCUCCAUUCUUCCAAAUGACUAUGAAUUUGGGGAGAAACAGCUCGUCCUUUUGUGGAUGGCAGAGGGUUUGAUUCAACAAAAACCUGACGACAAUAAACAAAUGGAGGAUUUGGGCCGCGACUACUUUCGAGAGCUAUUAGCAAGGUCGCUGCUUCAAGGAUCAAGCAAAAACAAUUCACGAUAUGUAAUGCAUGACCUCGUUAAUGAUUUAGCACAAUGGGCAGCAGGAGAAAUAUGUUUUAGGUUGGAAGAUAAGCAAGGUGAUAACUUGCAAAGCACUUGCUUUCAAAGGGCUCGCUAUUCGUCUUUCAUUGCUGGUGAUUUUGAUGGAGUUAUGAGAUUUGAGGCCUUUCCAAAACUUGAACGCUUGCGAACAUUCCUGCCACUUUCGCUUUCAGAUUCCAGGUGGUGGUGGAAAUAUUUGUCUCGUAAGGUUAUUUUCGAGUUAUUACCACAGAUGAAAUACUUACGAGUGCUCUCUUUCAAUGGCUAUAAAAUAACUGAGCUGCCAAAGUCAAUCGGUGAUCUGAGGUUGUUACAGUAUCUUGACCUUUCCUACACAGAUAUAACCUGUUUGCCUAAAUCAACAAGCACUCUUUACAACUUGCAAACAUUGAUAUUGGAGGGUUGUUCUAAAUUGAAGUCAUUGCCCACAAACAUGAGUAAUCUAAUUAAUUUGCGCCAUCUCAACAACUCAGGUGCAUCUUCAUUGGUAGGAAUGCCUUCACAACUAGGUCGAUUGACGAAUCUACAAUCAUUGCCUCUUUUUGUGGUGAGCAAAGGUAGUGAUCAACCAGGGGUAAGAGAGAUAGGGCCCCUAUUGCAUCUCCGAGGGACACUGUGCCUCUCAAGAUUGGAGAAUGUGACUGAUGUCGAGGAUGCCAGGAGGGCCAACUUGAUAUGCAAGGAGAGGCUUGAUUCGUUGGUCCUAAAAUGGUCUCAUUCAAGCGACACGAGAAAAACAGAAACCGUUGUGCUUGACAUGUUACAGCCUCAUACAAAGCUCAAGGAGUUCACUCUCAAGAGUUAUGCCGGAAAGGAAUUUUCAUCAUGGGUUGGAGGUUCUUUCUUCUCUAAUAUGGUGCUUGUGCGCUUAGAGGAAUGUAACAAUUGUUUAUCGUUGCCACCUCUCGGACAAUUGCCUCGUCUCAAAGAGCUUUAUAUUAGAGAAAUGAAUGCAGUCGAAAGUGUUGGUGCUGAGUUUUAUGGUGAGUGUGUCUUGCCCUUUCCGCUGUUAGAGAUUCUGGAGUUUGUGGAUAUGCGGCAUUGGAAGGUGUGGCUUCCUUUCCAACUGGAUCAAGGAAGUAGUGUUUUCCCUUGCCUGAAAAGGCUUUCAAUCAAAGGAUGUUCUAAGUUGGAAGGCAAGCUGCCAGAGAAGCUCGAUUUGUUAGCCGAACUUGAAAUUGUUAAAUGUGAGGAAUUGGUGGUUUCGAUUGCCAAUUGCAAACAACUUCGUCAAAUAAACAUUGACAGUUGUAAAGUGUUGGUACAUACAGAUGCUAAGGUUGAGUUUGAGUUGUUAGAGUCCUUGUGCCUUUCAAACAUUUCGGAGGUGAUGUCUCUGCAAACAGGGGAAUUGUUCAGGAAGGGAUUAAGCAAGGCUAGAGAUUUGAAGAUUAAUGGAUGUGAGAAGCUGACGUCGUCAUUGAAGAAUGAGGGUAGAUUAUUGCAGCAGUUGACUUGUCUUGGCCGUUUGGAAAUUGAAGACAACUCUCCUCUAGUUGAAGAAUUGGGAGAAGAAGCAGAGGAGUUGCUGCAAUUGCAAAUAUUGGAGUUAAAAAAGUGCGAAAAUCUUUUGAAGCUACCAAAAGGAUUAAAUGAGCUGUCGUCUCUUCAAGAGCUUCGCAUACACAAAUGUUCACGUCUAGUUUCUUUUCCAGAAGUUGGUCUGCCACCGUCUCUUAAAAACAUCGAGAUUAGAGAGUGCCAUUCGUUGAUAUAUUUUGCAAAAUUCCAGAUUCCCCAAUUUCUCAGAAGAAUAGAGAUAAGUAAUUGCAGAAGUUUGAAAUCACUAGUAGAACCGAACGGGUUAUUCAGCGACAACACCAAUCACUGCCUUGAAUAUAUUAGGAUCUGGAAUUGCCAAAAUCUGGAAUCCUUACCGGAUGGCUUAUGCCACCUUAGCAAUCUUCAAACUCUAAUUAUUGGGAACUGUGGAAGUCUUGUUUCCAUCCCGAGACUGAGUGCGGAGAGAAGACCCUCCAACCUGAGAGAUAUCAUGAUCAACGAAUGCGAGAAAUUGGAGGCGUUUCCCGAAGACAUGCACAAUCUCAACUCUCUUGAGGGAUUGAAGAUCGACUACCGUAAAGGUUUGACUUUUCCUCCCAACCUAACAUCACUUGAAAUUUGGAAGGUCAAGAGCUGUAAGUCAUUGUGGGAGUUGGAGUGGGGGUUGCACAGACUCACCUCUCUUAGAAAGUUGGGGAUCAGUGGAAAAAACACACGUACGGUGUCGUUUCCACCUGACAUAGUCCGGAUGGAGCCGCUCCUCCCCAAAUCUCUCACUGAACUCAGAAUAGAAGGCUUCCCGAAUCUGAAGAGACUGAGCAGCAAGGGCUUUCAAUUCCUCAACUCCCUUCAAUCUCUGCAACUCUCUAGAUGUCCAAAGCUAGCAUUCAUUCCAGAGGAGGGUCUGCCUCCUUCACUUGGUCAGCUUAUCAUCUAUAAGUGUCCUGUGCUAAAAGUGAGAUGCCAACCAGGAAAAGGACUCUACUGGCACAAAAUAUCCAACAUCCCUAAAAUAGAGAUACAUGAAGCUAAUGGUCCAGGUAUCAUCUCUCGAGGAAUGUUUUAAUAUUAAUAUUAUUAUUAUUAUUAUUAUUAUUAAUCAUGUUUAUUCUUGUAAAGUAAUCCACAAUAUUUGGUUUGGGUCAAGGUUUUGGGGGUUGAGGAGUGGCUGCUUUAGGAGGCCUUCAAUUGGCGACAACCUGGAUACUUCUCGGCCAACGUUUCUUCUCCCGGAUUCCUAUGUUUGCUGAUAGCACUACCCUUUCAAAUUUUAUUAGGUCGAGCUUUUUUCAAUUUUCAAAUUUAAACAUUUUUUUGGGUCAACAGUCCAAUAAUUCGAACUUGUUUUAUCUUUCAUUAAGAUAAUUCUACCAAAAACCUGACCUCAUUUUGUAUCAAGCUUGAGCUUUUAUGAAAUCAUUUGAGUCAAACUUGAGCACAUAUUUACGAGCUUUAUUUGGGACUGACCGAAUUUGAAUCUUGAGCAAUGUUUGUUAAACCAAGGUCAUUUAAUUACGAUCUGAGUUAUUAAUAAGUUGUGUUGUUUUGUGUUGGGUUAGUGGGUCUUGCAAGACAUUGCUUGAUGUUUAAAUUUGACAAACAAUAUUUUAUCAAGUUCUUGAUUCUACAAGUAUCCAACUCGUUAAAAGGUUCUUAAUGAGCAGCUUGAUAACGAAUCGACUUGUUAACAUAUUAACUCGAAACCUGCUAUUUUUAUGUUGUUUUAUAUCGAAUUAACGGGUCGUGUAAAAAAUUAUCAAACCUAACCGGAUCAUGCCAAACUAUUGAUGGUCAAUGACUUAUUUGAAAGUGAUUUUAAAGUGACUGAAAUUGAUUUCAGAUUCCAAAAACACUUUUUAAGUGCUUUUUGGAAUAAUCUUGGGCGUCUCCACCCAUUGCCAAUUGGUUUCGGGUUGGAUGCUCAAUUUGUAAUUAGAAUAACAGGUAUUGUUGUUUUUUUUUAUUAUCUUUCAUUGUUUGAGUGGGGGAUAUAAUCUUUAUACAAAUUGCUUCCUCAUGGUUUUUAUGACUGGUUUCUGUAUCUACUUUUAAUGCUUAGUACAUUAAGGGCAUCGGGUACUUCCUAAGUUCUCAUGGUCAAGUGUUUGUAUGGUUCUGUAUGUAUGUUUGUGAUCUUCAUCCCGACUUUGAAUGCGUAAACUAGAUGGAUGAAGAGGUUUUGUUGUUAUUGCCUUGCCCAACACAAGGAUUUCUUUAAGGGCUAAAUAGAUUUCUUUUAACUGGGUUCUUAUGUCUUCGACGAAGGUUAGAGUUCUUUAUCCUUUUUGGUAUUUCAGUCAAUUGGUGUAUCUUUCGACAUCUGUGCUAAGUGCUUCGUGAAAAUUGAUAUAUGUUGUCUAAAUGGUUGUGUUUCAGUUGCCUUUUCUGAGCUUCUUCCUUCCUGUCUGAUAUCUAUUUUCUAUCCUUCGUCAUAGGAUAUUAGCUCCAUGGUGUGCUGGUUGCUUUAUGUUUGUAUAUUCUCGUGUUUUUUCAUUACAGUGUUGAACUCAGUGAAAUGCUAGUAUGAAUUGGAGUGGUUCCCAUUGUCUUUGAGUGAUUCCUAUCACAACAAUCAGGGAGGAAAUCCCUCUCUUUUUUUCACUCUAGGACUAUCCAAAAGAUGCAGCACUGAAGAAGAGUUAGGACUUUAACUCAGUGUCGCAAAAACCUACUACCAAGAGAAAGUUUGUAAGCACUUAUGUUCCGACUCAGAUCCUUACCAAAGUUUUUUUGAAAGUUGAAAUGAUAUAGCACUAGGCCCAAGGUUGAGAGCAGGUUAGAAUUGUUAGAUUGGUGUUUGGCAUGUAAAGACUAGUGGUAUGAUAUUGGGGUACGUUUUUAGGUAUAUGGGGCCAGUACCUGUAAGCUUGAAGACAACCUAAAUAUGCCCGGGAUGUAACAGAGUGCUUGCCUAUACUUCUGUUUUUGUAGUUAAGAGAACGUAAUUGCUUAGCAAUCAUUAAAUUUGUAUACUUAUUACUUGGGUGCCCUCUGCCUUGCUAUGCUGCAUAACAAUGAGAAUAUAUUACGGAAUUCUAACAGGAAAAAGGCAGGGGACUCCCAAAAUUUGGUGAAUGGGACGUCAAUGAUCCUGCUUCGGCUGAGGGGUUUACUGUGAUCUUUAACAAGGCUAGGGAUGAGAAGAAGACAGGUGGAAAACCCGAGUCACCAGGAAAGGUUGAUCCUAAUAUCAGGCAUGGAGGAGGAGUGGAUCCUGGCACUAGCAGGCCUUCGUCUGUAAGAUUUUUUCUCAUAACUGUUGUCGUUUCUUUCUCUAAUGAUUUGAUAUAUACAUGGGUCAGCCAAUAGAAAUACAUUCUUUGCGGUUUUCUUAGUUGCAAGUUAUUGCUUUUCAAGUGACGUUGGUAGUACAAAAUACAACUAUAUGUAACACUGACUUAUCGAUCAAACUCAGCAUACCAUUUGAUGUGAAAAUCAAUGCAACUGACUUAUAUAGAACUCUAGUAAGGAAAUGUGGCAAAAGACAUAUCUAAUGUUAGGGCCAAGAUAUUUGAAAAAUAAAAGAGCACAAGAUGAUUCGGCUGUUUUAUCUGGAUUAUUCCAUGCAAGUGGAAUUGGCAUACAUUAACUCGGGUUCUGUCUCCUUUUAGACAGAUGUAGCCUAAUAGGAAUAUUUGUUUGUUUUAUUGUGAAUAAUUGAAAGAACCAAUGGCCCUGGAAAUAUUUGCUUUUGUCAAUUGAUCAUUGUGUGACCUUUUCGUUUUUUCUAUGCGUUUUCUGUACCUGCUGCGUUUCCAAUAGUAGACUAAUAGAAUGAAUAACUGGAGGUGAUUAUUUCUGCUGCCAAAAUCUAAUAUGCUUAAAUUCCUCACUCUUUGCGGAUGAUUUGAUUUGGUUUGAUUUCCUGAUGCACAGAAAAAAUGGUUUUGCUGCAUUCAUCAACCACCGGCAGAGUUUUGACAAUGUUGUUCUCCUAAGUGCUUCGAUGGAGGAGCACGAUGUUCUGUAACUGGCUCCACUAUAUUUCCUCACUUAAUCUAUGUCUAUGAAAUUGGCAGCUAGGGAAGUGAAGUUUGAAGCAAUGGUUAGCAGUUUGCCUAAGGAAAUCGUACAUGAUAUCCUUUUGAGACUACCUCCUAAAGCUUUGAUCAGAUGCACCUCGGUGUCCAAGCCUUGGAACUCCAUGAUAAAAAGUCCAAGCUUUAUUCGCACCCACCUCAGCCUUACCAUCGAUUUUAACCAGUUUGGCACCCACCAACUCCUUCUGCAUUGUGUUCGUGGAGACAAUCCAGUGGAGCAGAAUUACUAUUUGCAUUAUGAUAACCAUGCUUUUGAUGAGUACUGCAAGCUAGAGUAUCCAAGUGUUCCCAAGCGCAAUAGAUUUCUUCGUGUGGUCGGAAUGCGAGGAUCCGAAUGCUUUUUAUGAGGCUUAUUCACUUGCUAGAGGCUUGUGGAGUAGUCCUCGUUCUUUUGAUCCCGUUUGUAAAGUUUUAUUCUUGCAAAUUUCAGGCUUUUGUGAACGGGGCAGUUCAUUGGCUGGCAUGGCGCUGCUUGAACGAUGGUCGUUAUCAAAAUUUCAUUUUAGCAAUUGAUGUGGACGGUGAGUUAUUUUGCGAGAUAAGGGUGCUAAAGAGUUUCAGACAGGAUGAACCAUUAGAUUAUCACUUGUCUGUUUCAGGUGAUGGAAACUCCAUUGCUAUGUUCACGACGACGCGUGGUCGUAAUUGUCCUGAGGAUUUUCUUGACAUAUGGGUGAUGAAAGAGUAUGGCAUCGAGGAUUCAUGGGCCAAACUGAUAACUCUCCACCGUAUCCGGAAACAAGGGUGCCCUACAAGCCCUUAUGUUUUAGGAACAGUGGUGAAGUGGUGUCCUGACUUUAUCACUUGUUCUAGAAAAAAACGUCGCAUGUACUGGGAUUUUCUCCGGGAUGCCUUGUGAUAUUCUGACAUUGCUGGAUUCUUGUUAGAGAUGAACAUUUUUCCUUCUGUUUGUCUGUUAAUUUACAGACCUAGAAGAAGUUGCUUAUCACAUGUUGCCAAUGUUCAUGGAUAUAUACAGUUAUAUUAAUUUCCUUGAAAUUUCUUGUGACAUUUUUUUAGCUCUAAUAAGAUUUAUCUCUCGUCACAAGACUUUUACAAUAACUUGUGCUCCUAUGGUCUACCAAAAUAAUAAUAUUGCAGUAGAGACUAGUAGUCUAUUAUUAAUUGUGUGUUCAACUUAAAGCAGCGAGAAAAAUGUGUACCUUUUUCUUUUCUUUUUUUUCAAAGAAUUUUUUAUCUUUUUCCUCUGGGAGGAGGAUUGUCUGCCCUCCUAGUUUCAGUGCCCUUCCAUGCCAUCUUGAUUGUGUGGUCAUGGUUAAGCCACGUUAAUAUUUUAUAUUACUAUUUAUUUUUGUCUUAUUAUAUCUAUAAAAAAACAAUAUAAAAUAAUGAUGUGGCUUAACCGUGACCACACAAAACAGGAGGGCAUGGAAGAGCAUUGAAACUAGGAGGGCAGACAAUCCUCCUCCCUUCCUCUGACCCUUGCAUGCAGGUUUGGCAGUAAAGUAAGAGUUUCCACGCAAUUAAAAUAAUGGCAAACUAGUCUUUCGGUUUUGCACGAAGAUAGGAUAAUUUAUACUAAAUUAUUUUUUUGUCUUUUAUUAAAGAAUCAUUUAAAAAAAAAAGUUUUUAAGUGUUUGGGAUCUUUUAAAUACCAAUUUCAAUACAGCUAUUAGUUCAAGUAACAUAAUUUUUAGUUUAGGUACCAAUGAAAAAAUCAACUAAAAUAAUUCUAUAAAUACUAUUAUAAUUCAAAAUAAUUAUAUGAUUGCCGUGUUUUCCGACCAGCCAACUGUAUUCGCAACCACCUCACCCUUACAAUCAAUCUUAAUAACCAGGUUUCGACUAACCUCCUUGUACUGCAUUGUAAACGCAUACAUGAGCCAAGGGAGGAGCAUUACUAUUUUUGCAUUAUGAUAAAUAACCAUGAUUUUGAUGGGUAAUGUAGACUAGAAUUUCCAAUCAUUCCGAAGGGAGAAUGGUUCAAUAUGACCUAUAGACUACAAGAACUCAAAUUCCUUAUUUGUUAUCUUCUGUAAACCAUUCAUCAGAGCUCUUGACAGGCAGUGACCAUAUUUGAGGAAUGACUAGACGCAUGUUGGGGCGCCAUCAUGACUUCAUGGGUGAACAAUAGAAUUUCGUGUGUAAGUUUCUCUCCACAUACAUCGUGUUAACUUUGUUUUUCUAGUUUCCUAGCAUGUUCCAGUUCGUGCAUUUUCAGUUUUUGGAUAGUGGAAAGGUCAAGUUGGUAGCAAAUUGACACGGCGAAGACGUAAGUCUAAAAUUCAUUGUCACUAAUUCAAUUUACCAAGCUUAAUUGGCCUCUCUUAACCUACAAAAUUGUCAUAAUAAACUAGUAAUUUCACUUCAUGAAAAUCUUGCUCAAUGUUGUUUGACUUGUUUCCCUUCCUAAACAUCGAGAUGUUCGUUAAUUAUAUGCUAAUAAGUUCAUCUUCAAAUGGAUCAUAAAUUAAUAUAGCUAUGUGACUAAUUAAGUAGUAUAACUCCAAAAUGGUAAAGCAUAAUCCAUGAUAAUUUUGGUAAAUCUGGUGUCGGCAGGAUCAUGUUCAUCUUCUUCGUGUUGUGUGGCUCAGGUUGUUUAAGAGUUUUUUACUAUUUUAAAUUGAUUCUCUAUAUUAUCUACAAUGGCCUACAAAAAACUGAACCAAACACCCCCACAAAGGAAAGGGGUCCUUUUCAGAUCCUUUCGACCUAAUUAUCUUCAUCAAAUAAUCCGUGUUCUUAAAAUUUGAUUCAACAACUAAAAACACGGAUCUAUUUUAAAAAUUAUAAUAACUUUAGUUGUUGAAUCAGAUUUCAAGAACCUUAAUAAAGAAGAUUAGGUAAAAGGAAUCAAGAAAUGAUCCCUUUCGAUCACAAAAUAAUAUAAUCGGUGUUGAAAGGAAUGUAGCUCAGUUGUUUACCAGCAGUCACUCAUAACGUUUGGUUCCCCCCCAAAAUCGGUGUUGAAAUGAUCCCUUUCUCUCACACUCUUUUUUUUUUACUUCUCACAUACCUCUUGUUAACUUCUGUCAUUUGAUCUACUUCCAUUUAUCCGAUCCAACGGUCAAAAAUUAAAAGGGUGUGUGAGAGGUAAAAAUUGGUGUAUAGAUAUCACACCCUUUUACUAAAUCCUAAAUUGUACAACUCCUUCAAAUAUAUCAAGGACGAAUAUGGUAUCUUCUACAAACCAUCCAGUAGAGCUCUCAGCAUGCAAUGACCAUAUUUAGGGAAUGGACUAGACACAUGUUGGGGCAUUAUCAUGACAUCAUGGGUUAACAAUACAAUUUGUGUUUAGUCUCUCUUCACAUACAUUACGUUAACUUAGUUUUUCUACUUUCUUAGCAUGUUCGGGUUCGUGCAUUUUCACCUUUUGGGUAGUGGAAAGGUCAAGUUGUUGGGAGACUUAUUAGUAAAAAGCAAAUUCACACGGCAAGACAUAAAUCUAAAAUUACUUGUCACUAAUUCAAUUCCACUGAAUUUAAUUCUUCUCUCUUAAUCUUCAAAAUUAACAUAAUAAGCUAGUAAAUUUCACUUCAUGAAAAUCUUGCUCAAUGUUGUUUGACUUGUUUCCUUUCUUUAACAGCUAGAUGUCCAUUAAUUAUAUGCUAAUAAAACUUGCUCUUCAUCUUCAAUUGAUCUAAUAUAGCUUUGUGACUAAUUAAGUAGUAUAACUACAAGAUGGUAAACAAUAAUCCAUGGUAACUUUUUGCAGGAUUAUUUUCUACUUCUUUGUGUUGUGUGGCUCAGGCUGUUUGAGAGUCUCAACAUUAUCUACCAUGGCCUAUAAAAUUGAACCAAUCACCAUCUCAAAAUAAAAUAAUCGGUAUUGCAAGGAAAUGCAACUCGGUUGUUUACGAGCAAUCACUCUUCCACCCUGAGUUGCGUGUUUGGUUCCUCAUCUCCCAAAAUCGUUCGUAUAAAGGAAAAGAAAAGUAUAACCGUGUGGGACAUAGGAGAUAAGAAAGCAAUUAAAAAGAUAAAACAGCAUGAUCAUGACCCCACAAAAAAAUAAAGAGAAAGUAAAAAGAGGAAGACUUGCUGUGGUCUUUCAACACCUAAUCCUCAUUGCAAAUUGAAGAGCUCUAAAGUGGUCUGGAUCUGUUGAUUUUCAUAAUCUAUGGAAAACAAGUCCCUUCAUCUUCAUCAUCAUCUGAAAACUUGAACGCAGUAAGUUCCUCUUGCAACUAUAUAUGCGGAAUCCAUUAUUUAUAAAUUAAUUAUUUCAUUUUUCUUCAAGAUUGUAUGCUUAAUUAAUUAUUUCAUCGAUAACCAGCUAUAUAAUUUGUUCAGUUUUCAGCCUUAAUUAUUCCAUCAUUCAGUUUGGAUUUAUUGAUCAUCAGUGCAAACAAGCGCCCUCAUGACCUGACAGACUUCCAUGAAACUGCUUCUUGCUACAGAUCUUGUCCAAUAUCCGUGCAGAUUUCGAGUCUUGAAACGUAGGAUUGCAAGGUAAUCCCAAAACUGCCCCAUUUUAUUUGUUCAACAUGUUAAAAUUUAAGAAAAAUGAUGCAUUGCUUACUAGCAUGAUUUUUUCAAUCUUGAGUUUUUAUGGUGUGUUUUAUUGUGCCUUAUCAUUGAGUAAUAUUAUGGUGUACGUGUUUUUCUUUUGACAAACGAUAACGUUAGUAGGUUAAAUUGUUAGUCCCGUACUGGAACACCAACCAGGUUACCCAAAAAAUGAUUCACACACCCAUCUUUAUUCUAUAACUUAAUUCCAUGCUUGUCCCUCGAUACUCGUGAGCGAAAGGGAGGGUCCAAGCGGAUAUGAAAAUGAUCUAUUACUCCAAAGUCUACUUCAUAUGGCCAAUUAUUAGGUGUGUGAUCCUCAUCAUCAACUAUACUUUUUAUAAGGAAUAUCAUUCAUAACCCAGCUAUAAGCAUGCCGAUAUCGUUGAAAGCAUUAAAACAAUGAAAAAUAUGAAGUCUUACCCAGUGGCAGAUCGAAGAUUUUAAUAUCGGUGGUCCUAAUAUAAAGGCCCUAAAAAAUAUUAAGCGAAAAAUAAUAUUGAAAAUUAAAUGCUAGACUACAAUUUUUCAUUCAUAAUUUUUGUACAAACAACAUUACAAGCUACAAAGUACAAAGACUUAUUUGUCAACGAUGAGGUAUGCGUAAUAUCGUUCCAUACUUCUAAUUUCUACACAUAUCAAUUACUCAAAACAAAAAAAAAACAUAUUAAUUGAUGAAGCUAAAAGAAAAAAAAUACCUAUAACUAUUAUGAAUUUAACAUUCUACAACAACAACAACAACAACAACAAAGCCUUUUCCCACUAAGUGGGGUCGGCUAUAUGAAUCCUAGAACGCCAUUGCGCUCGGUUUUGUGUCAUGUCCUCCGUUAGAUCCAAGUACUCUAAGUCUUUUCUUAGAGUCUCUUCCAAAGUUGUCCUAGGUCUUCCUCUACCCCUUCGGCCCUGAACCUCUGUCCCGUAGUCACAUCUUCGAACCGGAGCGUCAGUCGGCCUUCUUUGCACAUGUUCAAAAUCACCGGAGCCGAUUUUCUCUCAUCUUUCCUACAAUUUCGGCUACUCCUACUUUACCUCGGAUAUCCUCAUUCCCAAUCUUAUCCUUUCUCGUGUGCCCACACAUCCCACGAAGCAUCCUCAUCUCCGCUACACCCAUUUUGUGUACGUGUUGAUGCUUCACCACCCAACAUUCUAUGCCAUACAACAUCGCUAGCCUUAUUGCCGUCCUAUAAAAUUUUCCCUUGAGCUUCAGUGGCCUACGACGGUCACACAACACGCCGGAUGCACUCUUUCCAUCCAGCUCGUAUUCUAUGGUUGAGAUCUCCAUCUAAUUCUCCGUUCUCUUGCAAGAUAGAUCCUAGGUAGCGAAAAACGAUCGCUUUUUGUGAUCUUCGCUAGAUUGCUCCGGUCAUUAGUGUGGAUAAGUAUAUAAAUGGAUAGAGAUAGGAAAGCAAACACAAGAUGUACGUGGUUCACCCAGAUUGGCUACGUCCACGGAAUAGAAGAGUUCUCAUUAAUUGUGAAGGGUUUACACAAGUACAUAGGUUCAAGCUCUCAUUUAGUGAGUACAAGUGAAUGAUUUAGUACAAAUGACAUUAGGAAAUAUUGUGGGAGAAUGAUCUCGUAAUCACGAAACUUCUAAGUAUCGGAGUGUGGUGUCGUCUUGACUUGCCUUAUCUAUCUCAUAGGUAGAUGUGGCAUCUUCUCUGGAAGUACUCUUCCUCCAUCCAGGGGUGGUAUCUUUAACUGGUGGAGAUGCACAAGGUAAUGUAUCAAUUUCACUUGAAGCUUACUUGUAGUUUCAGGCUUGGUCAAGCGCGAUACAAACCAUGUAGUAGGAGUCCCCCAAGUCGCCGAGCUAGGGGGUCUGCUGAAAGAGGUGACAGACAAGGUAAGCAAUCAGAGCUCCGACUGAUUGUUCACCUUCUCCCCAUCUUGCAGCAGCAUGAAGGAUAAAGAGAAGAAAAAUGAGAAGAGAUGAUAUGAGAUACUUUUGCUUUUGAAGAAGUAACUUUCCACAGGCUUAUUCUUGAACUGAGCUGGAGGGUUUUCUGGUUUCCUCCAGAGUAUAAGGCCGACUGAAGAAUUUGAGGGUCAAAACAAGUCCAUCAAAUCUAGAGUACGUUCCACCCUGCUGAUAUGGGAUACUUUUGCUUUUGACAGAGUAAUGAAUGUAUCGACCCGUGUGCUGUUACGCUUGUCUCCACAUGCUUCCUUGUAUCCUUCGCACUUGCCCUAUCUGUUCCUCAAGCAGAUGCGGAAUCUUCCCUGGAAACAUAAGAUGUUGAAGAUGAGUACUCGAGAGCAAUGCCAGGUAAGUAAUCAGGUAAGGGGUUCCAGGCAGUCAGUUCCUGGCUGGAAGCUUGAUUCCAAGUGCUGACUGAUUGCUCUCUUUCUCCUUGUCUUGCAGGUAAAAAACAAGGCCAAAAGAAAAGACAGGGAAAAAGCAUGAUAUGGGAUACUCUUGCUUUUAACCCUGAUGAUAUGAGAUAUUCUUGCUCUAGUAUAGCUUGUUUGCAGAGGUAUUAUCGGGGGGAAAGAAAGCUGAAAUAUUUCGAAAGGCUUCGUUGGGAGUGCCCUCUCAAAUAUGAUGAAGGGUUGAGCAUUUUUGCAGGUCUGCCUGUCCGUUGGGGAUGGAGGUCGACAUAUAUAGGAGUCUCCCUAACAACAAGUAGUAAUGCUAUUCCUUUACCCUGCUUGGUCAUAGCACGGUAGUGGGAGCUGCCAGUUUCACAUGUUUUAACUCUGUCAGAGCACUUUGAAAAAGUGGUCUGUGGUAUCUGGCUCUCGAGAUUUGGAGAACGAUGCCUCUUCGAUUUUUGAGAAAGCAAUCAUGCUGGGGGUAUGACUCUCGAGAUUCGGAGAGCAGUGUCUCUUCGAUUUUUGAGGAAGUAAUCAUGUUGGGAGUCUGGCUCUCGAGAUUCGGAGGGCGGUGCCUCUUCGAUUUUGGAGCAAACAAUCUUGUUGGGAGUGUUGUCUCGAAUGUGAGUAAAGGUUGGGCAUGUUUGCUAGUCUACCUUGCCACGAAGCACAAAGGUUGACACACAGGGACUUUCCAAUUAUCCAGCAAUGGUACUGUUCCUUUACCUCUCUCUUCGAUUUUGAGAAAGUAGUCAUGUUGGGAGUCUGGCUCUCGAGAUUCGGAGGAUGGUGCCUCUUCGAUUUUGGAGCAAGCAAUCUUAUUGGGAGUGUUUUUCUCGAAUGUGAGUAAAGGUUGGGCAUGUUUGCUAGUCUACCUUGCCACGAAGCACAGAGGUUGACACACAGGGACUUUCCAAUUAUCCAGCAGUGGUACUGUUCCUUUACAGUUGUGGGUAAUAAUAUGGUAGCUAGACCUUCAAAAUUUAUGUGUCUAAACUUUUGUUAGUGCUGUUUCUUUGCUAUUCUUUUACCUUUCUUGGUCAGAGCGAUGUAGUGGGAGCUGCAAGCUUCACGUGCUCAACUUUGGCAGAGAACUUUGGCAAAGUUAUUUGUGGUACCCAUGAGCUAUUGUUGCGUGUGGGAAGUGGGUGUGAUUGAACAGUAAGAUUCAUGUGCUUUCUACUUCACCAGAAGUCUUCGACAGAAUGCCCAUAAUUUCUGCAAAGCUGAGUGUGCGUGUGACAGGUGCUGACAAGGCUAGAAAAGUAGGUGCCUCUUCGAUUUCUGAGAUCGGCCCUCGUGGUCUCUGAGCAGCCCAGCUUUUGAGAAAGCGAGCGCCUCUUCGAUUGAUUCGGAGAACGAUGCCUCAUCGAUUUUUGAGAAAGCAAUCAUGCUGGGGGUCUGGCUCUCGAGAUUCGGGGAGCAGUGUCUCUUCGAUUUUUGAGAAAGUAAUCAUGUUGGGAGUCUGGCUCUCGAGAUUCGGAGGGCGGUGCCUCUUCGAUUUUGGAGCAAGCAAUCUUGUUGGGAGUGUUUUCUCGAAUGUGAGUAAAGGUUGGGCAUGUUUGCUAGUCUACCUUGCCACGAAGCACAGAGGUUGACACACAGGGAGUUUCCAAUUAUCCAGCAAUGGUACUGUUCCUUUACCCUCUCUUCGAUUUUUAAGAAAGUAGUCAUGUUGGGAGUCUGGCUCUCGAGAUUCGGAGGACGGUGCCUCUUCGAUUUUGGAGCAAGCAAUCUUAUUGGGAGUGUUUUCUCGAAUGUGAGUAAAGGUUGGGCAUGUUUGCUAGUCUACCUUGCCACGAAGCACAGAGGUUGACACACAGGGACUUUCCAAUUAUCCAGCAGUGGUACUGUUCCUUUACCCUUGUGGGUAAUAAUAUGGUAGUUAGACCUUCAAAAUUUAUGGGUCUAAACUUUGUUAGUGCUGUUUCUUUGCUAUUCUUUUACCCUUCUUGGUCAGAGCGAUGUAGUGGGAGCUGCAAGCUUCACGUGCUCAACUUUGGCAGAGAACUUUGGCAAAGUUAUCUGUGGUACCCAUGAGCUAUUGUUGCGUGUGGGAAGUGGGUGAUUGAACAGUAAGAUUCAUGUGUUUUCUACUUCCCCAGAAGUCUUUGACAGAAUGCCCAUAAUUUCCGCAAAACUGAGUGUGCGUGUGACAGGUGCUGACAAGGCUGGAAAAGGCUGGAAAAAGUAGGUGCCUCUUCGAUUUCUGAUAUCGGCCCUCGUGGUCUCUGGGGAGCCCAGCUUUUGAGAAAGCGAGCGCCUCUUCGAUUUUUGAGAUCGGCCUUCGUGGUCUUUGAGCAGCCCAACUUUUGAGAAAGCAAACGCCUCUUCGAUUUCUGAGAUCAACCCUCGUGAUCUCUAAGCAGCCCAGCUUUUGAGAAAGCAAACGCCUCUUCGAUUUCUGAGCAGGCGCCUCUUCGAUUUCUGAAGCUUCGUCGAGUGCAGAUUUUUAUAGGGGCUGGCAUUAAGUUCCAAAGCACACUUGAAUCUCCACCAGUAGAAGCUUCAUUCUUGCACUUCUAAGAUCUUGAUUUGUCCGACCUCUUCUCUCUUCAACACCUUUGAAAAUGUCUGGCCCCUCCGACCGUCGUUUUGACUUGAACCUUGUUGAAGAGGCAGCCCCGCCUUCUCCAGACAACAUAUGGCGCCCAUCCUUCGUCUCCCCUACUGGUCCUCUUACCGUUGGGGAUUCCGUGAUGAAGAAUGAUAUGACCGCUGCGGUGGUGGCCAGGAACCUUCUCACUCCCAAAGAUAACAGACUACUUUCCAAACGGUCUGAUGAGUUAGCUGUUAAGGAUUCGCUGGCUCUCAGUGUUCAGUGUGCAGGUUCUGUGUCUAAUAUGGCCCAACGCCUAUUUGCUCGAACCCGCCAAGUUGAAUCAUUGGCGGCUGAAGUGAUGAGUCUCAAACAGGAGAUUAGAGGGCUCAAGCAUGAGAAUAAACAGUUGCACCGGCUCGCACAUGACUAUGCUACAAACAUGAAGAGGAAGCUUGACCAGAUGAAGGAAACUGAUGGUCAGGUUUUACUUGAUCAUCAGAGAUUUGUGGGUUUGUUCCAAAGGCAUUUAUUGCCUUCGUCUUCUGGGGCUGUACCGCGUAAUGAAGCUCCAAAUGAUCAACCUCUGAUGCCUCCUCCUUCUAGGGUUCUGUCCAGUACUGAGGCUCCAAAUGAUCCCCCUCCGGUGCCUUCUCUUUCUGGGGCUCUACCGACUGCUGAGACUUCUCCUAAGCAACCUUUGUGAAGGCUCCCUCUUGUGUGCUUAUUUUGACUCAUGUAUAUGUACAUAUUUGUAGCUUAUCGGGGAUAUCAAUAAAUAAGCUUUCCUUGUACAUAUUUGUAGCUUAUCGGGGAUAUCAAAAAAUCAUAAUAGUUAAAACAAUACCUAUAAUUAUUAUGAAUUUAACAUUCUACAUGAUUAAUUUAGACUAAAAUAAAAAUCUCAGUUAAAUUUAGAAACGAGGGGAUUAAGUGGUGGUGAAGAAAGGACAGCAGAAUGGUAGGUUAUGUCGGUGGUGUGGACCGUGUGAUCAAUCUGAUCGUGGUUUGUGGAGACUGGAGAGGAGACUGGUAUUGUGCUGAUGGUCUUCGGUUGGGACAAGGAUUGUCUGCCCUUCCACUUCCGGUGUCCUUCCGUGUCCUCCUGUUUUGUGUGGUCACAGUUAAGCCAAGUUAACAUUUUAUAUUGUUUUUUUAUAGAGAUAAUAAGACAAAAAUGAAUAGUAAUAUAAAAUGUUGACGUGACUUAACCGUGACCAUACAAAUAAGAGGGCACGAGAGGGCAUUGGAAGUGGGAGGGUAGACAAUCCUUGUCCCUUCGGUUGAGUGGGGUGGGGUUUUCAAGCUACGCAUCAAAACACACCGUUUUACUUAAAUGACUUGACUCCUUUAAAAAGAAAAAAAAGAAAAAAAAGAAAAAAAAAAAACUUCUUCUCUCCAUCUCGGUUGCAGAAUACCAGAAGACCCACCAGAAGUCAGAACACGGUGCGGCCCCACUCUUCUUCUCCUCCACCACACUUGGUGGUCCACGGAGGUCCUUGCAGCCACUUGUUCGGGCUUCCGGAUGGUCCCAAGACCACCCAAGUCUCUUAGUAGAUGGUAUUACCUCAUGUGAAGCUUCCGAAACAACUUUGAUAUAUUUUUCUCAAAUUAUUAUGAUUGGUUGAAAUUUUUUUUUUAAUUUCCAGCCACGUUAAUUAAGGAUGAAUCAUUUUAUCUCUUAUUUAAGAAUAUUUGUUAAAAACAAAUGUAAAAAUAUUUGUUCCUUGAUCCUAACUUAUUUUGUAUAUAUUAGGAAAAAGAACAUUUCCAUAAAACGUAACAGGACUGCAUACCUGACGGGACGGUUAUGGUGUAGGCAAUCCCUAGCCAUUCCCAAAUUGUCACCUCUAGAUAUGCUUUGCUAGGAGUCCAUUAAUUGAUUACUUCACUGUUACUAUAAAUUUGUAUGUGAUUGCGCAGGCAUCAAUAAUUACUUCUCAUCAUUUUAAUUUGUGCAGUUGUGACUAUUUCUGAGCCUCAACAGAUCAAGCUUCCAAAUUUCCAAGGAACUAGUCUUUGGCUGUUACUCUUCCCUUCGUUGAGUUCUGCACCUCAAUAUUGCUCAAGAACGUUUCACUAUUUCUUUGAUUUCUUGGAGUGCCCUUCACUCUUAACAUGGCACUGGGAGAGGGUUUUCUUGCGGCGUUUCUAAAGGUGCUGCUCAACAGGUUGACCUCCCGCGAGAUUCUCAACUACAUUGGAAACUUCCGGGGCGUCAGAAAGAAGCUGGACAAGUGGAGGGCCGUGUUAACUGCAAUAGGAGCGGUGCUCAGCGAUGCCGAGGAAAAACAACUCACUGAGGAUGCUGUGAAACUGUGGCUCGAUGAUCUCAGAGACUUGGCUUAUGAUGUCGAAGACAUGUUGGACAAAUUUGACACCCAAAUGUUGAAGCGCAUGAUAGAGGGACGUGAUCAAGCCCGCACAAGCAACAAGGUGCGGACCUCACUUUUCAAAAUUAAAUUCAAUAGGGAUAUGAACUCCGAAAUGAAGAAGAUUACGGAGCGGUUGCAAGACAUAUCUGAACGGAAAGAGAAGUUUGGCUUGAAAGAUACUGGGACGUCUGCUAAGGAAUCGCGAAGUCUACCAAGUUCAGAUGUGUUAGAUGAAAAGCUAGUUGUUGGAAGGGAUGGUGACAAAGGGGAGAUUAUUGAAUUGUUGUCAAGAAAAUACGAGCAUGAAGGUGCUGUCAAUUUUGGUGUAGUUGCUAUAGUUGGCAUGCCCGGAGUUGGGAAGAUGACACUUGCUCAACUUGUAUUCAACCACAAAGAUGAUGCCAUGAAGGAGUUUGAGCCUAAGGUGUGGGUAUCUGUGUCUGAUGACUUCAAUGUGGUGCGAGUGACAAAGGCAAUUCUUGAAUCCAUCACAUCCCGACCCGUUCAAAUGGAGGAGUUUAGUAAAAUUCAGCAUGAUUUGUGUGAGCAAUUAAGAGGAAAAAAGUUUUUAAUCGUGUUAGAUGAUAUCUGGAACAAAGGCGACUAUGAUCUACACGAUCUCUGGACAAGACUUAAAUCCCCUUUUGGCGUCGGAGCAGGAGGAAGUAAGAUUAUUGUGACAACCCGUGAUGUGCAUGUUGCAAGGACUAUGGGAGCCACGGGAGUUCAUAAUUUGGAAUGUAUGGCAGAUGAUGAUUGUUUGGAAAUAUUUGAGCGACAUGCAUUUGGGGAAGUUAAUAGUGUAAAACCAGUAAAUUAUGAGUUGAUUCGGACAAAAAUUGUUGAAAAAUGUUGUGGCUUACCAUUAGCUGCGAGGACUCUCGGUGGUCUCUUACUUUGCAAAGAAAAAGAUGAGUGGGGAGAAAUAUUGGACAACAAACUAUGGAAUCUUGCAGAUAACAGUAGCCUUCUCCCCGUACUAAAGUUGAGCUAUCACUAUCUUCCAUCACAUUUGAAGAGGUGUUUUGCCUACUGCUCAAUACUUCCAAAUGACUACGAAUUUUGGGAGAAGCGGCUCGUCCUUUUGUGGAUGGCAGAGGGUUUGAUUCAACAAAAACCUGAUGACAAUAAACAAAUGGAGGAUUUGGGCCGCGACUACUUUCGAGAGCUAUUAGCAAGGUCGCUGUUUCAAGAAUCAAGCAAAACCAAUUCAAGAUAUGUAAUGCAUGACCUCGUUAAUGAUUUAGCACAUUGGGCAGCAGGAGAAAUAUGUUUUAGGUUGGAAGAUAAGCAAGGUGAUAACUUGCAAAGCACUUGCUUUCAAAGGGCUCGCCAUUCGUCUUUCAUUGCUGGUGAAUUUGAUGGAGUUACGAGAUUUGAGGACUUCCCAAAAGCUGAACGCUUGCGAACAUUCCUGCCACUUUCACUUUCAGAUUCUGGUGGAUGGUACAAAUGUUUGUCUCGUAAGGUUACUUUUGAGCUAUUACCACAGUUGCAAUACUUACGAGUGCUCUCGUUCAAUUGCUACACAAUAACUGAGCUGCCAAAGUCAAUCGGUGAUUUGAGGUUGUUACAGUAUCUUGACCUUUCCUACACAGAUAUAACCUGUUUGCCUAAGUCAACAAGCACUCUUUACCACUUGCAAACAUUGAUAUUGGAAGGUUGUUCUAAAUUGAAGUCAUUGCCCACAAACAUGAGUAAUCUAAUUAAUUUGCGCCAUCUCAACAACUCAGGUGCAUAUUCGUUGGAAGGAAUGCCUUGGCAACUAGGUCGAUUGACGAAUCUACAAUCAUUGCCUCUUUUUGUGGUGAGCAAAGGUAGUGAUCAAUCAGGGAUAAGAGAGAUAGGGCCCCUAUUGCAUCUUCGAGGGACACUGUGCCUCUCAAGAUUGGAGAAUGUGACUGAUGUCAAGGAUGCCAGGAGGGCCAACUUGAAAUGCAAGGAGAGGCUUGAUUCGUUGGUCCUAAAAUGGUCUCAUUCAAGCGACACGAGAGAAACGGAAUCCGUUGUGCUUGACAUGUUAGAGCCUCAUACAAAGCUCAAGGAGCUCACCAUCAAGAGUUAUGCCGUAGAGGAAUUUUCAUCAUGGGUUGGAGGUCAUUUGUUCUCUAAUAUGGUGCUUGUGCGGUUAGAGGAAUGUAACAAUUGUUUAUCGGUGCCACCUCUCGGACAAUUGCCUCAUCUCAAAGAACUUUAUAUUAGAGGAAUGAAUGCAGUGGAAAGUGUUGGUGCUGAGUUUUAUGGCGAGUGUAUCUUGCCUUUUCCGCUGUUAGAGAUUCUUGAGUUUGUGGAUAUGUAGCAUUGGAAGGUGUGGCUUCCUUUCCAACUGGAUCACGAAAGUGCUUUUUUCCCUUGCCUGAAAAGGCUUUCAAUCAAACGAUGUUCAAAGUUGGAAGGUGAGCUGCCAGAGAAGCUCGAUUUGUUAGCCGAACUUGAAAUUGUUAAAUGUGAGGAAUUGGUGGUUUCGAUUGCCAACUACAAACAACUUCGUCAAAUAAAAAUUGACGGUUGUAAAGUGUUGGUACAUACAGAUGCUAAGGUUGAGUUUGAGUUAUUAGAGUCCUUGUGGCUUUCAAACAUUUCGGAGGUGACGUCUCUGCAAACAGGGGAAUUGUUCAGGAAGGGAUUAAGCAAGGUUAGAGAUUUGAAGAUCCAUGGAUGUGAGAAGCUGACGUCUUUAUGGAAGAAUGAGGAUGCUAAGGUUGAGUUUGAGUUAUUAGAGUCCUUGUGGCUUUCAAACAUUUCGGAGGUGACGUCUCUGCUAACAGGGGAAUUGUUCAGGAAGGGAUUAAGCAAGGUUAGAGAUUUGAAGAUCCAUGGAUGUGAGAAGUUGACGUCUUUAUGGAAGAAUGAGGCUAGAUUAUUGCAGCGGUUGACUUGUCUUGGCCGUUUGGAAAUUGAAGACAACUCUUGUCUAGUUGAAGAAUUGGGAAAAGAAGCAGAGGAGUUGAUGCAAUUGCAAAUAUUGGAGUGCAAGCUUGAAUUUCUGGAGUUAAACAAGUGCGAAAAUCUUUGGACGCUACCAAAAGGAUUAAAUCAGCUGUCGUCUCUUAAAGAGCUUCGCAUUCACGAAUGUUCACGUCUAGUUUCUUUCCCAGAUGUUGGUCUGCCACCUUCUCUUAAAGACAUUGAGAUUAUAUCGUGCGCUUCGUUGAUAUAUUUUGCAAAAUUCCAGAUUCCCCAAAAUCUAAGAAGAAUAGAUAUAAGAGAUUGCAAAAGUUUGAAAUCACUAGUAGAUGAGGAGGAAUGUGAACGACUGGGUUUAAUAGCACCGAACGGGUUCUUCAGCGACAACACCAAUCACUGCCUUGAAUAUAUUCUGAUCUCGAAUUGCCAAAAUCUGAAAUCCUUACCGGAUGGCUUAUGCCACCUCAGCAAUCUUCAAAAGCUAUAUAUUGAACUAUGUGGAAGUCUUGUUUCCAUCCCGAGACUGAGUGGGGGGAGAAGACCCUCCAACCUGAGAACGAUCUGGAUCAUCGGAUGCGACAAAUUGGAGGCGUUGCCCGAAAACAUGCACAAUCUCAACUCUCUUGAGGAUUUGAGCAUCGACUACCGUGAAGGUUUGACUUUUCCUCCCAACCUAACAUCACUUGAUCUUUGGAAGGUCAAGAGUUGUAAGUCAUUGUGGGAGUUGGAGUGGGGGUUGCACAGACUCACCUCUCUUAGAUACUUGUAUAUCGACAGUGAAGACCCGGAUACGGUGUCGUUUCCACCCGACAUGGUACGGAUGGAGACGCUCUUCCCCAAAUCUCUCACUAACCUCGCAAUAGGUGGCUUCCCGAAUCUAAAGAAACUGAGCAGCAAGGGCUUUCAAUUCCUCACCUCCCUUCAAUCUCUGAAACUCUUCCGUUGUCCAAAGCUAGCAUCUAUUCCAAAGGAGGGUCUGCCUCCUUCGCUAGAGGAACUUUGGAUCGAAGGGUGUCCAGUGCUAAAAGAGAGAUGUCAACCAGGAAAAGGACGCUACUGGCACAAAAUAUCCCACAUCCCUUACAUAAGGAUAGAUUAUAAGAAGAUAUGAAGCUGAUGGUCCAGGUAUCAUCUCUCGAGGAAUGUUUUAAUAUUAAUAUUAUUAUUAUUAAUAUCUCACAUCCCUUUCAUAAGCAUAGAUUGGGAGUUGAUAUGAAGCUGAUGGUCCAGGUAUCAUCUCUCAAGGAAUGUUUUAAUAUUAAUAUUAUUAUUAUUAUUAAUCAUCUUUAUUCUUGUAAAGUAAAGUAAUCCACAUAUUUUGGUUUGGGUCAAGGCUUUGGGGGUUGAGGAGUGGCUACUUUGGGAGGCCUUUCAAUUGGCGUCAACGGGGAUAUUUCUCCGCCAACGUUUCUUCUCCCAGAUUCCUAUAUUUGCUUCUUUCUUUCUUUUUUUUAUUGGUAAACGAUUGCUAUGUUUGCUUGGUCCCUUUUCAUUGAUUUGUAUUAUAACUUUAUAAAUGUGCUACUCUUUCUCCCAGCAAGAUUUUAAUCAGGCCACUUUAAUCUAAUCUUUUAUUUUAUUUUAGCAAAUUUUGACUUAUGAGCUAGUAAUGCAUUUUAUUUAAUGCAUCGAGAAUAAGCAAUCAACAAAGAAAUGGAAAUGUAAAGAGCUCGUUGCUCAAGUGGGUACAAGAGUGAUUUUACCCUUGGCCGUUUGUUAUGCACUUGCUAGAGGCUUGUGGAACGAUGACCACUAAAUGACUUCCUUUACUAUAACUUGUCUUCCUGAAAGUAGAAAAUACGUGCCAACGAAUUUUGGUCAAUCAAAUCCUUAUACCAAGCCUUCAUCACUUGUUCAAAAAAUGCAUUAUUCAUCUAAUUGAUAUGUGAUAAAUUGGUGAUGAUUAUGCAUUUUAACCGAGUUCUAAGGAAAAUUGAAGAUAGUAAUACAUCAGUACUAAAACUACAAAAUAUUACUGAAUUUGUAUACUUAUUACUUGGGUGCCCUCUGCCUUGCUGUGCUGAAUAACAAUGAGAAUAUAUUACUGAAUUCUAGCAGGAAAAAGGCAGGCCACUCUCAAAAUUUGGUGAAUGGGACGUCAAUGAUCCUGCUUCAGCUGAGGGGUUUACUGUGAUCUUUAACAAGGCUAGGGAUGAGAAGAAGACAGGUGGAAAACCGGAGUCACCAGGAAAGGUUGAUCCUAAUAUCAGGCAUGGAGGAGUGGAUACUGGCACUGGCACUGGCAGGCCUUCGUCUGUAAGAUUUUUUCUCAUAACUCUGUCUCAUUUCUUUGUCUAAUGAUUUGAUAAUAUACACAUGAGACAGCCAAUAGCAAUACAUUCUUUACGGUUUUCUUAGUUGCAAGUUAUUGCUUUUCAAGUGACGUCAGUAGUACAACACAGCAUACCAUUUGAUGUGAAAAUCAAUGCAACUGACUUAUAUAGAACUCUAGUAAGGAAAUGUGGCAAAAGACAGAUCUAAUGUUAGGGCCAAGAUAUUUGAAAAAUAAAAGAACACAAGAUGAUUCGGCUGUUUUAUCUGCAUUAUUCCAUGGGAGUGGAAUUGGCAUACGUUAACUUCACUCAGGUUCCAUCUCCUUUUAGACAGAUGUAGCCUAAUAGGAACAUUUGUUUGUUUUAUUGUGAACAAUUGAAAGAACUAUUGGCCCUUGAAAUAUUUGCUCUUGUCAAUUGAUCAUUGUGUGGCCUUUUCGUUUUCUGUGUCUGCUGCAUUUCCAAUUAGUAGAAUAAUAGAACGAAUAACUGGACGGUAAUUAUUUCUGCUGCCAAAAUCUAAUAUGCUUAAAUUCCUCACUCUUUGUGGAUGAUUUGAUUUGGUUUGAUUUCCUGGUGCACAGAAAAAAUGGUUUUGCAGCAUUCAUCAACCACCAGCAGUUUUGUUGACAAUGUUGUUCUCCUAAGUGCUCCGAUGGAGGAGCACGGUGUUCUGUAACUGGCUCCACUAUAUUUCCUCUCUCACUGUAUGUCUAUGAAAUUGGCAGCCGGGUAAGUGAAGUUUGAAGCAAUGGUUAGCAGUUUGCCUAAGGAAAUCGUACAUGAUAUCCUUUUGAGACUACCUCCUAAAGCUUUGAUGAGAUGCACCUCGGUGUCCAAGCCUUGGAACUCCAUGAUAAAAAGUCCCAGCUUUAUUCGCACCAAGGUAUAAAAUAUCAAUGAUAUCGGAAAUGUCGGUAGUCCAAAAACACGGAAAUUUCGAUGGAAAUAUCGGGAUAUUAUCGAUAUCGAUAAAAAUUGAAUAAAAACCAUGGAAAUUGUUAGAAAAACUUGGAAAUUUUUAUUGAAACUUUGCUGGAUGUUUAUUUAGUCAAUUAUCUAUUAGUUUAUUACAAAAAAUUGGAAGGAAAUGCAUUGCAUGAUAGAUAUAACUGAUUUAAAUUGAUUAUAUAGCGAGCUGGCAAACAUGGUGAGUGUAGAAAAUAUGUAGUAAUUAAUGAAAGAAGUUUAAACACACCAUAAUCAUUUAUAUAUAAUGAAUUAGUACAAUAUUUUACACUUUAUACAUUUCAUGGUAAGAUACAUGAGUGACUUAGCAAGGUCUAAAAUAUCGAUGAUAUCGGAAAUAUCGGUAGUCCAAAAAAAUAUCACUAGUCCAAAAACGCGGAAAUUUCGAUGGAAAUAUCGGGAUAUUAUGGAUAUUUUAGACCAUGAUUCGCACCCACCUCAGCCGUACCAUCGAUUUUAAGCAGUUUGGCACCCACCGACUCCUUCUGCAUUGUGUUAGUGGAGACAAUCCAGUGGAGCAGAAUUACUAUUUGCAUUAUGAUAACCAUGCUUUUGAUGAGUACUGCAAGCUAGAGUAUCCAAGUGUUCCCAAGCGCAAGAGAUUUCUUCGUGUGGUCGGAAUGCGAGGAUCCGAAUACUUUUUAUGGGCUUAUUCACUUGCUAGAGGCUUGUGGAGUAGUCCUUGUUCUUUUGAUCCCGUUUGUAAAGUUUUUUAUUCUUGCAAAUUUCAGGCUUUUGUGAACUGGGCAGUUCAUUGGCUGGCAUGGCGCUGCUUGAACGAUGGUCGUUAUCAAAAUUUCAUUUUAGCAAUUGAUGUGGACGGUGAGUUAUUUUGCGAGAUAAGGGUGCUAAAGAGUUUCAGACAGGAUGAACCAUUAGAUUAUCACUUGUCUGUUUCAGGUGAUGGAAACUCCGUUGCUAUGUUCACGACAACGCGUGGUCGUAAUUGUCCUGAGGAUUUUCUUGACAUAUGGGUGAUGAAAGAGUAUGGCAUCGAGGAUUCAUGGGCCAAACUGAUAACUCUAAGUCCACCGGAUCCGGAAAGAAGGGUGCCCUACAAGCCCUUAUGUUUUAGGAACAAUGGUGAAGUAGUGUCCUGACUUUAUCACUUGUUCUAGUAAAAAACGUCGCAUGUACUGGGAUUUUCUCAGGGAUGCCUUGUGAUAUUCUGACAUGGGUAAAUUGUAGCAAUGGUCCCUCAUUUUUUAAUCAAAUUGGAGCAAUGAUUCGUCAACUAAAAUUUCAUUACCAUUGGUCCCUCAAUUUAUGAAAAUGUGUAGCUAUAGUCAUAUUCAUCAAUUUUGUCUAAAUAAGUUAUGUUGGAAUAAUCAUUUAUAUAAUUAGGGUCCCUCAAUUCAUCAAAGUGUGUAAUUAAGGUUCUUUUCGUCAACUACGUCAAAAUUUUUGUCAAAACGAGUUAUGUUGGACGGAUCAUUGCUACAAUUAGGUUAAAGUUAAGGGACUAUUUCUCCAGUUGAAUUAAAGUUGAGGGAUCAAUGGUAAUAGAUUUUUAGUUAAGAGACCAUAGCUGCACAUUUUGAUGAGUUGAGGGACCAAUAAUAAUGAAUUUUUAGUUGAGUGACCAUUGCUCCAAUUGAGUUAAAGUUAAGAGACCAUAGCUACAAUUUACUCUUCUAACAUUGCUGGAUGUUAGCUAGAGAUGAACAUUUUUCCUUUAGUUUGUCUGUUAAUUUAGAGACCUAGAAGAAGUUGCUUAUCACAACAUGUUGCCAAUGUUCAUGGAUAUAUACAGUUAAAUUAAUUUCUUUGAAAUUGCUUGUGAUAUUUUCGUGCCAAAUAGGAAGAGAAGAAAAUUGCAUAUCUUAUUUUUUUAGCUCUAAUAAGAUUUAUCUAGUCACGAGACUUUUACAAUAACUUUUGCUCCUAUGGUCAACCAAAAUAAUAAUAUUACAGUAGAGACUAGUAGUCCAUUAGUAAUUGUGUGUUCAACUGAAAGCAGCGAGAAAAAUACGUACCUUUUUCUCUUCUCUGUUUUCAAAGAAUUUUUUAUCUUCUUCCUCUGCAACCCUUGCAUGCAGGUUUGGCAGUAAAGUAAGUUUCCGCGCAAUUAAAAUAAUGGCAAACUAAUCUUUCGGUUUCGUACGAAGAUAGGAUAAUUUAUACUAAAUUAUUUUUUUGUCUUUUAUUAAAGAAUACAUUUAUAAAAAAAUAAAAAAAGAAGUUUUAAGUGUUUGGGAUCUUUUAAAUACCAAUUUCAAUACAGCUAUUAGUUUAAGUAACAUAAUUUUUAGUUUAGGUGCCAAUGAAAAAAUCAACUAAAAUAAUUCUAUAAAAACUAUUAUAAUUCAAAAUAAUUAUACGAUUGCCGCGUUUUCCGACCUGCCAACUGUAUUCGCAACCACCUCACCCUUACAAUCAAUCUUAAUAACCACGUUUCGACUGACCUCCUUGUACUGCAUUGUAUUCGCAUACACGAGCCAAGGGAGGAGCAUUAGUAUUUGCAUUAUGAUAAAUAACCAUGAUUUUGAUGAGUACUGUAGACUAGAAUUUCCAAUCAUUCCCAAGGGAGAAUGGUUUAAUACGACCUAUAGACUACAAGAACUCAAAUUCCUUUUUUGUUAUCUUCUGUAAACCAUCCAUUAGAGCUCUCGGCAGGCAGUGACCAUUUUUGAGGAAUGACUAGACACAUGUUGGGGCAUCAUCAUGACAUCAUAGGUGAACAAUACGAUUUCGCGUUUAAGUUUCUCUCUAUAUACAUCGUGUUAACUUUGUUUUUCUACUUUCCUAGCACGUUCCGGUUCGUGUAUUUUCAGUUUUUGUAUAGUGGAAAGGUCAAGUUGGUAGUAGAUUGACAUAGCGAAAAAAUUACUUGUCACUAAUUCAGUUUACCAAGCUUAAUUGGUCUCUCUUAACUUACAAAAUUGUCAUAAUAAGCUAGUAGUUUCACUUCAUGGAAAUCUUGCUCAAUGUUGUUUGACUUGUUUCCCUUCUUAAACAUCGAUCGAGAUGUUCGUUAAUUAAAUGCUAAUAAUACUUGCUCUUCACCUUCAAAUGGAUCAUAAGUUAAUAUAGCUCUGUGAUUAAUUAAGUAGUAUGACUCCAAAAUGGUAAAAGCAUAAUCCAUGAUAAUUUUGGUAAAUCUGAUCUCGGCAAGAUCAUGUUCUUCUCUUCUUGUUGUGUGGCUCACGUUGUUUCAGAGUCUUUUACUGUUUAAAAUUAAUUACUAUUCCACCCGAAGUUUCACGUUUGGGUCCUCUUCUUAUAGCGGAAACGAAAAAGUAUAACCGUGUAGGAUAUUUGCGAUAAGAAAGCAAUCAAAAAGAAAACAAUAUGACCCCACGAAAAAUAAAGAGAGAACAAAAACAAGGAAUCUUUCUUUCUUUACGGGCAGAAAGAUGAAGACAUGUUAGUCUUUUAACACGUAUCGCAAUGGCAAAUUGAAGUAGUUAUCGUCGAAAGAGGAAGACUUGUUAUAGUCUUUCAAGUCGACACCUAAUUAUCCUAGCAAAUUGAUCUGUAAAGUAGUCUACAAAAACUCAAAUUCCAUUUAAACUACCUGUUUUAUUAAAGGAAUAUACUAUCCGCAUAUCUAUUUUUACUUAUCAGACACUCUUUUUUACUUCUCACAUCCCCUUUGUUAACUUUUGUCCUUUGAUCUACUUCAAUUCAUCCGAUCCGACACCGAAAAUUAAAAUGAUGUGUGAGAAGUAAAAAAAGGUGUGUGGAUAUCACACCAUUUUACUAAAUCCUAAAUUGUAUAACUCCUUCAAAUAUAUCAAAGGCGAAUAUGGUACCUUCUGUAAACAAUCCGGUAGAGCUCUCAGCAGGCAAUGAUAAUAUUUAGGGAAUGACUAGACACAUGUUGGGACGUUAUCGUGACAUCAUGGGUUAACAAUACAAUUUGUGUUUAAAUUUCUCUUCACUAGCUUAGUUUUUCUACUUUCCUAACAUGUUCGGGUUCGUGCAUUUUCAGCUUUUGGGUAGUGGAAAAGUCAAGUUGCUGGUAGACUAAGUAGUGAACAAGUAGAUUCACACGGCAAUACAUAAGUCAAAAAUUACUCGUCACUAAUUCAGUUCUACCGAGUUUAGUUUGUCUCUCUUAAUCUUCAAACUUACAUAAUAAGCUAGUAAUUUCACUUCAUGAAAAUCUUGCUCAAAGUUGUUUGACUUGUUUCCUUUCUUUAGCAGCUAGACGUUCAAUUAUAUGCUAAUAAAACUUGCUCUUCAUCUUCAAUUGAUCUAAAAUAUAGCUCUGCGACUAAUUAAGUAGUAUGACUACAAGAUGGUUAACAAUAAUCCAUGGUAACCUUUUGCAGGAUCAUUUUCUUCUUCUUUGUGUUGUGUGGCUUAGGCUGUUUGAGUCUUUUACUACUUUAAAUUAAUUUAAGGAAAACUAAUGAAAAUGACUUGAAAACUUUGAGUUUUAACGAAAAUGACAAAAAUGUGUUGUAAAUGAAUAGUAUCAAUAUUGACUUUUUAGAGUAAAAAUGUGAUUUUUUGUUAAAGUAACAGUACCUUGAGUUUUUCUUCGUUAAAGUUUCGUUAAAUUUAUUGUCUCAACAUUAUCUACAAUGGCCUAAAAAAUUAAUCACCCUUUCAAACUAAUAUAAUCGGUAUUGCAAGAAAUGCAACUCAGUUGUUUACCAGCAAUCACCCUUUCACCCUAAAUUGCGUGUUUGGUUCCUCAUCUCCCAAAAUCGUUCGUAUAAAUGAAAAGAAAAUGUAUAACCGUGUAGGACAUAGGAGAUAAGAAAGCAAUUAAAAAGAUAAAAGAGGAAUCUGUCUUUUUUGGCAGAAAGAGGAAGACUUGUUAUAGUCUUUCAACACCUAAUCAUCAUUGCAAUUUGAAGAGCCUCGACUAGAAGAAAAAGACGUCUUAUGUACUCGGAAUUUUCUCCGGGAUGCCUUGUGAUAUUCUGAUAUUGCUGCUAGAAAUAAACAUUUUUCCUUAAGUUUGUCUGCUAAUUUACCGUCCUAGAAAAAGUUGCUUAUCACAACAUGUUGCCAAUGUUCAUGGACAUAUACAGUUAAUGAGUUUCUAUGAAAAUGUUGUCGAUAUUUUCGUGCCAAAUGUUGAGUGCAUCAUCUAUUUGUUGUAGCCUUAAUUUCUAGUUGCCCUCCAACUUUCAACGUUGCUUUGCUUAAUUGCAAACCUUUCAUCUCUUAUUGUGCUUUCUUCUCAAUAUUCUCACACCUCUAUAAGGCGAGAAGCAAAUUACAUAUCUCGGUUUCAAAGCUUUAAUAAGAUUUAUAUCUCUCUCAUUACAAAACUUUUACAAUAAAUUUUCCUCCCAUGGUCUAUCAAAAUAAUAAUAUUUCAGCAGCGACUAUCUAUUAUCAUAAAUUUUGGUGCAUUUGAAAGCAGCGAGAACAAUACAUUUUUAUUUUAUUUUUUCUCAAAUAAAUUUUUUGGUCAUUUUCCUCUGCAACCCUUGAGUUUCAACCCACUUUAUUUAUAAGAGUGAGGAGAACAAAUUUUUAAACCAAAUUUUGUAAAUAAAAUGAUAUGUCACUAAUAAAAAAUAAGUACGUUAAUUAAUACUUGAAUAAUUUGAUCUCUCUAACAUUAUUCUUAAAAUAAUGGUAAACUAAUUUUUUUAUUUAUUUUUACGAAUGAUAGAAUAAUCUAUUAAACUAUUGUGUUUUUUUUCUUUUUGUGAACAAUAAGACAAUAAACUAUUAUUUCGCCUUUUAUUAAAGAGUACUAAAAAAACGAAGUUUUUGAGAUCUUUUAAGUACCAAUUCCAAUAAAACUUUCAGGGUAAGUAACGUGAUUUUUAGUUUACAAAUAUUAAAAAAAACUAAUGAAAAUGACUUGAAAAUUUUGAGUUUUAAUGAAAAAGACAAAAAUGUGUUGUAAGUGAAUAGUACCAGAAUUGACAUUUUAAAGUAAAAAUGUGGUUUUUUGUUAAAGUGAGCAGUACCGAAAGAGUUUCGUUAAAGCUCCCAAAUACUAAUGAAAAAGUUAACCAAAAUAAAUCUACAGAUAUUAGAGCAAGUCCAUCCCUGAAAACUUUGUGCCAGCACCCAGCGUAUUUAUAUCUCCAUCGGCACCCGGAUGCAGUGUUAAAUGAGCAAGGGGGCUAUAGAAACUUCUUUUCGAACGACUCCACUCAAAGUUGUUUGGGAGCAUAUGCUCCUAUCAACUUUACACGGGACACACAAAAGAAGUACUUUGAUCCUAUUAGACGGGGAAGGGUGAAGAAGCUAGGACAGAAGGGUAGAGUUCAAGAGAGCAAAAUGCGUUUAGGAACGUGGAAUAUAGGAACCUUGACGGGAAAAUCUAUGGAAGUAGUAGAAGUUAUGGUGAGGAGAAGGAUAAAUAUUAUGUGCCUACAAGAAACUAAGUGGGUUGGGCGUAAGGCAAAGGAUCUAGAAAACUCAGGGUUUAAACUAUGGUAUUCGGGCACAAAUAGAACGAGAAACGGUGUUGGCAUCAUCGUGGACAAGACCUUGACACAAGAUGUUGUAGAUGUCAAGAGGGUAGGAGAUAGAAUCAUGGCAAUCAAGAUUGUAAUAGGACAAGAACUUAUCAAUGUGAUUAGUGCGUACGCACCUCAAGUAGGGUUGGAUACGAGUUCGAAGGAGAAAUUUUGGGAAGACCUUGGAGACUUGGUGCAAGGAAUUGCUCAGACGGAGAAGUUAUUUAUAGGAGGAGAUUUAAAUGGACACGUGGGCAGGGAGACAGGCAACUAUGGAGGUUUUCAUGGUGGCCAUGGUUUUGGGGAGAGAAACGAGGAUGGGGAAGCUAUCUUGGAUUUUGCAAUGGCAUAUGAUCUCUUCUUAGCCAACACCUUCUUUAAGAAGCGGGAAGAACAUGUGAUCACCUACAAGAGUGGGUCGUCAAAAACACAAAUAGAUUUUCUUCUAAUGAGGAAAAGGGAUCGUAUAACUUGUAAGGAUUGCAAAGUUAUACCAGGAGAGAGCGUGGCUAAUCAACAUCGCUUGUUGGUGAUGGAUGUACAUAUCAAAAGAGUGAGAAAAAAGAACAAGACUUGGAAGUGCCCAAGGACUAGAUGGUGGAAUCUAAAAGAAGAAAAACAAGCAAUUUUCAAAGAGAAAAUAAUCACCCAGUGUGUGUGGGAUAGAGAGGGGGAAGCUAACCAAAUGUGGGAUUCCAUGGCUAGUUGUAUCCGAAAAGUAGCAAAAGAGGUAUUAGGAGAGUCCAAGGGCUUUGCCCCACACCAAAAGGAAUCUUGGUGGUGGAGUGAGGAGGUACAAACAAAGGUGAAGGCUAAGAAGGAAUGUUGUAAAGCCUUAUACAAGGAUAGGACCGAUGAAAAUGGUGAAAGGUAUAGAAAAGCGAAGCAAGAGGUGAAGAAAGCUGUGAGAGAAGCUAAGUUAGCGGCUUAUGACGAUAUGUAUAAACGACUAGAUACCAAAGAAGGAGAGUUGGAUAUCUAUAAACUAGCUAGAGCAAGGGAAAAGAAGACAAGGGACCUAAACCAAGUGAGGUGCAUCAAGGAUGAGGAUGGAAAGGUUCUUGCUACAGAGAACGCGGUUAAAGACAGAUGGAAAGGUUAUUUUCAUAAUCUUUUCAAUGAAGGACAUGAAAGGAGUGCUUCUUUAGGGGAGUUGAGUAACUCAGAAGAGUGUAGAAACUACUCUUUUUAUCGUAGAAUCCGGAAGGAAGAAGUGGUUGUAUCUUUGAAGAAGAUGAAGCAUAGAAAAGCAGUAGGCCCAGACGAUAUACCAAUCGAAGUGUGGAAAGUUUUGGGAGAGACAGGUAUAACAUGGCUCACUGACAUUUUCAAUAGGAUUUUGAAAACGAAGAAGAUGCCAAAUGAGUGGCGAACGAGCACUUUGGUGCCUAUCUACAAGAAUAAGGGCGAUGUACAAAAUUGCAUGAACUAUAGGGGUAUUAAGCUAAUGAGUCAUACAAUGAAGCUCUGGGAGAGAGUCAUUGAGCAUAGAUUGAGGCAAGAGACACGGGUUUCGGACAACCAAUUCGGGUUCAUGCCAGGGGCGCUCAACCAUGGAGGCAAUCUAUCUCUUACGAAGAUUGAUGGAAAGAUAUAGAGAUGGGAAAAAGGAUUUACACAUGGUCUUUAUAGAUUUGGAAAAAGCGUAUGAUAGGGUCCCAAGAGACAUUCUUUGGAGGAUUUUAGAGAAGAAAGGAGUACGAGUAGCAUAUAUCCAAGCUAUACAGGAUAUGUAUGAAGGAGCAAAGACUGCCGUAAGAACUCAUGAAGGACAAACCGAAAGCUUUCCCAUAACUGUAGGAUUACAUCAAGGCUCAUCCUUAAGUCCUUACCUUUUUGCGUUGGUAAUGGAUGAGUUAACAGGACAUAUUCAAGAUGAUAUUCCUUGGUGUAUGCUUUUCGCAGACGAUAUAGUGUUGAUAGAUGAAACUCAAGAAGGGGUAAAUGCAAAGAUUAACCUUUGGAGAGAAGUGUUGGAAUCUAAAGGUCUUCGCCUAAGCCGAUCAAAGACAGAAUAUAUGGAGUGCAAGUUCAGUGCAAAUGGAGGCCAAAAACGAGUUAGGGGUGAGGAUCGGAGAUCAAGAAAUACCAAAGAGCGACCGUUUUCGUUACCUAGGAUCUAUCUUGCAAAAGAACGGAGAAUUAGAUGGAGAUCUCAACCAUAGAAUACAAGCUGGAUGGAUGAAGUGGAAGAGUGCAUCCGGCGUGUUGUGUGACCGCCGUAUGCCACUGAAGCUCAAGGGAAAAUUUUAUAGGACGGCAAUAAGGCCGGCGAUGCUGUAUGGCACAGAAUGUGGGGCGGUGAAGCAUCAACACGUACACAAAAUGGGUGUAGCGGAGAUGAGGAUGCUUCGUUGGAUGUGUGGGCACACGAGAAAGGAUAAGAUUAGGAAUGAGGAUAUCCGGGGUAAAGUAGGAGUAGCCGAAAUUGAAGGAAAGAUGAGAGAAAAUCGGUUACGGUGGUUUGGACAUGUGCAAAGAAGGCCUACUGACGCUCCGAUUAGAAGAUGCGACUAUGGGACAGAGGUUCAGGGCCGAAGGGGUAGAGGAAGACCCAGGAAAACUUUGAGAGAGACCCUAAGAAAAGACGUAGAGUACUUGGAUCUAACGGAGGACAUGACACAGGACAGAACACAAUGGCGUUCUAAGAUUCAUAUAGCCGAUCCCACUCAGUGACUUGGAUUUUUCCAAGUCUCCAACCGAAAAGUUUGUCCUCGCUCGGGAAAUUAAGGGAACACUACCUCAACCUACAUGCUCCACUCACAAAGCUCCAACAUACAAGCUUCAACAAAAGAAAAUUCAAAGAACUUAGCGAAGAAGGCUUUGGUGAUUUAACACAAUACGUUGAAAUGAAGGAAAGCUUAUUUAUUGAUAUCCCCGAUAAAUUACAAAUAUGUACAUAUACUUGAGUCAAAAUAAACAAACAAGAGGAAGCCUUCACAAAGGUUGCUUAGGAGAAGUCUCGGCAGUCGGUAGAGCCCCAGAAAGAGAAGGCACCGGAGGGGGAUCAUUCGGAGCCUCAGUACUGGACAGAACCCUAGAAGGAGGAGGCAUCAGAGGUUGAUCAUUUGGAGCUUCAUUACGCGGUACAGCCCCAGAAGACGAAGGCAAUAAAUGCCUUUGGAACAAACCCACAAAUCUCUGAUGAUCAAGUAAAACCUGACCAUCAGAUUCCUUCAUCUGGUCAAGCUUCCUCUUCAUGUUUGUAGCAUAGUCAUGUGCGAGCCGGUGCAACUGUUUAUUCUCAUGCUUGAGCCCUCUAAUCUCCUGUUUGAGACUCAUCACUUCAGCCGCCAAUGAUUCAACUUGGCGGGUUCGAGCAAAUAGGUGUUGGGCCAUAUUAGACACAGAACCUGCACACUGAACACUAAGAGCCAGAGAAUCCUUAACAGCCAACUCAUCAGACCGUUUGGAAAGUAGUCUGUUAUCUUUGGGAGUGAGAAGGUUCCUGGCCACUACCGCAGCGGUCAUAUCAUUCUUCAUAACGGAAUCCCCAACGGUAAGAGGACCAGUAUGGGAGACGAAGGAUGGGCGCCAUAUGUUGUCUGGAGAAGGUGGGGCUGCCUCUUCAACAAGGUUCAAGUCAAAACGACGGUCGGAGGGGCCAGACAUUUUCAAAGGUGUAGAAGAGAGAAGAGGUCGGACAAAUCAAGAUCUUAGAAGUGCAAGAAUGGAGCUUCUACUGGUGGAUAUUCAAGUGUGCUUUGGAACUUAAUGUCAACCUCUAUAAAAAUCUGCACUCGACGAAGCUUCAGAAAUCGAAGAGGCGUUUGCUUUCUCAAAAGCUGGGCUGCUCAGAGACCACGAGGGUCGAUCUCAGAAAUCGAAGAGGCGUUUGCUUUCUCAAAAGCUGGGCUGCUCAAAGACCACGAAGGCCGAUCUCAGAAAUCGAAGAGGUUUGCUUUCUCAAAAGCUGGGCUACUCAGAGACCACGAGGGCCGAUCUCAGAAAUCGAAGAGGUUUGCUUUCUCAAAAGCUGGGCUGCUCAGAGACCACGAGGGCCGAUCUCAGAAAUCGAAGAGGUUUGCUUUCUCAAAAGCUGGGCUGCUCAGAGACCACGAGGGCCGAUCUCAGAAAUCGAAGAGGCACCUACUUUUCCAACCUUGUCAGCACCUGUCACACGCACACUCAGCUUUGCGGAAAUUAUGGGCAUUCUAUCGAAGAUUUCUGGCGAAGUAGAAAGCACAUGAAUCGUACUGUUCAAUCACCCACUUCCCACACGCAACAGUAGCUCAUGGGUACCACAUAUAACUUUGCCAAAGUUCUCUGACAAAGUUGAGACUACUUUUCCAGCCUUGUCAGCACCUGUCACACGCACACUCAGCUUUGCGGAAAUUAUGGGCAUUCUGUCGAAGAUUUCUGGCGAAGUAGAAAGCACAUGAUUCGUACUGUUCAAUCACCCACUUUCCACAUGCAACAGUAGCUCAUGGGUACCACAUAUAACUUUGCCAAAGUUCUCUGACAAAGUCGAGACAUGUGAAGCUUGCAACUCUCACUACAUCGCUCUGACCAAGAAGGGUAAAAGAAUAGCAAAGAAACAACACUAACAAAGUUUAGACACAUAAAUUUUGAAGGGCUAGCUACCAUAUUAUUACCCACAAGGGUAAAGGAACAGUACCACUGCUGGAUAAUUGGAAAGUCCCUGUGUGUCAACCUCUGUGCUUCAUGGCAAGGUAGACUAGCAAACAUGCCCAACCUUUACUCACAUUCGAAAAAACACUCCCAACAAGAUUGCUUGCCCCAAAAUCGAUGAGGCAUCGCCUCCGAAUCUCGAGAGCCAGACUCCCAACAUGAUUACUUUCUCAAAAAUCGAAGAGAGGGUAAAGGAACAGUACCACUGCUGGAUAAUUUGAAAGUCCCUGUGUAUCAACCUCUGUGCUUCGUGGCAAGGUAGACUAGCAAACAUGCCCAACCUUUACUCACAUUCGAGAAAACACCCCCAACAAGAUUGCUUGCUCCAAAAUCGAAGAGGCACCGCCCUCCGAAUCUCGAGAGCCAGACUCCUAACAUGAUUACUUUCUCAAAAAUCGAAGAGAGGGUAAAGGAACAGUACCACUGCUGGAUAAUUGGAAAGUCCCUGUGUGUCAACCUCUGUGCUUCGUGGCAAGGUAGACUAGCAAACAUGCCCAACCUUUACUCAUAUUCGAGAAAACACUCCCAACAAGAUUGCUUGCUCCAAAAUCGAAGAGGCACAGCCCUCCGAAUCUCAAGAGCCAGACUCCCAACAUGAUUACUUUCUCAAAAAUUGAAGACACCGCUCUCCGAAUCUCGAGAGCCAGACCCCCAGCAUGAUUGCUUUCUCAAAAAUCGAAGAGGCAUCGUUCUCCGAAUCUCGAGAGCCAGAUCCCCGACAGGAUUGCUUGUUCGAAAACCGAAGAGGCACCACUUUCCCAACUUCAAGAGCCGGAUCUCCUUGGAUAAAGCUUGUCUGUAAUCUUCACACGCAACAUCAGCUUUCCAGAUACCACAGACCACUUUUUCAAAGUGCUCUAACAGAGUUAAAACUUGUGAAGCUGGCAGCUCCCACUACCGUGCUAUGACCAAGGAGGGUAAAGGAAUAGCAUUAUUACUUGAUGUUAGGGAGACUCCUAUAUAUGUCGACCUCCAUCCCCAACGAACAGGCAGACCUGCAAAAAUGCUCAACCCUUCCUCUUAUCUGAGAGGGCACUCCCAACGAAGCCUUUCGAAAUAUUCAGCUUUCUUUCCCCCCGAUAAUACCUCUGUAAACAAGCUAUACUAGAGCAAGAAUAUCUCAUAUCAUCAGGGUUAAAAGCAAGAGUAUCCCAUAUCAUGCUUUUUCCCUGUCUUUUCCUUUGGCCUUGUUCUUACUUGCAAGACAAGGAGAAAAGAGAGCAAUCAGUCAGCACUUGGAAUCAAGCUUCCAGCCAGGAACUGACUGCCUGGAACCCCUUACCCUGGCAUUGCUCUCGAGUACUCAUCUUCAACAUCUUAUGCUUCCAGGGAAGAUACCGCAUCUGCCUGAGGAACAGAUAGGGCAAGUGAGAAGGAUACAAGGAAGCAUGUGGAGACAAGCGUAACAGCACACGUGCCGAUACAUCCACUACUCUGUCAAAAGCAAAAGUAUCCCAUAUCAGCAGGGUCGAACGUACUCUAGAUUUGAUGGACUUGUUUUGACCCUCAAAUUCUUCAGUCGGCCUUAUACUUUGGAGGAAACCAUAAAACCCUCCAGCCCAGUUCAAGAAUAAGCCUGUGGAAAGUUACUUCUUCAAAAGCAAAAGUAUCCCAUAUCAUCUCUUCUCAUUUUUCUUCUCUUUAUCCUUCAUGCUGCCUGCAAGAUAGGGAGAAUGUGAACAAUCAGCCGGAGCUCUGAUUGUUUACCUUGUCUGUUACCUCUUUCAGCAGAUCCCCUAGCUCGGCGACUUGGGGGACUCCUACUACAUGGUUUGUAUCGCGCUUGACCAAGCCUGAAACUACAAGUAAGCUUCAAGUGACAUUGAUACAUUACCUUGUGCAUCUCCACCAGUUACAGAUACCACCCCUGGAUGGAGGAAGAGUACUUCCAGAGAAGAUUCCACAUCUACCUAUGAGACAGAUAAGGAAAGUCAAGACGAUACCACACUCCGGUACUUAGAAGUUUCGUGGUUACGAGAUCAUUCUCCCACAAUAUUUCCUAAUGUCAUUUGUACUAAAUCAUUCACUUGUACUCCCUAAAGGAGAGCUUGAACCUAUGUACUUGUGUAAACCCUUCACAAUUAAUGAGAACUCCUCUAUUCCGUGGACGUAGCCAAUCUGGGUGAACCACGUACAUCUUGUGUUUGCUUUCCUAUCUCUAUCCAUUUAUAUACUUAUCCACACUAAUGACCGGACCAAUCUAGCGAAGAUCACAAAAAGUGACCGUUUUCGCUACCUAGGAUCUAUCUUGCAAGAGAACGGAGAAUUAGAUGGAGAUCUCAACCAUAAAAUACAAGCUGGAUGGAUGAAGUGUAAGAGUGUAUCCGGCGUGUUGUGUGAUCGUCGUAGGCCACUGAAGCUCAAGGGAAAAUUUUAUAGGACGGCAAUAAGGCCAACGAUGUUGUAUGGCACAGAAUGUUGGGCGGUGAAGCAUCAACACGUACACAAAAUGGGUGUAGCGGAGAUGAGGAUGCUUCGUGGGAUGUAUGGGCACACGAGAAAGGAUAAGAAUGGGAAUGAGGAUAUCCAAGGUAAAGUAGGAGUAGCCAAAAUUGAAGGAAAUAUGAGAGAAAAUCGGUUCCGGUGGUUUGGACAUGUGCAAAGAAGGCCUACUGACGCUCCGGUUCGAAAAUGUGACUACGGGACAGAAGUUCAGGGCCGAAGGGGUAGAGGAAGACCUAGGAAAACUUUGGAAGAGACCCUAAGAAAAGACUUGAUUACUUGGAUCUAACGGAGGACAUGACACAAAACCGAGCGCAAUGGCGUUCUAAGAUUCAUAUAGCCGACCCCACUUAGUGGGAAAAGGCUUUGUUGUUGUUGCUUCCUUUCCCUUUCCGGUCCUUUCUUUAUCAUUUAUUUUUUCUGCUUUCUUCUUUCUUCCUUUCCCUCACCAUGUCGGUACCCAGGCUUCAACCUUCACUGCACGAUCGCACGACCUCGACACCCAGGGCUUCAACCUUCACCGCACGAUCGCACGACCUCCGACCAAGACCUCGACACCCAGGGCUUCAACCUUCACCGCACGAUCGCGGAGCUCAACCUGGACCACCUCAACAAGGUGUUCAUGGCCGUCGGGUUUCUGAAGACAUGAAGACGAAGUGGCCGGUGGCGUUCACGAUCGUGCGAUCGCGGAGCUCAACACGGACUCGCUACUGUGAAUGGAGUACAUGAAGACGAACCGGCCGGUGGCGUUCACAAGGUCGACGGGAGACGGCCUCCAGUUCAAACUUCCUUCGGACGCCAUGCUGGCGUCACCAUGGCAUCAGAUAGGCCGGUCCCAAGGUCUGUCGAUUUUAGGCCGGCCUGUGGACUGGCAUGGGCUGGGUGCCAGUCAAUUGGGUCGGCUAGAGCAAAUUCACUGGGUCCUGGCCUAUUUUUUCGGCUGGGUGCUGGGCAAAAAGUCCUCCAGUGGACUUGCUCUUACUAUAUAGAAUUCAAAAUAAUUAUACGAUUGCCAUUUUUUGUUUACCGGUCAACUGUAUUCCCAACGACCUUACCCGCACAAUCAAUCUUGAUAACCAGGUUUCCACUAACCUCCUUGUACUCGAUUGUGUUCGCAUGCAUGAGCCAAGGUAGGUGCAUUACUAUUUGCAUUCUGAUAAACAACAAUGAUUUUUUAUGAAUAUUGCAGACUAGAAUUUCCAAUCAUUCCCAAGGGAGAACGGUUCAAUCAUAACAUCAUGGGCUAAGAAUACAAUUUCAUGUUUAAGUUUUUCUCCACAUACAUCACGUUAACUUGGUGUUUUUUACUUUCCUAGCAUGUUCCCUUCUGUGCAUUUUCAGCUUUUAAAUAGUGACUUAUUAGUGAAAAAGCAGAUUCACAUGACGAAGACAUAAGUAUAAAAUUACUUGUCACUAAUUCAGUCAUCAAGCUUAAGUCAUCUAUUUUAAUCUUCAAAAUUAACACAAUAAGCUAGAAAAUUCAGUUCAUGAAAAUCUUGCUCAAUGUUGUUUGACUUGUUUCCUUUCUUAAACGUUUAGAUGCUCAUUAAUUAUAUGCUAAUAAAACUUGCUCUUCAUCUUCAAAUGGAUCAUAAUCCAAUAUAGCUCUGUUACCAAUUAACUAGCAUAACUACAAGUCUACAAGACAACUUUGGUAAAUCCGGUGCCGGCAGGAUCAUUUUCUUCUUCUUUGUGUUGUGUGGCUCAGGUUUUUUUUCAGUCUUUUACAAUUUUAAAUUGAUUGUCUCUACAUUAUCUACCAUGACCUACGAACAAUUGAAACAAUCACCCUCCCAAAAUAAUAUGAUCGGUGUUGCAAGGGAUUGUAGCUUAGUUGUUUACAAGCAGAUAUUUUUUUAUUUUUUUUAGUACAUCUUCUUUAUGUUAAGGAAGAGAAGAAGUUUGGCUAAGCCACACAAUGAAUAGCCUAAUUUGAUAUCAAAUUCGUCAUCUACAAUAUUCGAACCUAAGGCCUCUACUUAUAAGUGAGGAGGAAUAUCAUUAGAUCGUAGUACUAGGUGUUGCAAUUAGUCAUUUUUUUGUUGAGAAUAAAUCUCAUAUUAAUGAAAUGAGAGACUUUGUAUGUGCUUAUAAUAAGUAGUUGAGGUACUCUCCCUAUUGUCAAAUUUUUUUUGGUGGAACUUCAACAUUUUUCAUGCUAUCAAAACAAGUUGUCUCAUGUAUGACACAUAAUGGCUUUACGUGAUCCAUAUCUUUCGAGUUGUAUUAUUCACAUGUUAAACUUAAAAUUCGUCAUACGUAACGGAACAUAUUAAGAAUGAAUCUCAUAUUAAAAAAAAAAAAAAGACUUUGAAAUCUCAAGUUUAUUCUAUUUCCAUCCAAAGUUCUAUAUUUGAUUUCCCAUCUCCAAAAUCGUUCCUAUAAAGAAAAAGAAAAAGUAUAACGUACGUGUAGGGCUUUGGAGAUAAGAAAUCAAAUAAAAAGACAACAAUAUGACCCCACGAAAAGUACAGAGGGAAAAGAGGAGUCCUUCUUUGUGGGCAGAAAGGUGCAGACUUGUUAUAAGUCUUUCAACACCUAAUUAUCAAAAGCAAAUUGCAGAGUUCGAGAGUAGUCUGGAUCUGUUGAUUUUUAUAAUCUAUGGAAACAAGUCCCUUCAUCUGAAAACUUGUACGCAGUAAGUUCCUCUUGCAACUAUAUAUGCGAAAUUCAUUAUUUAUUAAUGAAUUAUUUCAUUUUUCUUGAAGUUUGUAUAUUUAAUUAAAGAUUUCAUCAAUAACCAGCUAUAUAAUUUGUGCUGUUUUCAGCCUUGAUUAUUCCAUCAUUCGGUCUGGAUUUGUUGACGAUAAGUGCAAACAAGUGCCCUCAUGACCUGACAGGCUUCCAUGUAACUGCUGCUUGCUUCAGAUCAUGCCCAAUAUUUGUGCAACGGUGCAAGUUUCGAGUCUUGAAGCGUAGGGUUGCAAGAAUUCCCCCCUGCAGUUACGGGUAAUCCCAAAACUGCCCAUUUUUUGUCCAGUUCAAAUUUAAGAAAAAUAAUGUUUACUAGUAUAUGAUUUUUGCAAGCUUGAGUUUUUCUUUUUGCUCGUCUUUUAAAUUUAUAUGGUGUGUUUUAUUGUGCUUUAUUAUUUAUUGUGUUUUAUGUCAUCUCAAAUGACAAGUGAAUCAAAUGUACACAAUUAACAAUUAAUGGGAUAAAUUUAUUAAUUGAUGUGACAUAUCACAUCAAAUUGUACAUAAAUAUGGUACAAACAUAUGUGAUUCCCUUAACAUUUUCGGAUUUUCCUAGUAAUAUUAUAUGGCGUGUUAUUGUGCUUUAUACAUACAAUAUCAAGUUUUUUUUUUUUUUUUUUUUUUGCUUUUUAUUGGAACAUACAAUAUCAAGUUAUUAGGGACUGUAUACCUGGUGGUGGGAAGGUUAUGAUGUAGGCAACCUUGAUCUGAAUCCGGCCCGUUGCCAUCCUUUGCUAUUCCCAAAUUGUUAUCUCUAGAUAUGCUUACUAGGAGUCUCCAUUAAUUGAAUAUUAUUUCAAUUUUACUAUAAAUUUAUAUAGGUAAAUGCUAGGGACAUUAAAUUACUUUAGUCUAAAGUAAGGUUUGAAAUUGGCACUAUUUAAAUGAACAGUGUUUCAAUCCGAAUUUCAGAUUAAUUACAACCAUGCCAUUGGUCUUUGUGUUGGUUUUGGGUCAGCAGCCAGGCCCUCAGCCAUGCCCAAAUGUGUUGGUUUUAGCUGGGAAGCCCCGCCCUCAGUGAGGCCCAAAUUGUUAAUUACAAUUUUGCCCAUCUAAGAUUACAAUCCAAUGGUGGAGAUGGUGUAUUAAGAAGGGCAAUUUUGUCCUCUCCGUUUUGGGCGAGAUAGGGGGUCAUCGGGUAGGUAUCAUUUGCUGUCGUUCAAUUAGGGUUUCAGGGAGGGUCUGAGAGAGAGAGAGAGAGACAGAGAGAGAUGGCGAUGGGAGGAGAGCGAGGGGGAGGGGUAGGGCUCUCGGCACUGUUGUUGCGGAUGGGAGGGUCGGUAUGGUCAGAGAAGACCAUAUGGGUCGUCGGGAUUUCAGGGAGACGGGGUAGGGGUCAUCAACAAACCCUAUUGAGAGUGGGGUGUGCUGGAUCUUGCGCUGCAUGCCUCGAAUCCAAAGAUAAGUUCUUUUUAAAAUUGUAUUCUUUAAUGGUGCCUUAGAUUUUCUAAUUGUUUAGUAUGUUAGGUCCGGUUUUGGGGGAUUUGUGAUUUUACAGAGAGAGAUGGAUAGGGAGAUAGAGAUAGAGAGAGAGAGGAGAUAGCAUGGGUGUGUGCAUUUUUUUGAGUUAAUUAAUGGGUUAGUGCGCAUGUCAGUGAGGAGAGUGACAGAGGGGUGAAUGGCAUUGGCAGGGUAUGGGUUUUCAGUUUUUCCCUCUGAUUCAAUAGGUUAUGCACUGUUUGAAAAUAAAUUGUUUAUUGUUUUGUUUUCCGUUUGCUUUGUUAAAACCAUCAUUCGAAUUUUUCGGUUUCACUGUGCUCAUUUCUGUGCUUCUUCAAAAUUUUCUGGUGUUUGCUUUUCAUUCCUAUGUUGGUUGAUUUUUUUUUUUUCCCAUUUCUUGGUUCCUUAUGUAUUUCUUGGUUCUGUCUAAUUUUUUGCUGUGGGAUGAUGCUUGCAGGUGAACCUGAAAACAGCAUACAAGAUAGAGAACUGGUAUGCUAUUUUGUCUUUCUGUUGGAUUUUGAUGUUUAUGUUCUGCUACUAAGAGGAUUUUAUAGUGUUCUAAAUCUGUUUUGUAAAUGUGCUUAAAGAUUGGACAUGUUCUUGAAUGUUAGCCAUGUUGUUUGAAUUGGAUAUGUGAUUGAAUAUUAGGUAUUUAGUUUGAAUUGAUCUGGAUAUGUGGUUUAUUGAACUAGAAUUUGGAUAUGUGCUGAUUUGAAUUGAGUAUGUUGAAUUAGAGAUGUGCUACUUUGAAUUAAGUUGAAAAAUGGCAAGCCAUGGUAUAUUGAAUGUUUUUUUUUGCCCCAAAUUUACAUAAGUCCCAAAGGGUGAAUGUCGUCCCAAAACUUUACAACAACAACAACAACAAAGCCUUUUCCCACUAAGUGGGGUCGGCUAUAUGAAUCCUAGAACGCCAUUGCGCUCGGUUUUGUAUCAUGUCCUCCGUUAGAUCCAAGUACUCUAAGUCUUUUCUUAGAGUCUCUUCCAAAGUUGUCCUAGGUCUUCCUCUACCCCUUCGGCCUUGAACCUCUGUCCCGUAGUUACAUCUUCGAACCGGAGCGUCAGUCGGCCUUCUUUGCACAUGUUCAAAAUCACCGGAGCCGAUUUUCUCUCAUAUUUCCUACAAUUUCGGCUACUCCUACUUUACCUCAGAUAUCCUAAUUCCCAAUCUUAUCCUUUCUCGUGUGCCCACACAUCCCACGAAGCAUCCUCAUCUCCGCUACACCCAUUUUGUGUACGUGUUGAUGCUUCACCACCCAACAUUCUGUGCCAUACAACAUCGCUAGCCUUAUUGCCGUCCUAUAAAAUUUUCCCUUGAGCUUCAGUGGCCUACGACGGUCACACAACACGCCGGAUGCACUCUUUCCAUCCAGCUCGUAUUCUAUGGUUGAGAUCUCCAUCUAAUUCUCCGUUCUCUUGCAAGAUAGAUCCUAGGUAGCGAAAACGAUCGCUUUUUGUGAUCUUCGCUAGAUUGCUCCGGUCAUUAGUGUGGAUAAGUAUAUAAAUGGAUAGAGAUAGGAAAGCAAAUACAAGAUGUACGUGGUUCACCCAGAUUGGCUACGUCCACGGAAUAGAAGAGUUCUCAUUAAUUGUGAAGGGUUUACACAAGUACAUAGGUUCAAGCUCUCAUUUAGUGAGUACAAGUGAAUGAUUUAGUACAAAUGACAUUAGGAAAUAUUGUGGGAGAAUGAUCUCGUAAUCACGAAACUUCUAAGUAUCGGAGUGUGGUGUCGUCUUGCCUUACCUUAUCUGUCUCAUAGGUAGAUGUGGCAUCUUCUCUGGAAGUACUCUUCCUCCAUCCAGGGGUGGUAUCUUUAACUGGUGGAGAUGCACAAGGUAAUGUAUCAAUUUCACUUGAAGCUUACUUGUAGUUUCAGGCUUGGUCAAGCGCGAUACAAACCAUGUAGUAGGAGUCCCCCAAGUCGCCGAGCUAGGGGGUCUGCUGAAAGAGGUGACAAACAAGGUAAGCAAUCAGAGCUCCGACUGAUUGUUCACCUUCUCCCCAUCUUGCAGCAGCAUGAAGGAUAAAGAGAAGAAAAAUGAGAAGAGAUGAUAUGAGAUACUUUUGCUUUUGAAGAAGUAACUUUCCACAGGCUUAUUCUUGAACUGAGCUGGAGGGUUUUCUGGUUUCCUCCAGAGUAUAAGGCCGACUGAAGAAUUUGAGGGUCAAAACAAGUCCAUCAAAUCUAGAGUACGUUCCACCCUGCUGAUAUGGGAUACUUUUGCUUUUGACAGAGUAAUGAAUGUAUCGGCACGUGUGCUGUUACGCUUGUCUCCACAUGCUUCCUUGUAUCCUUCGCACUUGCCCUAUCUGUUCCUCAAGCAGAUGCGGAAUCUUCCCUGGAAACAUAAGAUGUCGAAGAUGAGUACUCGAGAGCAAUGCCAGGUAAGUAAUCAGGUAAGGGGUUCCAGGCAGUCAGUUCCUGGCUGGAAGCUUGAUUCCAAGUGCUGACUGAUUGCUCUCUUUCUCCUUGUCUUGCAGGUAAAAACAAGGCCAAAAGAAAAGACAGGGAAAAAGCAUGAUAUGGGAUACUCUUGCUUUUAACCCUGAUGAUAUGAGAUAUUCUUGCUCUAGUAUAGCUUGUUUGCAGAGGUAUUAUCGGGGGGAAAGAAAGCUGAAUAUUUCGAAAUGCUUCGUUGGGAGUGCCUUCUCAGAUAUGAUGAAGGGUUGAGCAUUUUUGCAGGUCUGCCUGUCCGUUGGGGAUGGAGGUCGACAUAUAUAGGAGUCUCCCUAAAAACAAGUAGUAAUGCUAUUCCUUUACCCUGCUUGGUCAUAGCACGGUAGUGGGAGCUGCCAGUUUCACAUGUUUUAACUCUGUCAGAGCACUUUGAAAAAGUGGUCUGUGGUAUCUGGCUCUCGAGAUUCGGAGAACGAUGCCUCUUCGAUUUUUGAGAAAGCAAUCAUGCUGGGGGUAUGACUCUCGAGAUUCGGAGAGCAGUGUCUCUUCGAUUUUUGAGGAAGUAAUCAUGUUGGGAGUCUGGCUCUCGAGAUUCGGAGGGCGAUGCCUCUUCGAUUUUGGAGCAAGCAAUCUUGUUGGGAGUGUUGUCUCGAAUGUGAGUAAAGGUUGGGCAUGUUUGCUAGUCUACCUUGCCACGAAGCACAAAGGUUGACACACAGGGACUUUCCAAUUAUCCAGCAAUGGUACUGUUCCUUUACCCUCUCUUCGAUUUUGAGAAAGUAGUCAUGUUGGGAGUCUGGCUCUCGAGAUUCGGAGGACGGUGCCUCUUCGAUUUUGGAGCAAGCAAUCUUAUUGGGAGUGUUUUCUCGAAUGUGAGUAAAGGUUGGGCAUGUUUGCUAGUCUACCUUGCCACGAAGCACAGAGGUUGACACACAGGGACUUUCCAAUUAUCCAGCAGUGGUACUGUUCCUUUACAGUUGUGGGUAAUAAUAUGGUAGCUAGACCUUCAAAAUUUAUGUGUCUAAACUUUUGUUAGUGCUGUUUCUUUGCUAUUCUUUUACCUUUCUUGGUCAGAGCGAUGUAGUGGGAGCUGCAAGCUUCACGUGCUCAACUUUGGCAGAGAACUUUGGCAAAGUUAUUUGUGGUACCCAUGAGCUAUUGUUGCGUGUGGGAAGUGGAUGAUUGAACAGUAAGAUUCAUGUGCUUUCUACUUCACCAGAAGUCUUCGACAGAAUGCCCAUAAUUUCUGCAAAGCUGAGUGUGCGUGUGACAGGUGCUGACAAGGGUAGAAAAGUAGGUGCCUCUUCGAUUUCUGAGAUUGGCCCUCGUGGUCUCUGAGCAGCCCAGCUUUUGAGAAAGCGAGCGCCUCUUCGAUUGAUUCGGAGAACGAUGCCUCAUCGAUUUUUGAGAAAGCAAUCAUGCUGGGGGUCUGGCUCUCGAGAUUCGGGGAGCAGUGUCUCUUCGAUUUUUGAGAAAGUAAUCAUGUUGGGAGUCUGGCUCUCGAGAUUCGGAGGGCGGUGUCUCUUCGAUUUUGGAGCAAGCAAUCUUGUUGGGAGUGUUUUCUCGAAUGUGAGUAAAGGUUGGGCAUGUUUGCUAGUCUACCUUGCCACGAAGCACAGAGGUUGACACACAGGGACUUUCCAAUUAUCCAGCAAUGGUACUGUUCCUUUACCCUCUCUUCGAUUUUUAAGAAAGUAGUCAUGUUGGGAGUCUGGCUCUCGAGAUUCGGAGGACGGUGCCUCUUCGAUUUUGGAGCAAGCAAUCUUAUUGGGAGUGUUUUCUCGAAUGUGAGUAAAGGUUGGGCAUGUUUGAUAGUCUACCUUGCCACGAAGCACAGAGGUUGACACACAGGGACUUUCCAAUUAUCCAGCAGUGGUACUGUUCCUUUACCCUUGUGGGUAAUAAUAUGGUAGCUAGACCUUCAAAAUUUAUGGGUCUAAACUUUGUUAGUGCUGUUUCUUUGCUAUUCUUUUACCCUUCUUGGUCAGAGCGAUGUAGUGGGAGCUGCAAGCUUCACGUGCUCAACUUUGGCAGAGAACUUUGGCAAAGUUAUCUGUGGUACCCAUGAGCUAUUGUUGCGUGUGGGAAGUGGGUGAUUGAACAGUAAGAUUCAUGUGUUUUCUACUUCCCCAGAAGUCUUUGACAGAAUGCCUAUAAUUUCCGCAAAACUGAGUGUGCGUGUGACAGGUGCUGACAAGGCUGGAAAAGGCUGGAAAAGUAGGUGCCUCUUCGAUUUCUGAGAUCGGCCCUCGUGGUCUCUGGGGAGCCCAGCUUUUAAGAAAGCGAGCGUAUCUUCGAUUUUUGAGAUCGGCCAUCGUGGUCUUUGAGCAGCCCAACUUUUGAGAAAGCAAACGCCUCUUCGAUUUCUGAGAUCAACCCUCGUGAUCUCUAAGCAGCCCAGCUUUUGAGAAAGCAAACGCCUCUUCGAUUUCUGAGCAGGCGCCUCUUCGAUUUCUGAAGCUUCGUCGAGUGCAGAUUUUUAUAGGGGCUGGCAUUAAGUUCCAAAGCACACUUGAAUCUCCACCAGUAGAAGCUUCAUUCUUGCACUUCUAAGAUCUUGAUUUUUCCGACCUCUUCUCUCUUCAACACCUUUGAAAAUGUCUGGCCCCUCCGACCGUCGUUUUGACUUGAACCUUGUUGAAGAGGCAGCCCCGCCUUCUCCAGACAACAUAUGGCGCCCAUCCUUCGUUUCCCCUACUGGUCCUCUUACCGUUGGGGAUUCCGUGAUGAAGAAUGAUAUGACCGCUGCGGUGGUGGCCAGGAACCUUCUCACUCCCAAAGAUAACAGACUACUUUCCAAACGGUCUGAUGAGUUAGCUGUUAAGGAUUCGCUGGCUCUCAGUGUUCAGUGUGCAGGUUCUGUGUCUAAUAUGGCCCAACACCUAUUUGCUCGAACCCGCCAAGUUGAAUCAUUGGCGGCUGAAGUGAUGAGUCUCAAACAGGAGAUUAGAGGGCUCAAGCAUGAGAAUAAACAGUUGCACCGGCUCGCACAUGACUAUGCUACAAACAUGAAGAGGAAGCUUGACCAGAUGAAGGAAACUGAUGGUCAGGUUUUACUUGAUCAUCAGAGAUUUGUGGGUUUGUUCCAAAGGCAUUUAUUGCCUUCGUCUUCUGGGGCUGUACCGCGUAAUGAAGCUCCAAAUGAUCAACCUCUGAUGCCUCCUCCUUCUAGGGUUCUGUCCAGUACUGAGGCUCCAAAUGAUCCCCCCCUCCGGUGCCUUCUCUUUCUGGGGCUCUACCUGACUGCUGAGACUUCUCCUAAGCAACCUUUGUGAAGGCUCCCUCUUGUGUGCUUAUUUUGACUCAUGUAUAUGUACAUAUUUGUAGCUUAUCGGGGAUAUCAAUAAAUAAGCUUUCCUUCAUUUCAACGUAUUGUGUUAAAUACACACCAAAGCCUUCUUCGCUAAGUUCUUUGAAUUUUCUUUUGUUAAAGCUUGUAUGUUGAAGCUUUCUGAGUGGAGCAUGUAGGUUGGGGUAGUGUUCCCUUAAUUUCCCGAGUGAGGAAAACUUCUCGGUUGGAGACUUGGAAAAUCCAAGUCACUGAGUGGGAUCGGCUAUAUGAAUCUUAGAACGCCAUUGUGCUCGAUCCUGUGUCAUGUCCUUCGUUAGAUCCAAGUACUCUAAGUCUUUUCUUAGAGUCUCUUCCAAAGUUUUCCUAGGUCUUCCUCUACCCCUUCGGCCCUGAACCUCUGUCCCAUAGUCGCAUCUUCUAAUCGGAACGUCAGUAGGCCUUCUUUGCACAUGUCCAAACCACCGUAACCGAUUUUCUCUCAUCUUUCCUUCAAUUUCGGCUACUCCUACUUUACCCCGGAUAUCCUCAUUCCUAAUCUUAUCCUUUCUCGUGUGCCCACACAUCCAACGAAGCAUCCUCAUCUCCGCUACACCCAUUUUGUGUACGUGUUGAUGUUUCACCGCCCAACAUUCUGUGCCAUACAGCAUCGCCGGCCUUAUUGCCGUCCUAUAAAAUUUUCCCUUGAGCUUCAAUGGCAUACGGCGGUCACACAACACGCCGGAUGCACUCUUCCACUUCAUCCAUCCAGCUUGUAUUCUAUGGUUAAGAUCUCCAUCUAAUUCUCCGUUCUUUUGCAAGAUAGAUCCUAGGUAACGAAAACGGUCACUCUUUGGUAUUUCUUGAUCUCCGAUCCUCACCCCUAACUCGUUUUGGCCUCCAUUUGCACUGAACUUGCACUCCAUAUAUUCUGUCUUUGAUCGGCUUAGGCGAAGACCUUUAGAUUCCAACACUUCUCUCCAAAGGUUAAGCUUUGCAUUUACCCCUUCCUGAGUUUCAUCUAUCAACACUAUAUCGUCUGCGAAAAGCAUACACCAAGGAAUAUCAUCUUGAAUAUGUCCUGUUAACUUAUCCAUUACCAACGCAAAAAGGUAAGGACUUAAGGAUGAGCCUUGAUGUAAUCCUACAGUUAUGGGAAAGCUUUCGGUUUGUCCUUCAUGAGUUCUUACGGCAGUCUUUGCUCCUUCAUACAUAUCCUUUAUAGCUUGGAUAUAUGCUACUCGUACUCCUUUCUUCUCUAAAAUCCUCCAAAGAAUGUCUCUUGGGACCCUAUCAUACGCUUUUUCCAAAUCUAUAAAGACCAUGUGUAAAUCCUUUUUCCCAUCUCUAUAUCUUUCCAUCAAUCUUCGUAAGAGAUAGAUUACCUCCAUGGUUGAGCGCCCUGGCAUGAACCCGAAUUGGUUGUCCGAAACCCGUGUCUCUUGCCUCAAUCUAUGCUCAAUGACUCUCUCCCAGAGCUUCAUUGUAUGACUCAUUAGCUUAAAUACCCCUAUAGUUCAUGCAAUUUUGUACGUCGCCCUUAUUCUUGUAGAUAGGCACCAAAGUGCUCAUUCGCCACUCAUUUGGCAUCUUCUUCGUUUUCAAAAUCCUAUUGAAAAGGUCAGUGAGCCAUGUUUAUACCUGUCUCUCCCAAAAGUUUCCACACUUCGAUUGGUAUAUCGUCUGGGCCUAUUGCUUUUUUAUGCUUCAUCUUCUUCAAAGCUACAACCACUUCUUCCUUUCGGAUUCGACGAUAAAAAGAGUAGUUUCUACACUCUUCUGAGUUACUCAACUCCCCUAAAGAAGCACUCAUUUCAUGUCCUUCAUUGAAAAGAUUAUGAAAAUAACCUCUCCAUCUGUCUUUAACCGCGUUCUCUGUAGCAAGAACAUUUCCAUCCUCAUCCUUGAUGCACCUCACUUGGUUUAGGUCCCUUGUCUUCUUUUCCCUUGCUCUAGAUAGUUUAUAGAUAUCCAACUCUCCUUCUUUGGUAUCUAGUCGUUUAUACAUAUCGUCGUAAGCUGCUAACUUAGCUUCUCUGACAGCUUUCUUCGCCUCUUGCUUCGCUUUUCUAUACCUUUCACCAUUUUCAUCAGUCCUCUCCUUGUAUAAGGCUUUACAACAUUCCUUCUUAGCCUUCACCUUUGUUUGUACCUCCUCAUUCCACCACCAAGAUUCCUUUUGGUGUGGGGCAAAGCCCUUGGACUCUCCUAAUACCUCUUUUGCUACUUUUCGGAUACAACUAGCCAUGGAAUCCCACAUUUGGCUAGCUUCCCCCUCUCUAUCCCACACACAUUGGGUGAUUACCUUCUCUUUGAAAAUGGCUUGUUUUUCUUCUUUUAGAUUCCACCAUCUAGUCCUUGGGCACUUCCAAGUCUUGUUCUUUUGUCUUACUCUUUUGAUAUGUACAUCCCAUCACCAACAAGCGAUGUUGAUUAGCCACGCUCUCUCCUGGUAUAACUUUGCAAUCCUUACAAGUUAUACGAUCCCCUUUCCUCAUUAGAAGAAAAUCUAUUUGUGUUUUUGACGACCCACUCUUGUAGGUGAUCACAUGUUCUUCUCUCUUCUUAAAGAAGGUGUUGGCUAAGAAGAGAUCAUAUGCCAUUGCAAAAUCCAAGAUAGCUUCCCCAUCCUCGUUUCUCUCCCCAAAACCAUGGCCACCAUGAAAACCUCCAUAGUUGCCUGUCUCCCUGCCCACGUGUCCAUUUAAAUCUCCUCCUAUAAAUAACUUCUCCGUCUGAGCAAUUCCUUGCACCAAGUCUCCAAGAUCUUCCCAAAAUUUCUCCUUCGAACUCGUAUCCAACCCUACUUGAGGUGCGUACGCACUAAUCACAUUGAUAAGUUCUUGUCCUAUUACAAUCUUGAUUGCCAUGAUUCUAUCUCCUACCCUCUUGACAUCUACAACAUCUUGUACCAAGGUCUUGUCCACGAUGAUGCCAACACCGUUUCUCGUUCUAUUUGUGCCCGAAUACCAAAGUUUAAACCCUGAGUUUUCUAGAUCCUUUGCCUUACUACCAACCCACUUAGUUUCUUGUAGGCACAUAAUAUUUAUCCUUCUCCUCACCAUAACUUCCACUACUUCCAUAGAUUUUCCCGUUAAGGUUCCUAUAUUCCACGUUCCUAAACGCAUUUUGCUCUCUUGAACUCUACCCUUCUGUCCUAGCUUCUUCACCCUCCCCCGUCUAAUAGGAUCAAAGUACUUCUUUUGUGUGUCCCGGGUAAAGUUGAUAGGAGCAUAUGCUCCCAAACAACUUUGAGUGGAGUCGUUCGAAAAGAAGUUUCUAUAGCCCCCUUGCUCAUUUAACACUGCAUCCGGGUGCCGAUGGAGAUACAGCGACCCUUGCUCACUUAUCACUGUGCUCAGGCCACACAGCGCGCCACUUACGGGUGACGCCCUAGCUUUAGCGCGAUUUUGUUCUGGAUUCAUUUUCAUAAGGAUUCGACGUGAUCAUGGAGUGCCGGCUGUCGACUACCUGACGCCCUCCCCCUCCUCCUUUAUCCGGGCUUGGGACCGGCCAUGUAAGACAUAGGCGGAGUUAUCAACCAAAACUUUAAAAGAAAAUAAUUAGAAAACAUGAUUCAGGAGAGAAAUAACAAGUCCAUCACGUAUUAGAAAAUCAGUUUUGCCCAGUGAUCGAAAUCAUUACAGGAUUAAAAACUAGAAUCCGACUUUGGAAGAACUUCCAUUCUCUUCUAAAACAGCUUCCACCAACGACAAACGUUCUUGCAGAUGUUUAACUGCACAUAGCAAUGGAAAAAGAUAAUAGGUCAGAAGUUAAUAGUUUACACCCAUUUUUCAAACACGGUGGUUGUUUGUUUUGAACCUACACCAGGUUCACCCUGUAUCAGCGGUUUCCCAGUCACACUAGUAUGAACAUUAGAUAUGAGUUUGAUAACACAAAAAACUAGUAGAUUUGUGUAUGCCCCCUUGGGAACUAAUUCUGUGUGGAAUUUUGUUGUAUGGGCUAUGGAGUAAAUACAUGUUGCAUGACGUGACUUGUUCGAGUUCAUUAGAGGGUCGUGGCGAUGCCCAUGGAAAGACAAGCUCAGGUCCUUUCCAUGUUCUUUUGUGAUCUUUGUUUCACAGUUGGAACGGGGGAGGUUUUGAUUCUGUGAUGAUAUUUGGGUUGGGAUUCCUAUUUCAGUGUCAUUUUCUGCCAUCUGUAUAGGAUCUCUUUGCCAUAAUUAAUCACCCCAAAAAAAUUAUUUGCAUUUGAUUCUUUGCAUAAACUUAUCUUAUGAAUAGUUGAGUAUGCUUUAAUGUCAAUACUAAUUUGUCCGUGACUAUGUCUUUGGUUCUCUAUGUUGUGUAUGGACCAGGGAAUUUAAAUUUUAAAGUGCUAUAUAACUUAUGCUAAAAUAUGUUUGGAAUACCCUAGAAAAAUUAGAUAGAGGCUUGAAAGGACUAGAUCCAGUACAUUUGAAAGAGCUCUCAGUACAAGACAACUUUGUUAAGUGUUUUUGUAGUGGUGUUCUAAUAGCAGCUUCGUAGUUUUAGUCUAAUGUUUUUGUUGUACAUUUUUAACAACCGAAUCUAAAAUCCCUCCGUACUUUAAAGUCCCUCCUCCAGACAUCACAUUAGAGAAUUAUAACUAUUCAACAUCCUUGGUGCAUUGGCAGAUUAAUGAUUGUAUCACGGAAUUUUGGCUAAGUUCCUUGAAUUAUUGAACCGUUAAUGCUUUCCAAAUGUUUUACUUUGAUUCAUUGUCUCACAUUUUCCAUGGUACAAGUUUACAUGAUUGCAAGCCGAUAGAAAGAGAUAGAUGUAGGGAGAAGUGGGAAUUGGGGGAGAGAGAGAGUGAGUGAGGGGUGCGGUUGCUUUUUAAAGAUUUCCUUGAAAUUGUUUCUGCAGUUUUUUUUUUUGGGUGGAUUUUCUCGAGUUCUUUCUAUUUGUUUGGAAUUGUUUCAUUUUUACUGAGAUUCUUUUGGUCCCUGUCACUAAACUCUGAUUUCUACUAUUAAUUGCUGCUGAAAUGUGACUUUUGCUAUUAAUUUUGUAAAUUAAUUAAGAUGCUUAAUGUUCCCUUAAUUGUGAUUAAGAUGGUCACAAUCCUACCAUCCUCUGUAUGCUCUGCCAUGUCCGCCGCCAAUGUUUUAUGUUCCGAUUUUUACUUUUUAAUCCUUUCUUACAACAUUUAAAUAAUCAGGUUGAAAUAGUAAUUCUAUUUUUCGACAAACGAUAGGUUAAAUUGUUAGUUGUUAUGAGAGAAGGAGAUCGUUUUAGAGAUCAAACCCGCAUCAAAAUAUAUGAUGAUUUCUGCAAAUGCGAUCAGCAGUUGCAUUUUACAAUAUACAACUUCAGUUAGCAUCAGUUUCUUAAUGAGUGGCAUGUGAAUUCUUAAUUUAAUUUCGGAAAAAAAUGCAUUUAAAUUUGGUGGUAUGUGAUGAACUUAGCAUUCUGUCUUUUAUUAUAUACUGGUGAUGGACAUUUUUAGCAUAUUGGAUUUAUCAUUUUCUAUAAAAUGAAGCUUCAUUCUCGCUAUGUUGUUGAUGUUUUUUUGUGAUUUCAGUUUAUAGUGCUUCUAAAUGCUGUUUUAAUUUAGGAAUUUGAAUAAUUGUUUAAAUGGGAUUGGAGGGUGAUAAAUAUUUCUAGCUAGGGAAAGGUCGCAUCCAUGUGUUGGUCGAAUUGAUGGAUGUAAAAAAUGAAUAUGGCAAGGUGUAAAAAAUGAAUAUGGAUGAACGUUUAGCUACUGCAUGUAGAUUCAGCUUUCCUUUGCAUUUGAGUGAGUUGGAAACCGAGUGGAACAGUUUGAGAGAGGGAGGGACGGAGGGAGAGAGAGAGAGAGGACGAUGUUGGGAUUUUGGUAAAGAUUUGAGCUUUAGUGGUAAGCAUGCUGAUUUGAGCUCACAGAAAAACCCAACAGUAUGUAGAUUGAAUUGAGUUGGGAACUGAGUGGAAAAAUGUUAGAGAGAGGAUUGUGUAUAGUUCUCAAAGCUUCUUACGUUGUUUUCUGAUGCAUCUUUGAGCCACUGGCCUUAGGUGGAGUCUUAUACUGCAAUAUUAUGUGCUAAUCUAAUAAACCCUGCAACUUAUUCGUCUUUGUCAUGAGUAAGUUUUGGUUUUUUUCAUUGGAAUAGGGAUUUAGUGGAUGAUUGUUUUUAACGCAUAUUAGUUAAAAUGAGUUGAGUAUUGGGUGCCAAUCCCAUGUCUGCAAAUCACAGUAGCCUAAGGAAGAAACACUGUCUGCACGAUCUAUAAUACCUAUUCACGCAAGAAUCUUUUCCCAAACUAAAAAGCUUACAUUUCCAAACGUGUAAAGGAUGGGCCACUAUCAUCUUACUUUUUCAAUACCUAAACCAUGCAGUGAUGCAUGGGCUGGAUAUUGCUCCUUUCAAGUUUCAAACCAUUAAAUGCUAAAGAUUUCUGGAUAAAUCAUCGUAGAAGUCGAUUCUACAGAUUCCUUCUUAGUUACACUCAGAUGAUAAUGUAUUUAUUGUCCUUGACAUGUUUUUAAAGUUUGCAUUUUCAAUGUAUAUUUCAUUAACUAAGCUUUAUCAGCGGAAUAUCAUCGCAAAUUUGUUACGGAAAAUGCUAUUGCUAGAUUCUGAUAUAUCUACUUUAGUUUUAAGGAUUACACAUUGUUUUACGAUAUAAAAUAGAUGUUCUGCCUUGAUUUGAUGCGGGGGUAUGCAUUAGCUAACAUUAAUUCUGCUUAGUAUUUCUCAAAUUCAUUUUGGGUUAAAAAGUUGGAGCUUUGGAUCGGGUUUUUUCUUUAUUCAUGUUGGAAGAAUACAUGCAAGUCAUAUCUUGUGUUAAAAUGCAUGCAUGAAAUAAACUUGUUGGAUGACUAGUGAAGUUAGGCUAGUCAACAUUCUUUGUGUAAAAUGCAUGCAUGAAAUAAACAUGUUGGAUGACUAGUGAAGUUAGGCUAGUCAACAUUCUUUGUGUAAGUUAAGCAAGUUAGGCAAGUUAGGCUUAUGUCUACUUUCUUUUCCUAUAUAUAUGUUUCAUUUGUAAUUGUUUCUUCAUGAAAUACACAUAAAAAAUUCUACAUGGUAUCAGAGCAGGUUCAUUUGUAACCUGUCUCUGCCAUUCUUGCUGCUGCAAUUUUUUCUUUCUUUCAAAGUCUAAGUCAUGACUGAAGAAAGUUCUGUGAACCAUGAUGAGGAAACCCGGCACAAUCUCUCUCCAAACUUCUCAGACGUUGAGGUUAACACCAAUCAACGUUUGUGUUCAGUUCUCUUGAACGAGUUCAAUUAUCUUCCUUGGUCCCGAGCUGUUUCACUAGCUCUCGGAGGCAAAGGGAAGUUAGGGUUUGUAAAUGGAAGCGUGGAAGCUCCAGACAGUUCUUCCUCUACAUACAAUGCAUGGCUCUGCAAAGAUCAACUUGUCAUGUCCUUGCUGCUCAAACACCAUGGAGAAACAUGUUGCUGAAAUUUUUAGCUACUCCAAUUCCGCACAUGAUCUUUGGAAAGCUUUGCAGGAUAUGUAUGGAAAUCAAAACAACUAUGCACGGGUCUUCCAAUUAAAGAAGGACAUUGACAGUGCUCAACAAGAAGGGAAAGCAUUUGUUCAACACCUUGGGAGCCUCAAAGCCAUGUGGAAUGAGUUGGAUGUAUAUCUCCCUCAUACCACAGAUCCUACCAUUCUCCUAAAACGAGCUGAGGAAGACAAAAUUUAUCAGCUGUUAGGGAGUUUGAGCUCUGAGUACGAGGACCUAAGGAGUCACAUCUUGAUGAGUCAAGACCUGCCUACCUUCAACAAUGUUUGUGCAACUAUCCAACGAGAAGAAGUAAGGAAGAAGGUUAUGAAUGUUGAUCACAAUCCUAGAUUAACGGAGACUCGGGCAUAUGCAUCAAAGUACAAGAACUCAUAAGCCAAGGUAUACAAGGGAAGAAACACACAUCUAAAAUGCAAAUAUUGCAAUGGUGUUGGUCAUGAGGAAGACAAGUGUUGGGAACUUCAUCCUGAACUCAAGCCUAAGUUCAGCAAAGAUGGAAGGAUGAUACCAAGGUCCUCACAACAAUUUCAAACCUCAUUUCAAGGCACAACUUGCUAAUGCUCACGCUCCUACUAUCUCACAAGGAUCCAUGGAGUUCACUGCCAAUCCAUUGUCAUUAAUCAAUGAAUUUGCAGCUUACCUACAAAGUAAGGGGCACGGAGGAGGCUCAUAUGGUCAAGGCAAUGAAGAGGGUAGUCACACACACAGCUAUGUUGGGACAAUUUGCCGGAUUUCUUGCUGGAAAUGAGAAAGUUCCAAAGGGAGAAGCAUCAGGUAUACUCAAAGCCUUUACUACUGCCCUAUUAACUAGUACUGAAAUUGAUUGUUGGAUAAUUGAUUCAGGCGCCACAGAUCAUAUGACAAACAAAGUUACAAAUUUACAUCAUUUUAAAAAAAUUUCAAGCCCCUCACAUGUGUCUAUUGCAAAUGGAAAAAAUGUCUUAGUUUUGGGAAAAGGAGAAAUAAACUUACUCUCUCAAAAAACACCUUCCACUGCCCUCUAUGUACCAACCUUUCCCUUCCAACUUUUGUCAAUUGGAAAGAUCACCAACACCCCUAAACUGCCGUGCUAUUUUCUCACCAAAUAAAGUAAUGUUUCAGGAUGUUCUCACCAUGAAGAUGAUUGGUGAAGGGGUCUUCAUAAAUGGACUUUACUACCUGUGCAAGAAUGCAUGUUUCACUCAGGCUCUUCAAGCUCAAUCGAAGUCCAUAGAUGAAAACCAACUUUGGCAUAGGAGAUUAGCUCACCCCUCUGAACUUGUCUUGUCGAAACUGUUUCCAAAUUUUUGUAACCCCUAUCCUACUUGUGAUACUUGUCAAUUUUCUAAGUUUACUAGGCUACCUUUUGGUAAUUCAAUGUCUAGGACAAGUAAACCUUUUGAAAUGGUACACACCGAUGUAUGGGGACCUGCAACUGAAUCAAUGGAAGGUUUUAAAUAUUUUGUUCUAUUUGUUGAUGAUUUCUCUCGAACAAGUUUUCUAUAUCUUAUGAAAUCAAAAAGUGAAGUCCCUACCAUUUUCAAAGACUUUCACAUGCAUGUUAAAACGCAAUUUCAAUCAAACAUUAAGGUUUUAAGGUCAGAUAAUGGCACUGAAUUUCUAUCCAACAACAUGCUUCAAUACAUAAGUUCUCAGGGUAUCAUACAUCAAACCAGCUGUGUGGGGACUCCCCAACAAAAUGGAGUAGCCGAGAGGAAAAAUAGAGAUCUCUUGGAAAAAACUCGUGCUCUCAUGAUUCACAUGCACGUUCCAAAGAAAUUUUGGUCGUUUGCCAUCCUUACUGCCACUUAUCUCAUCAAUCGACUUCCAAGUCGUGUGCUAGGGUUUAAAUCUCCUUAUGAAGUUCUCAAGGGGAGGAAAAUAGAUUUGACACAUCUCAAGGUGUUUGGUUGUGUGUGUUUUGUUCACAUCCAAACCUUGAACCGUGACAAAACUAGAUGCCAGGGCAACCAAGUGUGUGUUUAUGGGAUACUCGACCACUCAAAAGGGAUACAAGUGCUUCAAUCCAGUCACUAAGAAGUGCACAGUUUCAAGAGAUGUGAAGUUCGAAGAAGACUAUCCCUAUUUUACAAGUCAGGGGGAGGAUUUAGUUGACAUGUUCCCACUCCCUCAAAACUUUAAUUAUCCGAUGUUGGAAAAGAGAUCAGUCAUUGUAAGUCCAGAUUGUGAAGAAGUUCAAACUGACCAAAUUACUGCCAGUGAAAGUGAAGACGAGCCCUACUCUGAUCCUUCUCCGCCCUCUACAGAGUCUCAGGUGAUUAAAAGAAAUCCUCCUCGAAUCAGAAAACCUCCAGCUAGGUUGCAGGACUAUGUUACAUAUGCCUCACGACAUCCAAUCAAUGAAUGUAUCAGCUUUAGUAAGUUCUCAACAUCUCAUGCUGCAUUUCUCAGUGAAAUUGAUAAGCACUAUGAACCAAGAAGCUUUCAAGAAGCUUCUCUUCUCCCACAAUGGAACCAAGCCAUGAAAGAAGAGAUUCGUGCACUGGAAGAGAAUUGCACCUGGAGCCUAGUUCAACUACCACCAGGAAAAAAGGCUGUUGGAAGUCGUUGGAUUUACAAGACUAAAUUCAAAGCUGAUGGAUCUAUCGAGAGACACAAGGCUAGACUUGUUGCUCGAGGUUUCACCCAAACCUUUGGUGUAGAUUAUAAGGAAACAUUCGCACCGGUGGCCAAGAUGAACUCAGUCAGGGUUUUACUGUCAGUUGCAAUCAAUUGUGGAUGGUCACUCUACCAAAUGGACGUGAAGAAUGUUUCCUUCACGGCGAGCUGCAGGAAGAAGUGUAUAUGCAACCUCCUCCAGGCUAUGAUGGUAUUAAAGGCAACAUGGUUUGUAAAUUGCACAAGGCAAUAUACGGAUUGAAACAAUCACCAAGAGCUUGGUAUGCCAAGCUCAGUUCUGUUCUGGAAAAGGCUGGAUUCAUGCGAAGUAAUGCUGAUUCUUCGUUAUUUGUAAGAACUGGCACCAGGGGGAAGUUGGUGGUCCUCGUCUAUGUUGAUGAUCUUAUCAUCACUGUAGAUAAUACCGUGGAGAUUGAGGCACUAAAACUCUCACUACAUCAAGCUUUCGCUAUCAAAGAUUUGGGGAGGUUAAAGUAUUUUUUGGGGAUCGAAAUGGCAACAUCUUCAAAAGGACUGUUUCUACAUCAACGGAAAUAUGUAUUGGACCUCCUUCAAGAAGCAAAAAUGCUUGACUGCAAGCCUGUUAUCACUCCCGUUGAUUGUAAACUGAAGCUCAGCAUAGAUGGAGAAGCCAUGCAUGAUGUAAGCUACUAUCAACGAUUAGUAGGCAAGCUCAUAUACCUCACUAUCACUCGUCCAGAUAUCACAUAUGCAGUGAGCUUGGCUAGUCAGUUCAUGCACUCUCCCACUGUUGAUCACCUUAACCUUGUUAAGAGAAUCCUUCGUUAUCUUAAGGGUUCAAUUGGGCAAGGAAUUACAAUGCAUAACAAUCAGUCCACUGUCAUUAGUGGCUACACAGAUGCAGACUGGGCAGGUAAUGCAAUUGAUAGGAAAUCAAUCACAGGCUAUUGUACAUUUGUUGGUGGAAACCUUGUCACAUGGAAGAGUAAGAAGCAACAGGUAAUUGCUCGUUCCAGCGCAGAGGCUGAGUAUCGAGCCAUGGCAGCCACUGCGUGUGAACUCAUUUGGCUUAAAGGGCUUCUUUCAGACUUAGGGUUUCCUAGUUCUACUCCUAUGAUGCUUAUGUGUGAUAAUCAGGCAGCCAUGCAUAUUGCUGCCAAUCCUGUGUUCCAUGAAAGAACCAAACAUAUUGAAGUGGAUUGUCAUUUCAUCAGAGCUCAAGUUCAAACGCAAAUCAUCCGGACCAUGUUCACACGAAGCCAUGAUCAACUAGCAGAUCUUUUUACAAAGGCACUAGCAUCAUCUCAGUUUCAUCGGUUAUUGGGCAAGCUUGGCUCAGUGAAUCCCCUCGAUCCAGCUUGAGGGGGAGUGUUGGAAGAAUACAUGCAAGUCAUAUCUUGUGUUAAAAUGCAUGCAUGAAAUAAACAUGUUGGAUGACUAGUGAAGUUAGGCUAGUCAACAUUCUUUGUGUAAAAUGCAUGCAUGAAAUAAACAUGUUGGAUGACUAGUGAAGUUAGGCUAGUCAACAUUCUUUGUGUAAGUUAAGCAAGUUAGGCAAGUUAGGCAAGUUAGGCUUAUGUCUACUUUCUUUUCCUAUAUAUAUGUUUCAUUUGUAAUUGUUUCUUCAUGAAAUACACAUCAAAAAUUCUACAAUUCAGCUAUCAUUUUCUGCUUAGGAGACUCUCUUAAACUGUGUGAAACUGUGCUCAUUAGGCUGGGCAGAGCAAUGACAAGCUAAAAACAAAACAAAAACAAGCAGAAUUAUCACAUGUAGUGCAGGAUAAAUUCUAAACGACCCAAAUCUGGAUGGUAAAAUACUUGGAGUUGGAAUUAAUAGGAUCGAUUGAAACAUGGAUUUUUUUUUUAUUAGAUUGGUAUAUCUGACUUAAUUAAGAAGUUGUUUAAGACACAGUCAUUAGGGAAUUUCUGUAAUUGAACGUAGUUGUUUUCAUGAGGUUAAAUACAAUAAGGUGAUUCUAUGCCAAGAAGUGAUUUUAUAUGGACACAUUGUAUGAUGUAAAAUGGUAAAAGGAGUACCUGUUCCUGUCCAGCCUUAUGUUUUCUGAGUCUUGCUUAUUUUUCAUUAGUCAUAUGAAAGAUGCUGCAAUAUCGUGGGAUCAAAAUAGCUAAGAAACUGGACGUGGACAUCUUUAUUCUAUAGAGCGUAUGUAAAAGUAAUUUAGACUUUAUUAGUUUAUAUUAAUCCUUCACUUCUGUUCAUAUAUUGUAAUUUCUAUAUGGUUUGUCCACAUUUGUCUUAGGAGACUCUGGGGCUGCUUAAAUUUUAUAUAUUCAGUUGCAUAGAGUCGGCAUGACAUGCACAGCGAUUGUCAGAUUGCCACCCUUAGUUGGUGAUAUUUUCUUUACAACACAUUCAAAUUGAGGAUUUAGAAAAUCUAAUAAUAAAACUCAAACAUAUGUUCGAUGCUUUUUGUUUUCAUUUUCGGUUAAAAGGUUUCAGCUUUGGAUUGGGAUUUACCUUUAUUAAUCUAUAAUUUUGUGCUCAGGACACCAUCUUGGGGGUCUUAACAUGAUUGUUCUUCUAUUUCAUAGACUCAAAACGUGUCUAGUGUUUCAUUGAAUUGGUAUACCUUUGCUCAUUUAACUCAAAUUUAAUACGGUUUGGUCCUCCAAUUUCUCUAAAUUGCCAACGGAUUUAUUUUCUUUGGAAAUUUCAGGAACUCUGGUUGUGGUAGGAACAAGCCGGCUCCUUGCUAUUUUUAGGUAUAUGAUUAUGUGCCCUGAUUGCAUGUUCAAAGUCUAAUUAGUUAUAUAAACUUUUAAUUUAUCUUUGCAAAGCUUUUGUACUUGGAUUUUAGUUUAGAUAUGCGAUUUGUUUGUGAAAAAUUAACGAGAAGACUAAUCAUGGGGACAUUCUUAUUUCUGAAAUUUUCUCUUCAGCAUUGUUUCUUGAAUAAAUUUGGAUUGGUAGAUGUAGGGGUAGAGUAACCCCCGUGGUGUAAAUAAAAGGUAUAGGCGUAAUGAUUUCUAGGUUUAGAAUUCAUUGAAAAAUAUGAUAUAAUGCUGCGUUCUCUAAUAUUUUUUUUUUUUUUGGCUGUUUGCUGUUCUAAACUUUUGAACUCCUUUUUGGAUUGAUCUUUGUUAUUUUUGUUUUUGGGGGUAUCUGAUUGGUCAAGGUUGCCCAAUCUUGGUUGUACUUUUUCCCAAGACAGGGCACAUUUGAAACUUUGAAUUCUUGAGUUUAUAUUUUAAUUCUCAUUAGUUAAUGCUUAAUAUUUGGCCUUUUAUUUUGAGAUUAGAAUGAAUACGUUUGGCCUGAAAGACAGUAAACUGAAUUAAAAGCUGGCUUAUUUUCCAUUGGCCAUCAAUUAGGGUGAGAAAACAUUGAAUUGAGAUCAUUAAACAGCACUUAUAUAGGGCACUAUACCAAAUGAGCUCGAAGAGGACUCAGCAAUUGAAGAACAAUUGAUGGCAUACACCUUGGACAUGAUUAAGUUAGUUGAACAUUAUACUAUAACAAGUACAUAUUUCUGGAGUCAGUUUCACACGCAGACACGCACACACACAUCUGACGUAAAGUUAGUCUAUUAGAUGGUUUCCAGAUUGACCCCCCCUUGCCAAAUCUAUUUCAAGGCUGGAAGGAGAGUUAAAACAUAUGUUAUUGUCUUAUAUGUUUGUAUUUGAAUGGUAACGAUGUUGUUCUUCUGGUGGAAAAUUUUUCCUUUGAAUCCAUUUCAGCUUAGGCUCUACUUUUUUUUUUUUCAUUUCAGCUUCAUUUUCAUGUUCAUCAUGUCCUGUUGGUAUGUGUUUUGUGUUGGCAUUGGAGGGUGGUGGGUUGUCGUUUUGUUUUUCUUUUCUCUGAUUGUAAGACCUUCUAACGAUUGAAUUUAUUUUAUGCUGAAACACUCAUUUUGAUCCCCUAGUUUGAGUUUUUCAGUUACGUAUCAAUACUUAACUGCUGGAUUUUUCUUAAGGAAAUUGGAUAUAGGCUAUAUACUAUGUGUAAAAGUCAUGGAGAUCAAGUUUUGUGCUUUCAUUUGUCACAAUGCAGUUUUUUGUUUUCAUAAAUCAAGUUUUGUGCUUUCAUUUUUCUUUUAAAUUUUAAUUUGUCUUUCAAUCAGUUUUUUGUUUGAGAGAACUCUUAAUUUUCAUGGAAAUAUAGUUAUUUGUGAAUAUGGAAACUUGAAUCUGUGUAGACAUCAGAGUUCUUAUGGUUGUGAUAUGAAAUUUAAAUACAAACUUCCCAAUUUGUUUUUGGAAUUUUAACUAAACUUGCGUUGUAGGUAGAUCAUGCUAUUAAGAUAACAAAAAAAUAGGUAGAUUUGUGUAUGCAAUGAGUUGUAGUGAACAUUUGGCAGUAAUAGAAAUGGUUUAGGUGUGCACAGUUUUGGCCUAAAUGGUUAUCACACGAGCGUAAAUGUUUGUUUCAUUUGUGAUUGAACUCGAAUUUGUUGGAAAGCUUUUCAAUUUAUGAAUAUGGAAAGCUUUUCGUCUUUACUUCUAAACUUAUUUUCUGCUUGGUUGUUGAGAAGGUGAUGGAAAUAUAGUUAUCUGUUAAUAUGGAAACUUGAAUCUGUGUAGACUCCUUGGGUUGUCUGUUGUGUUCAGUGGAGGUUUAGUGUUUUAAUUUUGAAUGAUUUGUUUUUCGUUUCAUGGAAAUGACCUAUUAUUUGAUUUAAUUGAGUAAUUUAAUGGAAGUAUAUUCUCUUUUUUUUCUUUUCCAUAUUUCGUUUUGUCUGCAACCAAACAGGGUAAGGAACUGUAAUCUUUUUAAUUACUCUGCUAUCUCCGUGAGUUAUGAAAAUCAGACCUUUUGUUUUAUUUCUGUAUAUGUAGUUCCGAAGGAAUCAAGUGCCAAAAUUAGAAUAAACAUCCUUUAGUCAAGUUACGCACUUUUCCAUAGAAUGUUUGGUUUAGGGAUCCCUUAUACAAGCACAAUAUUCUUAUGUAUUUAAAUCGUAGUUGACCGUCAUGGUUUAAUAAGUGUGAAAACUGUCUUUAAGUCUUAACUAUACCAUUGGAGCGAUACAGUUUUAGUUAUUUUAUUGGAUCCGUUUGUUAGCGCUUUGAAUUCUUACUCUGAAUCUCACUCAUUUUUUGCAGUUUAGAUUGGACUCUCAUCACGGCAUUGUAAUCUGCUCUUGCUGCUGCGAUUAAUCUAACGGUUCUGAGGCGUUGCAUUUGAAUCAAGACUUCGGUAUGCUAGCUGAACUUAAAUGCAUUCUUUUCCCAUUCUUUCCGUUUGAGGCAGCGCAACUUUAUGAUCUUUUAUAUUGAUUGUUUGGUUUGAUCACCUUUUGUUAUUCGUUUGCUUUAUGCUUUGUUUUUCAUUCUUGGUUGUCUCUGUGAUUGUCUCAUUGUCCAGAGGUCGGAUGGUUAGUUUUUUAUUUUUUUUGUUCUAAUUUUGUUUGUGCAAUUCCGUUAUUGUUUGAAGGCCCGUUGCUAUCUCUGUGAUUCUGGUUUAACCCGGUGCUCUUAAUUCUUUAUCGGAUGUUGUUGGUCAUUUUAUCUCUUUUAUUUUGUAUUGGUUGGUUGGUGUUUUCGUUUGGUUUUCUGAUGGUGAACUAUCUCAUCCUCCCCGAAGUGUUUUAACAUGUUUUGUUGAUAAUUGCGCUCUCUAAACGAACUCGACAUUUUUUUAGAAAAAUCACAACUUCCAUAUUUAAGAAAAUGUGUGGCUUUUUAGCAAUGCAUGAAUGCAGCUAAGAUGUUCUGAAAAAUUCAUGGAUAUUUUACAUUCAAACCACAAGUAUCAUUAACUUAUAAAUAAUUAAGUUAUGUAUUUUCUUUAUCGGCUAUCACUUCAAAAUUUGAACUAAAACACUGUCAAAAAGCUUUUUGGUUGUGUUUUCCUUAUUCAUUAUGUAAGUUUCGCAAAUCUUCUACAUGCUGCAUAUUUUUUUGUUUGAACAUCUAUGGUUGACGAGUUACCUGCUCAAACGCCACUUUUUCUGUGUUUUGCUAACUGCUAAGUGAGUUAUGUAGGUUGCAAAGCAUAUAUUUGGCCGUCUUAACUGCAGGGGCAAAAUAUGUGUGAAUUGCAGCUUCCUUCUGUUUCUACAGUUUCAUAUAUGGAAACAGGCCUUCUGUUUUUUUUUUUUUUUUUGCCUUUGAACAAUUAUGGUUCCAAAAUUAGCUACUUGAACAAGUCCUCAACACUUUCUGCUUUAAAUUACCUGUUGAACUAGCUGCCUACACUGCAGGACACAUGUUAUGUGUGAACUAAAUGUUUCUUCUUUUUCUUAAGCAAACGGAAAUUGUUUGGAAACCAUCUCUUUCUAAUCAAACACGUACAGUUUCUUCCCACUCAUUGUGCAUUGUGUUUAUAUGCCAACUCACUUAAAUAUGUAUAACAGCACAAUUGCUUAUCUUAUUGGGCUCAUUCACUCAUGUAUCCCUCUGUUUGUUUGUAAUUGUGUUGAAUUUAUUCAACUUAAAUGUGUUUUAUCCAUCCGAUUACGUCUGAAACAGUGGUUCCCGCAGCAGCGUGCGGGCGUAUUUUCUAGUUUUUAACAAAAUUUUGCAAACUAAAUGACACGAUUGUUGAUGAGUGGAUUAUUAUUUUAGUGUUGAUUAACAUGCUUAUUUUAUUGUGGUGACACAUCAUUUAGUUUGCAAAUUUAGUCUCCUUGUCAUUACCUAUUUGUGUAUGAUGGCGGAGGCAUCAAUAAUUAGUUCUCACCAUUUGAAUUUGUGCAAUUGUGACAACAGAUCAAGCUUCCAAAUCUCCAAGGAACUAGUCUUUGACUGUUGAUCUUCCCUUCGUCGAGUCUGUAUUUGUUGAUCAUAAGCGGAGUCAGAUUUGAACUUCCCUGUAAGUUCUUAUUAUUCACUGAAUAAUACAUUAGUUGUUUCUCAUUUUAUUUGAACUACUUUUUAUUCAUUUGUUUCUUCACUUAAUUUGUGCAGCUCUUCACCUCAAUAUUGCUCAAGAACGCUUCCUUAUUUCUUUGGUUGCUUGGAGUUCUCAGCGCUCCUAAGAUGCCACUUGGAGAGGUUUUUCUUGCGGCGUUUCUACAGUUGCUGCUUGACAGGUUGACCCCUCGCGACAUUCUCAACUACUUUGGAAACUUCCGGGGUGUUGGAAAGAAGCUGGAGAAGUGGAGGGCCACGUUAACUACAAUCGCAGCAGUGCUGAGCGACGCCGAUGAAAGACAACGGACUGACGAUGCUGUAAAACUAUGGCUCAAUAAUCUCAGAGACCUUGCUUAUGAUGUCGAAGACAUGUUGGACAAAUUUGCGACUCAAAUGUUGAAGCGCACGAUAGAGGGACGUGAUCAAGCCAGCACGAGCAACAAGGUGCGAAACUCACUUUUCAAAAUUAAAUUGAAUUGGAAUAUGAACUCCGAAAUGAAGAAGAUUACGGAGCGGUUACAAGACAUAUCUGACCGAAAAGUUAAGUUUAGCUUGAAAGAUACUGGGACGUCUGCUAAGGAAUCGCGAAGUCUACCAUGUUCAGGCGUGUUAGAUGAAAAGCUUCUUGUUGGAAGAGAUGGUGACAAAGGGAAGAUUAUUGAAUUGUUGAAAAAGUCUACCAAUUUUGGUGUGGUUGCUAUAGUUGGCAUGCCCGGAGUUGGGAAGACGACACUUGCUCAACUUGUAUUCAACAACAAAGAUGAUGCCAUGAAGGAGUUUGAGCUCAAGGUCUGGGUAUCUGUGUCCGAUGACUUCGAUGUUGUGCGAGUGACAAAGGCAAUUCUUGAAUCAAUGAAACCCCUACCCGUUCAAGUGGAGGAGUUUAGUAAAAUGCAGCAUGAUUUGAGUGAGCAAUUAAGAGGAAAAAAGUUUUUAAUCGUUUUAGAUGAUGUUUGGAACAAAGGUGACCGUGAUCUAAACGAUCUCUGGUUAAGACUUAAAUCCCCUUUUGGCGUCGGAGCAGGAGGAAGUAAGAUUAUUGUGACAACCCGUGAUUUAAAUGUUGCAAAGAUUAUGGGAGCCACUGGAUUUCAUAAUUUGGAAUGUAUGGCAAAUGAUGAUUGUUUGGAAAUAUUUGAGCGACAUGCAUUCGGGGAAGUUAAUAGUGGAAAACCAGUAAAUUAUGAGUUAAUUCGGACAAAAAUUGUUGAAAAAUGUUGUGGCUUACCAUUAGCUGCGAGGACUCUCGGUGGUCUUUUACGUUGCAAAGAAACAGAUGAGUGGGGAGAAAUAUUGGACAACAAACUAUGGAAUCUCGCAGAUAACUGUAACCUUCCCCGCGUACUAGAGUUGAGCUAUCACUAUCUUCCAUCACAUUUGAAGAGGUGUUUUGCCUAUUGCUCAAUACUUCCAAAUGACUACGAAUUUGGGGAGAAGCAGCUCGUCCUUUUGUGGAUGGCAGAGGGUUUGAUUCAACAAAAACCUGACAACAAUAAACAAAUGGAGGAUUUGGGCCGCGACUACUUUCGAGAGCUAUUAGCAAGGUCGCUGUUUCAAGAAUCAAGCAAAAACAAUUCACGAUAUGUAAUGCAUGACCUCGUUUCUGAGUUAACACGAUGGGCUGCAGGAGAAAUAUGUUUUAGGUUGGAAGAUAAGCAAGGUGAUAACUUGCAAAGCACUUGCUUUCGAGGGGCUCGCCAUUCGUCUUUCAUUGCUGGUGAAUUUGAUGGAGUUAAGAGAUUUGAGGACUUUCCAAAAGCUGAACGUUUGCGAACAUUCCUGCCACUUUCGCUUUCAUAUUCCACGGGAUGGUUAAAAUUUUUGUCUCGUCAGGUUACUUUUAAGCUAUUACCACAGUUGCAAUACUUACGAGUGCUCUCGUUCAAUGACUACAAAAUAACUGCGCUGCCAGAGUCAAUCGGUGAUUUGAGGUUGUUACAGUAUCUUGACCUUUCCUACACAUAUAUAACUAGUUUGCCUAAAUCGAUAAGUACUCUUUACAACUUGCAGACAUUGAUAUUGGAACACUGUUACUAUUUGAAGUCAUUGCUUGCGGACAUGAGUAAUUUAAUUAAUUUGCGCCAUCUCAACAACUCAUAUGUAUCUUCGUUGGAAGGAAUGCCUCCAAAUCUAGGUAGCUUGGUGAAUCUCCAAUCUUUGCCUAAUUUUGUGGUCAGUGGUGGAAGUGAUCAAUCAGGAAUAAGAGAGAUAGGGCCCCUAUCGCAUCUCCGAGGGACAUUGUGCAUCUCAGGAUUGGAGAAUGUGACUGAUGUCGAGGAUGCCAGGAGGGCCAACUUGAAAUGCAAGGAGAGGCUUGAUUCGUUGGUCCUAAAAUGGUCUCAUUCAAGCGACACGAGAGAAACGGAAUCCGUUGUGCUUGACAUGUUAGAGCCUCAUACAAAGCUCAAGGAGCUCACCAUCAAGAGUUAUGCCGGAGAGGAAUUUUCAUCAUGGGUUGGAGGUCCUUUGUUCUCUAAUAUGGUGCUUGUGUGCUUACAGAAAUGUAACAAUUGUUUAUCGUUGCCUCCUCUCGGACAAUUGCCUCAUCUCAGGGAACUUUAUAUUAGUGGAAUGAAUGCAGUGGAAAGUGUUGGUGCUGAGUUUUAUGGAGAGCGUAUGUUGCCUUUUCCGGUAUUAGAGACUCUUGAGUUUGUGGAAAUGCAGCAUUGGAAGGAAUGGCUUCCUUUCCAAGCCGAUCACGAAGGUGGUGCUUUCCCUUGCUUGAAAACACUCUUAGUAAAAAAAUGUUCUAAACUGGAGGGUAAACUGCCAGAGAAC